RNAcentral lists this long non-coding RNA (90227 nucleotides) under Citrus maxima (pomelo). RNAcentral's name for it is "long non-coding RNA (CMAX_LNC000230)". Lineage: Eukaryota; Viridiplantae; Streptophyta; Magnoliopsida; Sapindales; Rutaceae. The record is from RNAcentral.
UUUUUAAUAUCAACGCCACUGCAGCUGUGAUCAAGAACAUAAGAGCGUUUAACAUCUUUUCUCCAUCGAGAAAGAAUGUAGUGAGGUGGGAUCUCCUGCAUGCCACUCUGGUUUAGAACACAAAGAAUGUGUCUGCAUAAAUAUCCUCUGAAAUUGAACAACCCACAAACACAAAGCACCUCCUGCAUAAAUAUCUUUCUCGUUGCUACCAAUCUCAAAUUCUUCCUUCACUAUCUAUGUUAUAGGUCCAUCAGCACUGACAUGUUUUGUGCUAUAGCAAGAGUACAUAGCCUCCACCUCCGUCUGAAACUUCCUUAACAUUUCAUUUGUGUACAGUUUUGAGAGUUGAAAUUCAUAGUAACAUCUUGGUUUCUGGAUACAACUUGAAUUUCUUGAAUCCAUAUCUGCCAAGGCUUCCAGUUGAUAAUUCGCCUGCAGUGCUUGAUCAUACUUGUCUAAGAAUUCUUUCAAAGGAGUACUCUUAUCAAGAUAUCCUUCAAAGUAUGAAGUAGAAACCUCAUUCUGCAGGAAUGAAAACACUCCUGAUAAAAAUGCUUCCUUCAAAUAAACAGGAGCCCACCUUUUACGAUCUUCAUAUAAAGUUUGAAUCCAUCCAUGAUCCUUUAUUCCAUGACGUUGAAUCGUGUCCUCCCAAGCUGUCUCAAAUUCCUCAGGCCUAAGAGAGUGAUAAAUUGCUCUAUGCAAUGCAGCUCUAACAGCUUCAUAUUCAAACAAUCCUUGGAGUUUCUCUGAAAUUUUUUGCAUGACGCAUGACAAUGAAAAGCAAUGAUAAGCUCUUGGGAAAGCAUUGCUGACGGCAGUUUUCAAGAUUCUACAUUGGUCAGUGAUGAUUGUUUGUGGACAGCGUCCUAACAUACAUGUAAGCCACGCCCUAAACAACCAUGUAUAUGAUUCUAUAGUCUCACUGGCGAGUAAACCACAGCCCAACAGCACUGAUUGUCCAUGAUGAUUCACCCCAAUGAACGAAACCAGUGGUACAUCAUAUCUUUCUGUCAAGCAUGUAGUAUCAAUUAAGACUACAUCACCAAAGUACCUAUAUGCAACUCUUGACCUGGUAUCAGUCCAGAAGAGGUUUCUCAGGCAUCCCUUUUCAUUUAGAUCCACCACAUUAAAAAAGUUUGGAUCUGUCAACUGCAAACGACAAAAGAAACUCUGGACAGCUUGUGCAUCUCCUGGUUUAAGCUUCAAUUGAUUUGAGCUAUUAACAUCAUUUCCAAAUACUCCAUUAACAUCUAUAUUACCAUUUCCCUCGGUAUCAAGGAUAAGAGUUCGAAACAGUCUAAUUUUUUGAACUUCUUCAGCACCAUCUAAGAGCAAUGUUCUUUUGGUUCCAAUACCCAUGUGCUUAUGAGACUUGUAAAACUUUCCGCUUCUUGGGCUUAACAAACGGUUAUGCUCAAGCUUGACUUCAAUGAUUCUCCACCUUUUGGUUUCCAUCAACCUAAACUUUAUCAUUGCUGGACAGCCAGUUCUUGUUUCUGGUCUUGGGCGGUUUGCCUCGCUUUUCUUCUUUAAGCCUGCACUACUACAGCUCAGCUUUCCUCUAUACUUUUCUCUACUCUUUCGGUACCAUGUAUUGCUAACUCUAACACCAAAACCCUGUUCCUUGGCAUAGCAAUUAUAAAAGUAAUAUACGUCAUCAUACGUCUCAAACUCCAUCCCAACAGCAGGAGGCAAUGGAUUUUGGAUUAUCCCAGUUUGUCCAACAUAUUCAGUCAUCGCACAAUCUCCUAUUCAAAAUCAUCAGCGUCAUCAUCACCUACGGGUUCAGUAUUCAGAGAAACUUCAUCCAUCUACAAUAGAUGUUUAAUGAAGUGAGCUUUAAGGAGAAAAGGCAAAAUCAGUUCAAGGAAUGAUAAUAAAACCGUACAGUUACUUUCACAAAGCUUCGUAUUUCAUCACUACUUUAACAACAUGCAACUGCCUGAGAACAUACAGACAUGUCAUAGAUGCUUGAAUUAAGUAUUGAUACAAAUUAGCACACAUCAUGUGGGACACAAUUUCAGUCACUAAACCCAAUACCUUUUUUUUACAUCAUACCAAGAAACAGAUUAAACCCAAUACCUUCUUUUACGCCAUACCAAAGAACAGAUUAAAUCAUCAAUGAAAAAUUAAUCACAUAAUAAUUUAACUAGACAAUUGAAGAGCUCAAAACAGCACAAUACUUGAAUCUGAUUAUGAUAAUUGUUGAGUCCUUGUAUCGACAGCUUUCCUUCAAUGAGAAGAUUAUGAACAUAAACUACACACAAAAAAAAAAAUUAUUUAAACUGACAGCCCAUGAUAUAAAUCAAACAAAAUUAACUCCUUUUACAAAUCACAUCUUGUAUUCAUUUACAUCGAAACAUAAAAAGGAAGCAGGAGCCAAAAAAAACAACAGCACAGAAACUUCUUUCCAUAAGGUUUACGAAAUAAGGAAUUUAUUAAGACACAAAAUUUGAGGUCACCUAUAAUAAUUUGGUUCUCAUUCUCUUUUUCUUCAUUUUUCACUUAUUGAUGGAGUUAGCAUACAAUCCUAAAUGAUAAAACCCCAUCUCCAUUUUUGAACUAGAGCUAAAGCAAAGCAUUUUAGGAUUCAUCAUUUUUUUUUCUAAAAGACUCAAUAGUACAAUGUUUUUCAAUAUUAAAUACACAACUCAAUCUUCUCCUAAUUUACUCUAAUAAUCUCUUAACUUAGGAAGAUUAAGCUCCACUUGUAAGCUAAAACAAUUUUCUUAAAUCAAGCCCCAAUGCUCUAUACUAUUCAACAAGGCCUCAUAAAUGAUAAAACUACCUCUACAAAGAUACCCAUUUUAGUUUCGCAAACUAAAAUCAAACUCCUGAAACGUAACGAGCAUUAAAACAAACAAGUCCGAACAAGAACUGAAAAAUCAUACAUAAACUCGUUUACACGCUUCGAAAAACACUUUGAAAUUCAAACGAAACAUACCUUAGGUUGAUAAAUUAGUAGCGCAAAAGAAAUUUUAGUGAGAUAUGGGAUCAGGGUUUUUGCCACGGUGAUGUUAAUUGCGACAUUGGGGUGACUCAGCAGCCUUCGAGGCUGAAACUUUGAUUGACCAAAAGCUUCCCGUUCGUUGAUUAUCUAAUUGCAGAAACGAAACUCGCAGUGUACAGAAGAAGUACGCUGAUUUGAUAAUUCUGUGAAAAUCAUUGUUUUUUUGAGAUUUUUAAUGUGUUCGGUAAAUAUCAAAAUCUCAAAAACUUGUCUUUCAUUUUGGGGGGAAAAACCCAUUGAGAUCCUUAUGUUUUUUCUUAUAUAAUCUGGCUUAAUAAUUUGCAAAGUCUAUUACUUUGCACCCAUGCAUGCUGCGUUUCAAUUUUACAAAAUUGUACGUGAGUGCAUCCAGCUAAAAUUUGUAAAAAGAAAAUAACAAUAACAUGUUAAAAAUGUGAUGAUUAUGAAGAAAUUUUAAUUUAGUUAAAUAGGUGACGAUGGAUAGGUAUAAAAUCUGAGAUCUUUUAUGAGAUUAAUAAGUAUGUUGAGUUUGGAUUAGUUCAAUUUUGACAUAAUACAGAAUAAACACAAUCUGCUAAUCUAAGUUAUCAUCUUUUCUCGUCAUCAGGUACCUGUUUGAAAAAUAAUUAUAUACAAUUUUAUUUGCGUUGUCUCUCCAAAAAUUUUGGACUCGAAUGUUAUUUUUAAUUGCUAAAAGUACGAAAAUGCCCCCUUUCUCUUCAGCUAAAGGAGUGCAAAGUCAUCUGUAUAAUUGAAUCUGCAUCAUCAGUUUCUAUUGCUGGCUGGUGUUACUGCAUGCUUACAGUUGCUUGACAAAGUGAGCCAGUUUUUUGUUUAUUAAUUUUUUUUCUUGUCGAGACAGUCACAAAGUAUUACUUGUUCCAUAUGAGAAUGAUGUGAAUCAAUUUUUCAAUUAUGCAUUCUGUGGUAAUUAUUGUGAAUUUAGUUUCAUUUGUCUUGUCUCCUGCAAAUUUUGAAGAAAAUGCAGACAUACAAACUUACAAUAUGGAAGAGUUCACUGGAAAAAACUUUGUGAAAGCUUCCAAGUGAAACAGGGAAUGGGCUUACUAGUAAAGGACAAAUUGGUGGCCAGCUAAUGCAUUCAUUCUAUGUCCAUUCAUCUUUUCGAAUUAUUGAAGACAAGUGGCUCACCACUUUUAGUAUUGGUAAAAUUCAGAUAAUCUCUAUUCCGAAAUAAUAAUAUUCAAAAUAUCUCUUAAAUCAUUAUAAACCUGAAAUCUAUUUUAAUUUUAUUUAAAAGAUAAAAGAAAAAUAGGUUAUGUUGGUGAUUUUUUAUUAUCUUUUUAAUAAAAAUGAAAUAAAUUGAUGUUUAUAAUUAUUUAAAGUAUUUUAAAGAUUGCUAUUUUAUGAGAGAAUAAUAUUUCACUUUUUUAGUGUGAAAGAUUGAAAAAGGACAAACCAAGUUUCCCUAAUUUUUAUUUUAUUUGAAAUUGGUCAUCUCACAUACUUCACCCUUCAACAUUAUAAUUUUUUUGGUUAUAAUUUUAUUAUUUUUUCUCUUUUACACAUGCAUGUGAAUUACUUUUCUUUAAGCUCCUGAAUAUUUAAGACAAAUCAUGGAAGAGAUGAGAGUAUAACAAGAUGAUCAAAAUAUGUAACAAAAAAAUUUUAGAAGUGAAAAAUAUGUUAGAGUCGAAGUAAAACUCUGAGGUGAUGUUUGAUUUGAAGAAAAUGGAGGAGAGGAAAAGAGUGGAAUGGAGAGGAAAAUAGAGAAAAGGAGAGGAGAGGAGAGUGAAAUUUUUUUCUAAUGUUUGGUUUGUCACAUAAUUAUACAAAGAAAAGAAAUCUCUAAUUUUUUAUUUAGACAAUUUUAACCUUAAUAAGUAUUAAGCUUUCAAUAUUUAUCAUGUGUAUAAUUUAAAAAAAGUAAAUGGUAGAAAGCGGUUUCUGAUUCCGGCCACAUCGCCGGCAAUGGAAGGUACUUAUCAGAACAUCAAGAGCCGACCAUCAUUCCCUAGCCAUCACUGCUGUCAGAACACUGCCAGAAAGCUGCCGAUUGAACCGCAAAAAGUCGUGGAAAUCGCUGCCUCAAAUCGGUGAGUUUCGCCUUUUUCUGGUCACGCCGUCACCUUGGCUUUGUCCAUCAAGGCUGCCACUUCCAUUUUCAACCAUCCAUAGCCACUAUUAACGGCCAAAUCGCCGCCGAUCAGCGGGAUAUGUGGAAGUUAAAAAGUUUCUAAAUUUUUUUGACUGGAUUUGAACAACAUACGACCAUUUUUUGAUCUCGAUAACGACGUAGUAAUGUUGAUCAUUGAUCGGCAAGUCGAAUGGUAGUGGCGGUGAGUAACAUGCGCCAAUGACAUCGGCGGCGGCACUAUCCGGCGACUGUUAAAAUUAAUAUUUUAUAUUUUUAGAUUAAAUAAAUUUAUUUUAUUAAACUUUUUAAAUCAUUAUUUAAAUUUAAUUAAUUUAAAAUUAUCUAUAAUGUUGAAUUGAUAAAAUAAAUUUAUAAAUAAUAAUUAUGUGAUUACAUUAAAUAAGUUAAAAAGUUGAAAGGUUAUUUUUGGAAGAUUUAGUUUCCAACACAAAGGGAAUUUGAAUUCUUCACUUCUUAGUGUGGAAUUCAAAUUCUAUAUUGUAAUGGAUAUUAAAUUCCAAUAGAAAUUAAAUUCUUAUAAAUUAUGUCAAACCAAACAACGGAAAUAAAAAAGGAAUUUAAAUUACUUUCCUUUCCUCCAUUGUCUCCUUCCAACCAAAUACAUCCUGAAAAUAGAGAUAUUGAUUAAUUUAGAAGAGAUGCAAGCAAAAGAUAUUCCAAAAAAAAAAAAAGCAAUAUGUCCCUUUGGAGGGCAAACUUGUCAGUUUUAAAAAAGUACAUGCUUUGGAUUGAUAGUUGUAGGAUAUUUGUUUUGUCACUAUGUAUUAGUUGGAGAAGUCAAGCCUUGUGAAGAAUGUUAUGAAAGAGCAAAAGAUAUUCCUGAUAGCUGAUAGAGCUAUAUUUGAUUAUGUAUCCAACGAAUGGAUGUGUUGUUGGAAGAUAUCUGAGUGCAUUAGUUCAUAUGUGUAUGUCAAUGUGCUUUUAAUGAUUUUUCCACUUGUUUGUUGUAAAAGAUUAUUGUAAAUUGAAAUGAACUUGAUGUUGUAAUAUUUUUUCCUUAGUGGAAUUUCACCUAGUAUGUAUUCAGUUGUGUUCUCUAUAAUUUUGCAUUCGAAUAGUUUCACCUAAAUAUAUUAGCAUGAGUAGUGGCCCUUGAAACUUUGGUCAAAAUUAUUGUUAUUAUUUCCGACUAGAUGUAAAUUUUUUAUUAAAUCUCGUUAACACAAUUCUUAAUUAAAAGUAUAGGUUAGUGUUGGUGCAAGAUUUGCCACACCAAAUUCUGCCUAGCUGUCAAAAGUGCAAAAUAAAUGAAGAGAAAGCACAAAUACACGACUUGAAUAAGGAUACAACGAAACUUAAAUUCAAGAGAAAAUGAUAGCUAUAUCUCAAGAUUUGAAAAAAUGAUCAUGUAGAUUUUUAAGAUUUCAAUAAGCGACUGAGAUUCAAAUAAUAUCCUUUAAUUCUAUUAACAAAAAACAAAGACUCAAAUAUUUUAUGAUAAAUAAAAAUAUAAUAUUAAAAUAUAUGUGAUAAUAUACACAUUUUAAAUACUUUCAAUCCAAAAAAAUAGUUAUGUUUUACAAUCUAUUAGACAUAUUUUAUUAAAUUAAUAUAAAUUUUCUAUAAAAUAAGAAUAUAAUAUUAAAAUAAAUUCACUAAACUUUAAAGAAUUUUGAAUGUAAAAUAAUUUUAAUAUAUUAAUACGUGAGUUUUUUUAUUAAUAUAAAAAUUAUUUAACUUUAAGAUUUUUUAAAAUCUUUACAAUAAGUAUAACUAUAUUAUUUACAUUUAAAAAUAUUUAAAUAUUAUUAACCUACAAUUAUAUUUGCAUUUGUUAGAAAUUUUUUAAGUAAAAUAUUUUGCACUUCUAUAUUAUUAGAAUUAUUGCACACAAAGAAAGAAACAUAUACCUUUAGAAAUUGUUUUCUUUUAAAAUAGAGAUGAUGAUUAGUAUAAGGAUGAAAAAAAGGAUAUUAACGAAAUCUCUAUACAAAUUGAUUUUAGUAGGAAAAGAGUGAGAUGAAUGAUUCUUUUACAAUUAGAAACAUAGAUGAUGAUUAUUAUAACGAAGAAAAAAAGAUAAAGAAUAUUAAUUAUUAAUGGAAUCUCUAUGCAAAUUGAUUUUAGUAGGAAAAAAAUGAGUUAAAUGAUUUAGAGUGCGUUUGGAAUUGAGAUUGGGCAGCCAUAGAUUUUAAGUUACAACACUGAAGUGUUUGGUAAAUACUAGCUGCUGCAGAUUGAAAGUUAUGUUGAUAUGAUUUUUCACAUGUAUCAUAGAAAAUAUAUUACAUCUUUAAUAAUUUUUUUAAAAUUUAUAUUUGCUAUAUAUUAUUAUUAUUUUUUUUAUAGUUAUAACUUUUUUUCCACAGCAGCUGUAGCUUAAAAGCCACAGCACCUCAAUUUCAAACAAGUCCUUAGACAUUCAUAGUGUGUUUAUUUUUUGGAUUGGUGAAUAAAAAUUAUUGACAACGCUAACUUCAUCUUCACCGUUCGCAAUCCAACAGCAGCAAUUGUCACCAAUAAUGAUAUCUCCAAUGAUGAUGACAAUUAUUAUUAUUAUUAUUAUUAUUAUUAUUAUUAUUAUUAUUAUUAUUAUUAUUAUUAUUAUUAAUAAUUAAUUAAUUAAUUAAUAUAUUAAUGUUAAGAUUAUUAUUGUUAAGAUUAACAAUAAUUAUUAGUAAUACAAUUUUUUGAAUAAAAAUAAUCACAAUAAUUAAAAUACAAAUUAAUAAUUAUGACAAUAGUUAAUUAAUGUCUUUUUAGUGAAUCAAAAUUAUUGACAACGCUAACUUCAUCUUCACCGUUCGCAAUCCAACAGCAGCAAUUGUCACCAAUAAUGAUAUCUCCAAUGAUGAUGACAAUUAUUAUUAUUAUUAUUAAUUAAUUAAUUAAUUAAUGUUAAGAUUAUUAUUGUUAAGAUUAACAAUAAUUAUUAGUAAUACAAUUUUUUGAAUAAAAAUAAUCACAAUAAUUAAAAUAAAAAUUAAUAAUUAUGACAAUAGUUAAUUAAUGUCUUUUUAGUCAUUUAUAGUAAACAAAUUAUUAUGAUUCCUAUUCUCCUUUCCCAUUUUAGCUCACUUUGAUUUCAGUCUAUUCCGAUUUCUAUCUAAUAAAUGCACCAUUAGUGCUAAAGUAAUAUUUCAUACAUAGAAAAGUAAAAACUACACCUAAGGUUAAGGGAAAGGACUUCAAAACUCUCUUUUGAUUAUAAUACUAGGAAAUAAAACCGCGCUUCGCGCGGCUUUAGAAAAUAAAUUUAGUAUUAUCAAUUUUCUUUCUUUACACUCGACAAAACUGAUAAAAAAUAUAAAUUAAUUUUUUUUAAAUGAGCCAGCGUUAUAAAACUAAUAUUAUUUAUGAAAGUUAACUAUUUUUUUGUUAACUUUAAAAAUAUAUAUUAACGUGUAUAGUUUAAGUGUACAGACUUUAUACCUUUUGUAGUUGAUAAGUUCCAAAUUAAAUUUUGUAAUUGAGGAUCCUUAGCAUUGAAGUAUAAAAGAAAUAAGUAAAAUACAUGUAAAGACUUUUGUAAUUUAUUUCGCAUCGUUUGUAGCUGCGUAGGUGAGCAGUUGUUUAUAUCAAGCUUGCAGCUAUGGCAAGUUCCAAUGGGGAUCAGCAACACCUAGUGCCAAAAUGUUCUUUAUCUGUAUAUAAACCAUGUCUCCAUGGAUUAGAGAGAAUGAAAGGAGAAACAGUUGAUGUAAAAAAGAAUGCUUCUUCACGUACUAUGUUCUUUGGCGAUUAAAUCCUCCAUAACAGCUUGGAAAACUCAGCCAAAUUACCAUUUUGUUGUCUCGAUAGUUCCUUUGAUUUAUCCAUUUGUCUACUGAAUAAUUAAAACACAUAAUAAAAAUCAUUAUUAUAGGGUGAAGUAAGAGCUUGCAAUGUAUAAAUUAAAUUUUAAAAUAUAAUCUAAAAAUGUGAUACCUUGAUUUUGUGAGCUAAUGUGUGAAUAUUUUGAAAUACUUCUUUGUAGACAAUGUUUUUUAUGAAGGUUCGGUCUUCUACCUCUUGAUCGGCAUUUAGUAUGGUCAAUCCUUCUCUUGAGGUAACUCGAGACACGGCGACAUAUAAUUGACCAUGUGUGAAUACUUGCUUAGGGAGAUACAAGCCAACAUGUUUAAGAGAUUGUCCUUGGCUUUUGUUGAUCGUCAUGGCAAAACAUGGUGCUAAAGGAAGUUGUCGUCUGUUAAGCUUGAAUGGCCAUCUUGAUUCAUUAGGAGACAUAAUAAUUCUUGGAAUUGUGACAUUUUGUCCAAUAUUUGUUCCAGAAAUGAUGUCACCUCUAAUGGACCAUUUACCAAGAUGAGUGACAAUUAAUCUUGUGCCGUUGCAUAGGCCUUCUAUUUGAUUUAGAUUUCUGAGAAGCAUUACGGGAGCACCUUCCUUAAGUCGUAUGUCAUGAUUAGGGAUGCCAUUGAAUUUCAAACUAUUCAAAAAUUCAGUUGGAUAUAGAACAUCUUCAUCAUUUGUGUUUGCGCUUGCUUUGCAUAUACUGUCUGAGCUAAAAUAGGUUCUCCCUUGACCAGGUAUUAUAUUCAUAAUCAUCUCGUUCAAUUCAUGCACCAUUUCAUUUUUUGGGGUUAAUAUUGCUCUUUCUUUCAAAUAUGUUGGAUCACUGUAGUUAUGCUGAAUUGAUGGGUAGAUAGUGUCGACUAUUGAUUUUAUCAGAUUUUCUGAUGGUUUCUUACAGAUAUCAGAAGGUAGUUUAACUAAAUCUCUAUCAAUGUCAUCAUAUAAUGAACCAUCUCCAAUCUGCAAUAACCAUUUGUCAAAAGAAGCUAUUUUAGCAGCCUAAGAGCCACUCACACUUCCAUUAUAGAGCCUCAUAUUUUUUUUGAGGUCAUAAAUUUUGAAAAAUGGCCACAAGUAGGAUGAGUUAAGUGAAGCAUCAACAAUGUCUGCUCUUGUCCUCUUUGGCACAACUGGCAAUAUUUGUCGGAAAUCGCCACCACAUACUAUUGUAAGUCCUCCAAAAGGUUUGAUAGAACUAUUUUCAUACAUUGUUCUUAGAAUAUCUCUCAAGGUCCUAUCCAAAGCUUCAAAGCAGAACUUAUGUGUCAUAGGCGCUUCAUCCCAAAUGAUCAAAGAAGUUUUCAUAAGAAGUCCAGCUAAUAAGGUGCCUUGUCGGAUUUCACAAGUGGACUCUGCUGUCACAUCCAAAGGAAUAUGAAAUCGCGAAUGAGCUGUCCUACCAUUAGGCAAUAACAAAGCUGCUAUACCUGAAGUUGCAACAGGCAAGACUAUUUUAGAAUGUGAUCUGAGCUUUGCAAUAAUUGUAUUCCACAAAAAUGUUUUACCAGUACCACUGUGUCCAUUGAUAAAAAAUAAACGCCCUUCUUCAUUGUCAACAGAAUGCAUUAUUGCUUCAUAGGCUGAUUUUUGGCAAGCAUUUAGAGCAGCAAACGAUUUCUCAUGCAACUUCUUUAAUUGAUCACGAUCAUAAUCAAGCUCUUCAUUGACCAAUCGGUUACCUGAAUCUCUUAUCAAAGAAGAAUUAGGAAGUGGCAUUCCAUCUAUGUCUCUCAAACUUUUUCCCAUUUUCAACAUGAUAGUUUAAAUCUCCAACAAUGUGUAUGCUUCAACUUGUUGCUCGGUUAACUGAAGAUCUUUCAAUCUGAAUUUUUUCCUUUGCAAUGAAGUUAUGUCUUCUGAUAAAGUAGUAUAAUUAGAUUUCCAAAGUUGGGGUGCAUCAGAAACCUGACAAUGAAUGAGUAUCGUGACAAAAAGAUGUCUUAAUUCAUUUCCAGUCGCCCAUAUUGCAGCUUCAGUCAAGCAGUCGAUCCAUUCUUUAUCAUCGUCUAAUAAUCCCAAAGCAUAGCACGCAGCUUUAAAAGUUGGAUAUGUCACUCCAUUUACUGUUCUAAUACUUUCAAAUGAAGUGCUUCCUUUUACAAAAUUGAGCAACAUUCUCAUAUAAAAUCGUUCUCCACUUGAAGGAUGUGCAAAGUAAAUUCUUCCGAUUGCUAAGCCAUUUUUUCUCCUAGUCCAAGUUUUGUCUUUUGAAUUCCAUACCCAACAUGUAGGGAAAUCAGAAUAAGUUAACUCUCGUGCAUCAUCAUAAUUCUUGUUUGCCUCCAACCAUUCUGUGAACUUUGUUUUUUCUAUUCCAGGUAUGGUAAGCACAUUUUCUAAGCACUUAGAUUCUUCGAAUAUUACUGUAUGCUCUCCCGGUAAAUGGAACGGCAAUCUUUCAACUGCUGGCUUUCUGUAAUGUAUGUCAAAUUGGAAGAUUCGCCAGCAAGCUUCGGUUGCUGAUAUAUAUCUGCAGUCCAAAUAUGUUUUGAUCUCGUCCAUUUCUUGGGUAGUGUCAAUAGAUUCCAUUGUUGCAGUUGUUCUAUCAGACCCUUUAUGGACAUACUUGAAAAGAUAUUUAACUGAUCUCGAGUAAUUACAAAUCUCAACAUUAAUAUGUGCAUCAAAUUUGACAAUUAAAUUCCUGUGAUAAGGGACCACAUAUCGAUUAUCCAAGAAGACACCUUUCUUUUCGACAUGAAUACCUGUAUUUCUCCUUUUAUAGAUUGGAAAACCAUUUGUAUCCACUGUUGUCUGAUCAUUAAAUUUUUUUGGAAAAUGUUUUGUGCACUUGUCUUGCAUCAUGCAUGGAGAGUGAGAAUUGUGUUUUCCACACGGUCCAUGAAUCAUAAAUUUGUUAACUGCAUUAUAACCAUCAGGAUCAACAUUUAAGUCAGGGAUUUCUGCACUUAUUAUUUUAUCAAUAUGGUCUGCAGAAGGAUUUUUCAUUGUUGGAUGCAAAAAAAGCAGUAUGUGUGCAUAGGGCAAGCCUCUUUUUUUAAACUCAAUUGUAUAUAGACCUGCCACAAAAUAGAGUAAAAUUUAAAAGUUAGAAAUAUUGAUUUUAAUUGUGAAAUUAUUGUUUUUCCCUACACUUUUCAAUAACAAAUGAGUUGAAUUUGUUAUGGAUACGAAUUUGAAGUGAACUUACAUGCAAUUAUUUUUCCAAACGGUUGAUCUUUUUUCAAAUCUUGCAUUAGUUGGAAUAAUUUUAUCUCGAAAACUCUGCAUAUGAUAUCGACUCGAUUGUCAUCAUUAUUUUGUCCAACUAAUCGGAGCAUGUUAUUUAUUUCUUGCCACUUUGGGUUGCAAGUGAAAGUAAGAAAUAAAUCAGGAUAUCCUGCCCAUUUACAAAUUGCCAUAGCAUCUUGAUAAUUUUGUAUUCUAUAUCGUGGUCCCCCCGUGUGUGAUGAAGGUAGAAUAAUCGAUUUUCCAACUUUCGAACAAUCAGAAUCACCUCGAUGAACAGCAUCCAUCAAACCAGAGAAAAGGUCUGAUCGAAGUUUUUGUUGAUUAUUCCGGAUCCAACGAAAUCUUUCUUCUUCAACUGCCAUGUAACAAUCAACUAUAUAUUGUUGGAAUAGUCUACCAGUUUGAAGUAGAGUGUGUCCCUCAUUCAAUCUUUGUUGCAACCUAAAGCAAUAAUAUUGCCUCAUUGUCAGCUUUUGCCUCUUAAAAGGGCUAUCAGUUAUGUCUCUUAAAGAUAUGUCAGGUCUAUAUCCAUCUUCGCCAUAAGGAUAUAUUAACGGGUAUGUCAUGGGCAUGAAGCUUGGAUGCAAAUCUGUGAUUCUCCGAAGUCCCUUUGUGCGAUGCUCUAUAAUAACAUCGCGUUGAAAGUUUGCUUCACUGAAAUCACCAACUAUUAAGCCUGCAACUUCUGAAACUGUUGGUAUAUUGUAUCGACGACCAUCUCUUGUUCUACUAUUAAGGAGUCGUAAACGGAAUGUAGAUUCUGGUUGUGUUUUGUAUCUAUCCCUCGCCAUUCUAAAAGAUUUGACCAAAUUAUUAUGUUGGUCCAACAUUUUAGAUAGUUCAUGAAGAAUUUCGUGAUCAAUUUCUGUCUUCAUUCCAUGUUUUAAUAGAGUGUUGAUUCUAUUGUCUAUCUCAUUUUCAGUAUCAUAGAUAUAGAGCUGAGCAAACUGUGGUUUUUUCCCAACUUCUGGCAACAAAGAACCAAUGUGAUGAUAAUUCUGACCGCUCAUCCUGAAAACAUAAGGACCUUUUGAUCGAUUGAUUGAUGCAUCAACUCGACCUCCCAUAGAUGUGAAAGCAAACAUGGAGUUAUAAGCCCUGAUAUUUUUUCGAAAUUUGGAACCCUUUUGUCCAGACUCUGCCCCGAGAAGAUAUUUGAGUAAAGGAGGUGUUUCUUUCAUGAAUGGAAUCUGCACACGACCUUCCAUACAACAAAAUGUGAAUUUGGGAUGUGAGACCUUUUUGGUUUUCUUGUUCCGUUCCUCGUACCAUAAAAUGGCACCACAAUAUUGACAUGUGUAUGUAGGGGGUCCAAAAUUCCAAGGCGUUGUGUAAUGAACUGUCAAAUUCAACCAAUAAUAAUAUUGUAACAAAGUAUCUUAUUUCGUCUAAGUGAAUAUGGUAAGAAAAAAUAUUACUAAAUAUAUUAAUAUUUUCAUUGUACAUGUAGUUUCAUGCAAAUAUGUACCAUUAUUUGAUGUUACACCAUCCAAUGGAAAGCUUGUGGACUGAUCUAUAUUCUCAUCAAAAGAGAGACACGCUCUUUUUAGUUGUCCAUGUUCAACUGUAUAUUUUUAAAGUUCCAAAAGCAAUGAAUAAGUUAUUAGUUUCAAGUAUUACAAGCAUGAUGAAUAACUAAUAAAGCUCGAUAAAUUUAAAUAUAUAUACGUACAUGUGUGAAGAAGGCGCUUUCCUCUGUUUGUUUGACUCUUUGGAUUUAUAUGUAAUGAUGUUUUAUUAUUAUCAUAUCCAGCUUUACCAGGAGAUUGAAGGAAAUUCCCAAUUGAAAUAUGUUAGAAAUAUAUAUAUUUGUUAAUAUAUAUUAACAUAAAUAAUUUAAAUUAUAUAGGGAUAAUUUUUGUAAUUUGUAUAGUAGGAAUAAAAAUCAUAUUUUCAAGAAUCACAUACCGUUUGAGUGAAGCAAUUUAUUGUCACUUCUAAUGACUUCCAACUUCAUAAAUUUUGUGUAAAAAUUCACAAUUUGUAGCAUCAAAAUGAUUCUCUUUUUUAAAUCAUGUUUGUAUCUAUUAUGAAUAAUCAUAAUUUUCCGCUUAAAUCUUGCAUGCUUGAAUAUGGCCUUCUGCACGACAACAUAUCCAUUGUUUAUUGUGUCACACUGGAAAUUUGAUGCAUAUUUCCUAAGUUUUAAUUUCAUAAUCCUUUCGUGCCGAGCUAAAGAUGAAAGUUGAUGCCGCAAGAGACAAACUUCUGGCGGAAUAUUCCUUGAGUCACCGAAAUCAUUAAUAGUUGCAGAAAUCAAUUCCAUUUACUCUGGUGAACAAUAAAGUGAAUUCAAUAUCACAAAAUAUUCUAAAAUUAACAAAACGUUUUAUUACAAAUCAUAACAAGAGAAACCGAAAAUAUAAAAUGUUUUUUUUCAAAAGAGAGAAUUUUUUUUUCAAUUAUUGAAAUAAGAAUUGCAAUGAAUUUUUCGAACGAAUAUAUACCAUAUGUUAGAAAGAACAAAAAAAAAAUCACUAAAAACAAAACAAAAUAAAAUGGGAUUUAAUUUAACCAAUUCAAUUUAAUUUUAAACUCAUGCCAGUGUCACACUGGCAUUAAUUUUUGUUGUGCUUAUAGCCACGAACAGAGGCUUUUAGAUUACUUCUUUAUUAGGUUAUUAUUCUUCGAAUUUGGUGGGUAAAUUGUGAGCUUUUUCUGUUGUGAUAUUAUCAAAUCAAUCCAUGCAAAAUAAUCAUUAAUGUAAUGUUUUUGUUAUUUUCAAACUGAUAAAUAAUUAUGAAUUGUUUCCAUAAUUGUGUAUUUAGAAACAACGUUAACACAUUUUUUCGGAACAAACUUCUAAGUUUGAUUGAUUUUACGUCUAAUUACGAUACCCUAAAUUAAUAUAGAAAGUCAACAAAAAUCCACUUUAACAGUUCUAAUGUAAAUUUAAAGGCAAUUAAUUUUGAGUAAAUAUGAACUAAAACAAAACUUGAACAAAAUCUGAAUUUAUAUAUAAUAUUAAGGUAGCCACAUUGCAUUUGAAAAUGUCAAUUAGUGGGAUCUAAAUAAAUAAUCACCUUGGAAUUUUUUAAUGGUUGUAGGAGUUAAUAUUACAUACACGGACUAUCAUCUUUGUUGUACAAAUUUCGAUCAAACAUCUCCCCCAACUUUUUUCAUAAAGUAAUCUUUGAUAUCACCGAGCUAUCCAUAAAAAUUGCCACAAGUGAAUAAUGUAAAGAGAAAAACUCAUUAUAAGGAUAUCAUAUUAUCAUUAAAUUCGAAAGUUUCGAAUUACGUUAUUAUACAAUUGGUUACUUUUUAAUUCUAAAUCACCAAUAUUAUUAUUCCCUAUCUCAAUAUGAAUAUUACCACUUGACUUUUUUAUUUGUGUUUAUGAAGAGGUGGGGUGUGAGGAAAAGGAAAAAAUGUUUUUCUUAAGAAUUAGAACAAAUAAUUAGGCAAUAAUUCAAGGAAUUGAGGUUGUUCAUUCUACAUUCCAUUUGGAUUUACAGUGAUUUUCAUAAAUUUUUUCUUUUAUUAAUUAUGCUAACUGCCAUGUACUGUUGUUUAUUCUACUGCGUUUGGGAGAAGAUGCUUGGGCUGCCUAGAACAUAUUUUCUAAUUAAUUUUUCUUGUGAAUACAUUGAAUAAUCUCUAAGGGCUAUAUCCUUUUUCAUUUUACUUUAACGGUUUUUCUUCAACAAAUAUUGGAUGUAUUUAGUGAAAAAGAAAAUUAAAAAUUAGGAAAGAAUUAAUAAAAUUAGUGAAGUCAAAUUGUCAAUCAAUUCUUAUGAUAAAACAAUAAUUAAAAAAUAUAGUCAUAGUUUUCUUGAUUAUAUUCGACUUAUUAAUCUGUUAAAACUUUUUAUAUCUUUUUUUCCAACUUCCCCAUUUGGUGAACUAUAAAAAUGAUAUGUUUUUUUUCCACUCUUUGUCUCUAUCUUUUUUCACUCACAAAGAGUUAAUAGUUAUUAAUCAAUUAAUUUUUUUUGUUUGCAUAAGAAUUAAUAAUGUUGCACACAUGUAUUGUGAAAUAAUUGUUUGUUCAUAAUUAUUUUUUGCAUUUUUUUAGAAGUCAAUAGUCAAAUUAAUGAUAUUGAAUUAAGACAUUUCGAAGUUUGCUAUUUUGUACUUCUAAUAGAAAUGCUUGCAAAUGGGAGGCAUUAAUUUUUCUGUUUACUUUAUCGAAUUUCAUAAAAUUCAAUUCAAACAAAAAAUUGAAGGUUAGAAAAGCAGUUGGAUAGUUUCAUAAAAUUAUUAUUUUAUCAUUUAAAAGAUAUGUACCACAUCAAUUAGGACUAAAUAUUAGAAUCAUUAGCAUUGUUCCAAUCACACAUGCAAAAUCUAUCACUCAAUAGUCAAGUACAUUGUACAAUGCAGUCGAGAACAACUUCAACAUUUAGUUAAACCUUUUCUAUCUGUUUAUUUCCACAAAACACCAAAUAUCCAGAUUGAUACUGGAUCCUCCGAGUCAAAUAUAGCUAGUUCACGUUCAGAAAAGACCCGCCUCUUUUAAUUGUACCUCCUGCAUGCGAAUUAUAUAACAAUUAAAUAAAACUACACCAGAGAUUAAUUAGUCAAUAAAUAUAAACACGAGCUAAAACAUGUGUUUACUAAUAAUUCUUAAACAGGUCUAAGCUUUCAAAGUUUGCAUUGAAAAAUUAAAGUGAAAAUCUUCAAUACCUCCAUGUGUAAAUCGCAUAAAUUAGACAACCAAAGAUUAUUCAAAGAUUUUUCUUUCUUACCUUAUGCUUUUUCGCAAACAAGUAGAUAACAACAAUUGUAAAGACAAGUGAGCAGUAAUCUGUUAAAACAAAGUAAUCCAGUGUUAAUGAAAAUAAGAACAACAUAUUAUAUUUAAAACUAAGUUUUCAUAAUAAUGAAAUCGAGUAAACUUAUUCGAUAAGGAUAAACAAAUAGAACGCAUUGACAAAUUGACAUCAAAUUAAAUUGAUCCAAAGAAAUUGAGAUGCUCAAAUUUGAUUACGUACACAUUAAUUUUCAAAUAAUUAAUCCACACAUUGUUUUAUUCUUCAAACAUCUUUAAACACAGGAGCCAACACUUUCACUCUUAUAUAUUACUGCCAUAGUAACUUGAACUUGGUGAUCAGCUUUUUAAUUGAUUUGCAGUAGCUCACAAUUAAUUAAGCUUGAUCAUCAGUAGCUAUUAUUGAUCAUAAAAAUAUUUGUUUAAUUUACAAUCUAAAGUUACGCUCCAUACUCUAUAUAUGUGAAUUAUAUAUUUGCAUCAUCAACAUUAACAUUAUAAAAUAAUCUGUGCAAUAGGAUGCUCUUGGAGUAUUUUAUUUUCAUCACAAAAUAUAUUAAAAUUAUAUUAGUCAGAGAAUAUAUCUAACACUUUCUAAACACUAAUAUAUAAUAGUUUCUACAAAAUUAUGAAAUAUUUGUACUAAAAUACCAAAAUAUAAAUAUAUAUAACCUAAUUGGAAUCAAUAAUCAAACUUCAAACAUGUCAUACUCUAAAGAAAUUAAAGCAUGAUAGUCUGUGUGUUUGACAUAUUCAACUAAAUGUUUGAUGAGAAUCUGUGAUUGUUAACAGCCAAUAAUGGUUUCUUUAGCAACUCAACUCAACUCAGCAAAACCGCAACCAAUUACAUUUACCAACUCAACUCUUCGCUUCCCCAAUUUCCAACAUUCUCUUCACAUUUACAAAUGGUAGGUGGUCCUAUAAAUCCCAUUCAAGAAUGAACAAUUUUUUUCAGUUCCUAGUAGGUGAAGUUUCUUCCACAUUUACAGAAAUUUCGACAGCAUCUCCCCAUAGUUCUCCAAGUACACGACCUAGAUUUAUGCAUUCAUCUAGUAUGUACCCAGAGAACAUGAGGAGCAGCUAUCGAAAUUUCCUUUUACGUGAAACAAAACUUCACCUACUUGGAACUAAAAAAAAUUAUGCAUUCCCAAACUGUCCAAGUUGGGACAAUUCAAGAAUUAUUAAUAGACAUAUCAUCCUCUUGUCAUCCUAAGAUGACACUGAUAAAACAUGUGUCUACUAAUAAUUCUUAAACGGGUCUUAGCUUUCAAAGCAUGCAUUGAAAAAAAAAACGUAAAUCAAUAUAUAUAUAUAUAUAUAUAUAUAGUUGAGUUUAUUAACAUUACCUAGGUUUGGCGGAGAAAAUAUGAAGAAGAAGAAGUAGUUUGGGCAAAAAUCAAAGGGUUUUGAUUUUCAUUAUUGAUCAAUUGAAAUAGUAGAGUAGUGGACCUUCUCAGCUAGUUCCAUGGAUGUUAAUAAAUCUAAAAUUUGUUAGCACUUAACAUUUGCUAAAGAAACCGUCUUAAGUUUCAAUUCUUUAAAUUAAUGUUAAUUAGAUUUGACAUUGAAGAUUAAUUAUUCACUAAGGCUUAUCAUAUUUUAAAAAAACGAAUAUAAAAGGUUGCAUAUUAAAUAUGGGAUUAUGCAAUUAAAAUUAAACCCUAGUAAUGGCAUUGGUGAGGGAAGAUGAAAGAAUUCCUUCCUAUAUUAAUUAGUUGAUAUAUUUUAAGCCACUAAAGUUUAAUUGUUGGCUUAAUAAAAUAAAUGAAUGUUUCAAGACUUAUAAUUAAUUAUUAUUAAUGGUUAUAUAUUGUUGAAUUUAAAUAGAAAUAGGAAAAGACAUGUAAUCUUUUGUAAUCUAAUAAUCAUUUUCUAUUUAUUUUCUAUUUUUAAUAUUUUGUAAUGUAAUUAUUUUUUAAUUUAAGCUAAUAUAUUAGAUAUUAGAGAAUAUAAAGAGAUGAGAAAUAAUGAUGUCACAAAUCUUAAAUACUUAAUAUUUAUAGAAUUUGAAGAAGCCAAAAAGCACUAAACAAAAGGUUGAAUAAUUAAAUAUGAAAUUAUGACAUUAAAAUUAGGCCCUAGUGGCAUUGUUGAGGGAAGAUGAAGGAACCUUCCUUUCUAUAUUAAUUAAUUGAUGCUUUUUAAAGCCAUUAAAGUUUAAUUAUUGGCAUAAUAAAAUAAAUGAAUGUUUCAAGACUUGUUGAAUUUAAAUAGGAAGAGGAAAAGACAUGUAAUCUUUUGUAACCUAAUAAUUAUAUUCUAUUUUUACUAUUUUAUAAUGUAAUUAUGUUUUAAUCUCAACUAAUAUACUAGAUAAUAAAGAAUAUAAGAAGAUGUAAAAUAGUGAUGCCACAUCACCUCUUGUAGUCAAGGCUUAUAAUUAAUUAAGAGACAUGGAUAGGGAUGGCAAUUUCCGGGUCCGGGUCCGGGUCCGGGUUUGGCUGUUCCGGAUCCGGACCCGGACAUCAAAUUCUCAUAACCGGACCCGCAUUAAACCCGGAUUUUUUAAAUCCGGAUCCGGUCCGGGUUCAACCCGGAAAAAUCCGGGUUUCCGGAUUCCGGGUUUGGAACCCGGAUUGCUUUAUUAUUAUUUUUUUUAGAGACCAUAUGGCUUACUUUAACAAGGCACAGGGGAUGGUGGUUUAAUGUUUUAAUGUUUUCCCCAACAACACAUUACAGAAUACUUCCUAGAAUUGGUUCAAUAAAAUUUGAUGGAUAUUGUUGUUGAGUUCGAAUUUUCCGUCUCUUUUGGUGGAGGUUUCACAUAUUUUCCUAUUACUUUUUGGCAUCUCUUUCUCUUUUGUCUGGUUUGUUUGUCUUUACUUUGCUGCUUCCUUUUCUCCUUUAGCUUAUUCCGAAGAUGCCUUUCUUUCUCAAAUACACCUUGCCAAACGACCUCACCUGUUGACGGCCAUAACCACCGUCUUCUAGGGUGAUCAGAAUCUGCCUCCUCGGCCAUGUCCUCAUCCAUGCUUUUUAAAGUGCUGUAUGAGAACCAUCUGACCCACAUUUGACCUCUCCGACUCUUAAAGUGCCACGCCGCGAAGGAUCUGAUCUGAUCUGAAGAAGAGAUUACAGGAGAGUUGCAGAGAGAGUGAGAGAUUAAGUGACGACGGAGGACUGAGGUGAGGAAUGAGUCACGGCUCACGGGUGAUUUUCCUUGAGAGAGGAACGGAUUACGGUUUACGAAUGAGACUUGAGAGAUUGAAAGGAGAAAUUAUAGAUUUACAGUAAUUUUUAGGUUGAAGGAGAAAUUUCGAGAGAGGAUCAGACGAACGAGACGAGAGAGAUCUAGAUUCUAGGGUUCACUUUUGUUUUUGUUUUUUUUUUAAUUUUUCUAUUUAUAUUUACGGAUUUACGGAUCAAAAUUAAUAUUAAAAUAAAUAAUAUCCGGGUCCGGGUUCCGGGUUUGCGGGUUCAUCUGAAACCGGAUCCGGACCGGAAAAAUGCGGGUUGUCAAAAACUGAUCCGGAUUCCGGAUAAAAACUAUGCCGGUGCGGGUUGAACCCGGACCGGAUUUUCCGGGUUCAAUCCGGGUCCGAUCCGGGUCCGGGUUUGGUUGCCAUCCCUAGACAUGGAUGAAACUAAUGUUAUUUAAGUAACACAUAGUUGAUUUAUAAGCUUAAUGUGUCAAAAUUGUUUAAACCUUUCCAAGAUUAACUAUUGUUUUCUUAUUAUUUCUUUUAUCUAGGUUUAAAUUUUAGGAGAAAUUUGUCAAUUUUCAAUUAUUGGGUGAUAUUGGUAUGCAAAUGAUGUGUUUUAUAGCAAUUUGAAUCUUUCUCAUCUUCAAGACUAUCAUUAGUCGAUAAUGUUGCUAUUACCUCAGGCUCUCGUGAGUCUAAACAUUUUCUAAUUAAUUGAAAAUGAUAUAAUGAUUAAUUAAUUGUUGAUAAUAAAACCAAUUUAAUACGACGUCUCCCCAUUUCUUUCUUUAUUUCUUUUAAACCUCAAUCAUUGUCAAAACCGUUAAUGGGUUGCAAUUAAACACUUAACAAAUCUUAAACUUGUUGUUAGCAAUUAACAUUUGCUAAAGGAAUCGUCUUAAGUUUCAAUUCUUUAAAUUAAUGUUAAUUAGAUUUAAGACGAAAAUUAAUUAUUCACUAAGACUUAUCUAUAAAUAAAAAGUAGAUACAAAUGUUGUAUAAUUAAAUAUGAGAUUAUGACACUAAAAUUAGGCCUUGGUAGUGGCAUUGUUGAGGGAAGAUAAAAGAACCUUCAUUCCUAUUUUAAUUAAAUUAUAUGUUAUGACGUGAAAAAAUAAACAAUCCAUUUUUGUAUUUUGUAGUUUGUGAAGAUUUGAAACAAUGUGCUUUCUUUUCAGAGUGAUAACAAUUGGAUCCAUUGCUUUUUCCUUUUAAUGUUUUAUAAACAUAUAUUGUCUAUUUGCAUCAAAUAAGUCCCAAUCUCUUUUACAAUCACUAAUAAAACACCUUUCAAUUAUUAAACUAUAAAUAUGUGUCAUUCAAAAUUAUGAUGGAAGAUAGAGAAUUUAGGGUGGGUUUCUUCACUGAAGAGUUAAAAAAAAUUGAAAUUUAAAAUUUUUCAAUAAAUACAAAUAUAAGAUGAAUAGUUUCAUUUGUUCAAUAGACUAAUCAUAUUAAAAUAAUGUUAGUAAGGAAAAUAAUUUAAAAAAUAUUCUUAAUUAAAAUAAUUUAAAAAAUGUAAAUUACCUCUCUCACCUCAUUUUUUAAGCAAAAAUAAAAAUAACUUGAAGUUUUAAAAAAUAAUUGAAGUAAUUUAAAAAUAAUCAAUUUGGAAUAAUUCAAAAUUUACCCAAGAGAUUAUUCACAAUAUCAAUCAAUGAAUUAGAAACAUUAAAUGGUAUAACAUAUAACUAUUAUUUUUAACUUAUUGAUCUCAAUCUUGAGCGUUCGGAUUAGAUCUUUGGGGUUUCAUUUUUUAGAUUUCAGUGAUUGAAAGUAUGAAACUCAAAGUAACAAAAAUUAAAUUUAUAUUUUAUCGCAAGUGAAGUGUAGGGAUUAAUCCAAUUAUUUGCGUCUAGCGUUUCUUUUUGUUGCUAUCACUCUUGUUGAUGAUGAUAAGCCUUUUUUUUUUUGCAUUGUCACUACCAAUUUAUUAUCUACAUUCAUCUAUAGAACGAAGCAAGAUGCCAAGAAAGAAAUAUAACACAAGAAAAAUAAGUUAUCCCAAUCGUUCAAAACAAAUACAUACAUAGCCAGAAAAAUAAGACAUAUCAUAUCACACUUAAAUAUUACCACUCUAAAAAGAAAAAAAGGUCAAAAGACUAACACACAUGUAAAAAGAUGACCAACAACAACACUAAACAUGUUUUGUGUAUUGAUUACUUCCACCAUCACUAACUUCAUCAUCAUCAAUAAUUUGGUUUUUUCUCUUUCUAUUCUUACUGGCAUUAGUAACAUGAAAAUCUCCCACAGAAUCUUCCAAAUUAUUUGAUAAGAUAUCAUGAGGAUCCUGUAAUUUUUUAAUCAAGGAAAUUAAAAUUAUGAGUAAACUGAACAUGCUAAUUUUAAUCAUAAAGGAAAACAACUGGGAAAUAAGAGUAAAUAAAAUUACCAUUUCUUGGGAAUGUUCUUCCUUUCUUUCAUAUAUUUCCACAUUUUCAUGAUCUGUAUUGUUUUUUUUCCUACAAAAAACAACAAUUAAAUAAUUUUUUUAACAUUACAUAUAUUGCCUACAAAUUGAACCUAGCACAGGUAGAUAAUACCUUCUUCAAUUCUUGUUCGAGCUCCAAUUUCUCAUCAGGGGUGAAAAGCUUUGACACAGUAAAAUUCUCAAGUCCCUCUUUCAAAUUGUAAUCAUUCAAUUUCAGUUUGUAAUCAUUCAAUUUCAGUUUGUAAUCAUUCAAUUUCAGUUUGUAAACAAAAUCUUUUCCACAAAGGCUUUGAAUUUCUGCAGGGACAUCCUUACUAUAUAAAGGUAGUCUAUUAAACAACUUGUGGGCUGAUGUAUCAAGUAACUUCUCAGCUACAUGAUUGAAUAAGACAAAAGUUGUCUCUGCCGUUUUAUCCAUGACUUUUAUAUGUAUUUUGUACCUACAUUAGAAUAAUGAAUUAGAAUGAAAAACUAACAACAUAAUGAGCAAUUUUUUUUAAAAAUAAUAUUAUUUUUCUUACAUCACAAGAGGAUAGUCACAUUCCUUUUUGCAAGUGCCACACAUAUAAAUACCAUUUGUAGGUAUGACCUUUUUUAUGCAUGUUUUGCACGAAACAUAGUACCAUCCAAAGGAGUUGUCUAUUUCACUAAUCUUGCCCCGCACAGUAACAAUAUAUUCCUACAAUUAAACAAUAAACAUUUAAAAAAAUAAUAAGGACAUUCCAAUAUUUAGGAACAAAUAACACAAAUGGAUGAGCAGGAAAAAAAUAGAAAAAUCACCUUCACUUGAGAACUCCAAUCAGCCUCCAAUAGUUCUUUAAUGCUCAUCCUGUUAAGGAACAUCUCUUCCUCAAAAGUAAUCUUAUUCACAUUCGAACUUUCAAUAACUUGCACAACGUUGGAGACGGUGGAAAAUCUUUCAAUUAAUGAUGCUACAUAAUCUAUUUGAAGAUUUAUAUAGAUUUUUCUUGCACUUGUGGUAGAGAAAUUAACCUCACCUGUUUAGAGCAAAUGUAACGUAAAACGAAACUUGAACAAAAUCUAAAUUUGUGUAUAAUAUUAAAAUAGCCACAUUGCAUUUGAAAAUGUUAAUUAGUGGGAUCUAAAUAAAAUAAUCACCUUGGAAUUUUUUAAUGGUUGUAGAAGUUACUAUCACAAUACAAGGACCCUCGUCUUUCUUGUACAAAUUUGAAUCAAACAUCUCCCCUAACUUUCCCCAUAAAGUAAUCUUCAUUGUUACUGAACUAUCCAUAAAAAUUAACAAAAAUUAAUAAUGUAAAGAGAACCAAUAACUAAAAAAUAACAUAAAUAACUAAAAAAAUAUAAAGUCAUAGUUUUCUUGAUUAUAUUCAACUUACUAAUCCAUUAGAAUUUUUAUAUCUCUUUUUUUCCAACCAGCUCCAACGAUCUCAAUAUCACCCACACCACAUAAACUUCCAAUAACAUCUGUAAUAUUAUGGAAAAAUAACAUAAACAUGUUAAAACAUAAGGAUUAAUAAUUUCUAAUAUACACUUAAAGAUUAACAAACAUUAAUAAUUAAAAAAAUACCUGAGAGGAUUGUGUUAUCAUUCACACGUAAAUCAAUCAAAUUCGAAGAUACGAAUUGAAAUCCAUUAAUCGGAAUCUUGACAGUUCCUUCUUCUAACCUCUUAAGAGAAGUUAUACCAAGAAAAUAAUCUUAUACUGAUUUGAAAGUGGUCUGUACUCGCCUGUAGUUGAAACAACUUUCAAAUUCUUGACAUUGUACAAAGAACCCUCACUCAACAUGUGCUUAAACCUUGUCACUAAGGUUUUCCUGAUUGUUGCAUGCAUUAGAUUUUCCUACGAAAAAAAAAAAACACAUACUACAUUCAGUGUGAAACAAUUGGGAAAAAAAAUUAGAGAAAACAAUGGGAGAAUAAAUUUUUUAUACAACCUUUUCAUCAAUAAAAAUCAUAUCAACACUAAUCAAUUCUCCAUUUUUUUUAGUAUUAGUAGACUCCCACAUCCUACAAAGCCUAACCCUUAUCAUCCAACUAUCUUUAUCAUUGUUCAACUCAUGAAGAAAAGAGUACUCCAUGAAGCACACAAUAUCAAAAAUUCAAAUAAAUCAAACAAUAAAAAUAUAAGUAUUUUUCUAAAGAGGGCGUUGAUUAAAUAAAUAAAAAAACCCUAAACAUAACAAAUCUUAAAUAUUUAGUGUUUAGAGAGCUUGAAGAAGCCAAAAGGCACUAAACAAAAGGUUGCAUAAUUAAAUAUGAGAUAAUGUCAUUAAAAUUAGGAUCUAGUGGCAUUGUUGAGGGAAGAUGAAAGAACCUCUCUUCCUAUGUUAAUUUAUUGAUUAUUUUAAGCCACUAAAGUUUAAUUGCUAGCAUAAUAAAAUUUGAAGGAGCCAAAAGACACUCAACAAAAGGUUCCAUAAUUAAAUAUAUGAUUAUGACAUUGAAAUUAGGCUCUAGUGGCAUUAUUGAGGGAAGAUGAAAGAACCUCUCUUCCUAUAUUAAUAAAUUCAUGUAUUUUAAGCCACUAAAGUUUAAUUGCUAGCAUAAUAAAAUAAAUGAAUGCUUCAAAAUACUUAUAAUUAAUUAUUAUUAAUGGUUACAUAUUGUUGGAUUUAAAUAGAAAGAGGAAGAAACAUGUACAAAGAAUAUCCACUAAUAUUUUAGAUAUUUUAGAUAAUAGAAAAUAUAAAACGAUGAGGUUGAGAGAAUGUGAAAGAACCUCUCUUCCUAUGUUAAUUAGUUGAUGUAUUUUAAGGCACUAAAGUUUAAUUGCUAGCAUAAUAAAAUUUAAAGAAGCCAAAAGGCACUCAACAAAAGGUUGCAUAAUUAAAUAUGAGAUUAUGGCAUUAAAAUUAGGCCCUAGUGGCAUUGUUGAGGGAAGAUGAAAGAACCUCUCUUCCUAUAUUAAUAAAUUCAUGUAUUUUAAGCCACUAAAGUUUAAUUGCUAGCAUAAUAAAAUAAAUGAAUGCUUCAAAAUACUUAUAAUUAAUUAUUAUUAAUGGUUACAUAUUGUUGGAUUUAAAUAAAAAGAGGAAGAAACAUGUACAAAGAAUAUCCACUAAUAUUUUAGAUAUUUUAGAUAAUAGAAAAUAUAAAACGAUGAGGUUGAGAGAAUGUGAAAGAACCUCUCUUCCUAUGUUAAUUAGUUGAUGUAUUUUAAGGCACUAAAGUUUAAUUGCUAGCAUAAUAAAAUUUAAAGAAGCCAAAAGGCACUCAACAAAAGGUUGCAUAAUUAAAUAUGAGAUUAUGGCAUUAAAAUUAGGCCCUAGUGGCAUUGUUGAGGGAAGAUGAAAGAACCUCUCUUCCUAUGUUAAUAAAUUCAUGUAUUUUAAGCCACUAAAGUUUAAUUGCUAGCAUAAUAAAACAAAUGAAUGUUUCAAAAGACUUAUAAUUAAUUAUUAUUAAUGGUUACAUAUUGUUGGAUUUAAAUAGAAAGAGGAAGAAAUAUGUACAAAGAAUAUUCAUCAAUAUUUUAGAUAUUUUAGAUAAUAGAGAAUAUAAAAAGAUGAGGUUGAGGGAAGAUGAAAUAACCUCUCUUCCUAUGUUAAUUAGGUGAUGUAUUUUAAGGCACUAAAGUUUAAUUGAUAGCAUAAUAAAUUUUGAAGAAGCCAAAAGACACUCAACAAAAUGUUGCAUAAUUAAAUAUGAGAUUAUGGCAUUAAAAUUAGGCUUUAGUGGCAUUGUUGAGGAAAAAUGAAAGAACCUCUCUUCCUAUGUUAAUUAAUUCAUGUAUUUUAUGCCACUAAAGUUUAAUUGCUAGCAUAAUAAAAGAAAUAAAUGUUUCAAAAGACUUAUAAUUAAUUAUUAUUAUUAAUUACAUAUUGUUAAAUUUAAAUAGAAAGAGAAAAAAAGUACAAAGAAUAUCCACAAUAUUUUAGAUAUUUUAGAUAAUAGAAAAUAUAAAAAGAUGAGGAAUGAUAUAUAUUAAUAAAGUUACUAUCUAUUAAAUGAGUUAAAUACAAUCAAAUUAAUUAUGAGAAGAUGAAAAGCCAAAUUUAAAAAAAAAAUAUCUAUUUAUUAGAUAAUAGAGAAUAUACAAAGAAGCAAAAUGGUGAUGCCACAUCAUCUCCUCAAGUCCUAGCUUUAUAUAGAUACUAGGAAAUAGAACCGCACUUUGUGCGGCUUUAAAAAAAGAAUUUAGUAUUAUUUUUUUUAUUACUUUACACUUGAUAAAACUGAUAAAAAAAUAUGAAUUGAUUUUCUUUUAAAGAUGACGCAGCCUUAUAAAACUAAUGUUAUUUAUGAAAGUUAAUUAUUUUUUUGUUAACUUUAAAAAUAUAUAUUAAUGUGUAUAGUUAAAUGUAAACAACCUUUUCAUCAAUAAAAAUUAUGUUCACACUAAUCAACUCUCAAUUCUUCUUGGUAUUAACAGACUCCUACAUUUUACAAAGUCUAACCCUUAUUAUCCAACUAUCUUUAUCAUUGUUUAACUCAUGAAGAAAAGAAUACUCUAUGAAGCACACAAUACAAAAAAAUUAAAUAAGUCAAAAAAUAAAAACACAAGAACAUUUCUAAAGAGGAUGUUGGUUAAAUUAAAAAAAAAUCCAAACAUAACAAAUCUUAAAUACUUAAUAUUUAUAUAGUUUGAAGAAGCCAAAAGACACUAAAUAAAGGUUGCAUAAUUAAAUAUGAAAUUAUGACAUUGAAAUUAGGUCCUAGUGGUAUUGGUGAGGGAAGAUGAAAGAACCUUCCUUCCUAUAUUAAUUAGUUGAUGUAUUUUAAACCACUAAAGUUUAGUUGUUGGCUUAAUAAAAUAAAUGAAUGUUUCAAAACUAUAAUUAAUUUAUUAUUAAUGGUUACAUAUUGUUGAAUUUAAAUAGAAAGAAGAAGAGACAUGUAAUCUUUUAUAAUCUACUAAUUAAUUUCUAUUUUUAAUAUUUUGUAAUAUAAUUAUUUUUUAAUCUCAACCAAUAUAUUAGAUUAUAGAGAAUAUAAAAAGAUGAGAAAUAAUAAUGGCACAAAUCUUAACUACUUAAUAUUUAUAGAGUUUGAAGAAACCAAAAGGCACUAAACAAAAUGUUACAUAUUAAAUAUGAGAUUAUAGCAUUAAAAUUAGACCCUAAUGGUAUUAUUGAGGGAAGAUGAAAGAACAUUCCUUCCUAUAUUAAUUAAUUGAUAUAUUUAAGCCACUAAAGUUUAAUUAUUGGCAUAAUAAAAUAAAUUAAUGUUUGAAAAUUUAUAAUUAAUUAUUAUUAAUGGUUACAUAUUAUUGAAUUUAAAUAGAAAGAGGAAGAGACAUAAUCUUUUAUAAUCUAAUAAUUAUUUUUUUAUUUUUAAUAUUUUGUAAUGUAAUUAUUUUUUUUAUAUCAACUAAUUUAUUAGAUAAUAGAGAAUACAAGAAGAUGAGAAAUAGUGAUGCCACAUCACCUCCUCUAGUCCCAACUUUAUAUAUAUAUAUAUCAACUAUAUAUAUAUAUAUAGAUAUAGAUUUUUAAUAUUUUGUAAUGUAAUUAGUUUUUAAUCUCAACCAAUAUAUUAGAUAAUAGAGAAUAUAAAAAGAUAAGAAAUAAUGAUGCCACAAAUCUUAAAUAUUUAAUGUUUAUGGAGUUUGAAGAAGCCAAAAUACACUAAACAAAAGAUUGAAUAAUUAAAUAUGGGAUUAUGACAUUAAAAUUAGGCUCUAAUAGCAUUGUUGAGGGAAGAUGAAGGAACAUUCCUUCAUAUAUUAAUAUUAAUUAAUUGAUGUAUUUUAAGCCACUAAAGUUUAAUUGUUGGCAUAAUAAAAUAAAUUAAUGUUUGAAGACUUAUAAUUAAUUAUUAUUAAUGGUUACAUAUUGUUGAAUUUAAAUAGAAAGAGGAAAAGACAUGUAAUCAUUUAUAAUCUAAUAAUUAUUUUCUAUUUUAAUAUUUUGUAAUGUAAUUAUUUUUUUAAUUUCAACCAAUUUAUUAGAUAAUAGAGAAUAUGAGAUGAAGAGAAAUGGUGAUGCCACAUCACCUCCUCAAGUCCUACCUUUAUAUAUAUACUAGAAAAUAGAACCGCGUUUCACGCGGCUUUGAAAAAGAAUUUAGCAUUAUCCUUUUUUCUUACUUUACACUUGAUAAAACUGAUAAAAAAUAUGAAUUGAUUUUUUUUUUUAAGAUGAGGCAGUCUUAUAAAAAAAUAAAAAAAGUUAUUAACCAGUAAUACAAAUAAAGAAGCAACGCAAGAUAAAGAAUAAAAUGAGAGAAUAUUGUAUAAUGAUUUUAUUCAUUACAAUUGUGUGUGUACAAAACAAAAAGAUGAGCUCUCCUUUGAUAGUUACAUAAUCACUCCAUGAAAUUAAUGAAAAAUUAUGGAUCAUAAUUCCUUGUGAGAUAGUGGGAGUUAUAGGGAAGCUAAAGGUUGCUAAUGAGAGAUAGUGGGGAGACUAAGAGAUAUAUGUUAUGAACAUCUACAUUUAUUUUAAUAAAUUCAUAACACUCCUCCUUGAAUGUUUAUUACAAAGAAUAUGUCUCAUUAAAAUCUUUACAUAAUUGUUAUUGUGUAAUAACAAUCAAAUUAAUUAUGAGAAGAUGAAAAAUCAAAUAUAAAAGAAAAUUUCUCUAUUUAUUAGAUAAUAGAGAAUAUACAAAGAUGAGAAAUGAUGAUACCACAUCACCUUCUCAAGUCCCAGCUUUAUAUAUAUAUAUAGAUAUAUAGAUAGAUAGAUAGAUAGAUUAAUUCAUGUAUUUUAUGCCACUAAAGUUUAAUUGCUAGCAUAAUAAAAUAAAUAAAUGUUUCAAAAGACUUAUAAUUAAUUAUUAUUAAUGAUUACAUAUUGUUGAAUUUAAAUAGAAAGAGAAAAAAAAGUACAAAGAAUAUCCACCAAUAGUUUAGAUAUUUUAUAUAAUAAAAAAUAUAAAAAGAUGAGGAAUGAUAUAUAUUAAUAAAGUUACUAUUUAUUAAAUGAGUUAAAUACAAUCAAAUUAAUUAUGAGAAGAUGAAAAGGCAAAUCUAAAAAACAAAAAUCUCUAUUUAUUAGAUAAUAGAGAAUAUAUAAAGAAGCAAAAUGGUGAUGCCACAUCACCUCCUCAAGUCCUAGCUUUAUAUAUAUAUAUAGAUAUAGAUAUAGAUAUAGAUAUUUUGUCCUAAUUAACUUAAAGAUUUUGAAUCUAAUAUUUUAUAAUAAAUAAAAAUAUAUUCCUAAAAUAAAUAUAAUAUCAAUAUUUAAAAUAUGUUUUAAUAUUUUACAAUCUAUCAUACACAUUUUAUUAUAGUAAAGUAGAUUUUAUAAUAAAUAUAUAAAAAAUUUAGAAUAUGUAGAAUAUUAUAUAAAAUAAUUUUAAUAUAAUGUGUGAGAUAUAUUUUAUUAAUUUAAAAUGUCAUUUUACCUAAAAAAUAUGAUAAAUUAAUAAUUACAUAUUUGAAGUUACUUCAAAUAUUAAAAAAAAUUAAUAUUAUUAAUCUUUUAGAUAGAUUAAAUUAUUUUUUAUAAGAGAGAUUAAAUUAUUUUAAAAUGCCUUAAUUGUUUUUACUUUUAACGUUACCGGCCUUUCUUUUAUUUUAUUGCAAAUUAAUACUAAUAAGAAAAAGCUAGAUCAUAUUCCACAAAAGCAAAUGUGACAAACACAACCAGCUGGAAUCUUUUAAUUACUAUUCAAUAAUUCGAGACGAUUAGGGUCUUUUAUUAAACUACAAUCCUCAAUAAUUGUUUUAAAUUGGUGGCACCUACAAUCCUCAAUAAUUGUACCGAUAUUCACAAGUUCGUGGCCCCUACAAUUCUGUUCGCAAGUGCUCAUUCACAGUCUUCCAGGCCCCUACAAUUCUGUUCCGAUAAUUUAACUGUGCAAGUGCUUAAUAAUUGUUUUGUUUUUUUCUGCAUUCCCUUUCAUGCUCUUAAUAAUUGAAGAGCAUACUUUUCAAAUGUGGAGCCGCAGCUAAUGUCGUUAAUUUAAUUUGGGAUUAAAUUAGGGGACCAUUAUAUUGCAGUGUGCACUAAUUUUUGUGUUUAUCUAAACUCCUUAAAUUUAAGACAUAUUACGGCAUAAAUAAGAAUAUAACAAUAACAAAAGAGUUAGAAAGUGUAGAGAAGAUCUUGCAGAAAUAUAAAUAAUAUCAAUUUUAAAAUAAUUUUUAAUAUUUUAUGAUCCAUUAAAUAUAUUUUAUUAUAUUAAAAUAAAUUUUAUAAUAAAUAAAAACAUCCUAUUAAAAUGAAUAUAUAGAAAAUUUAGAGUAUUUUAAGUAUUAUAUAAAAUAAAUUUAAUAAAAUAUGUGAGAUAUUCAUAGUUUAUUAAUUUAAAAUACCAUUUUAAAAUUAAAGAUUUAUUUAUGAUAAAUUAAUAAUUAUAUUUUUGAAAUUACUUCAAAUAUUAAAAAAUUAAUAUUACUAAUCUAUUAGAUAGAUUAAAUUAUAUAUAUUAUUUUCUAUUUAUUAAAAAAUUAAAAUUAUUUUUAAUUACUAUUCAAAAAAUAUAAUGAUAAAAAAAAUCUUAACAUCUUUAUUAAAAAUUUAAAAAUUUACGUGAUCAAUUCUCUAAAUAUUUAGGGUAUAUGUGAACCACGGUGGAGAAGCUUUAUUUAAUAUUAUUGAUUUAAAUAAUAUGUCAAUUAAAAAUGUGCGGAGAAGAAAUUUCGGUGGAUAUUUUAGUCUUUUCAGCAAUUAUCAUGAUCAGAUCUAGGGAUGGCAAUGGAGAGGGGAGGGGAGGGGACCGAUCUCCCCGUACCCAUCCCCGAUAUUUUGCGUAUGUCCCCGUCCCCUCCCCGUCCCCAUCAGAAUUACUUGAGAGAAUCACCAUCCCCUCCCCGAAUAAUAACAGGGGAUCCCCGAUGGUCCCCGAUCCCCGAAUAACUAAUACAUUUUUUUUCAAUUUUGAGUUAAUCAUAUUAAAAUAAAAAAUUCAAAUAAAAAUAAAGUUCGAAAUAUAUCUUACAUUAAUAUCUAUUACAAAAGUCACAUACAUUAAAUUAGUAAGUAACGCAACAUGCAAGGAAUACAAACUUCUUUUACAAACUAUCAUGAACAAAUUAAUAGUUUAAUACAAAAUUGUUACAAAUAAAAUCGAAUUUAGAUUCAAAAUUAACUUUUUCAAUGGUGGCGUGGGCACUUUAUAAAUGUGGAUUAUUCCCUUUACAACACAAUAGUUAAAUCGGAGCAAAUCAAAAGUAAAUAUUAGAUUGGAUUAGAUUAGAUUAGAUUAGAUUAGAUUAGAUAUUAAAAUUGUGAUUCGCUGUGGACAAUUAUAACAUCUAAAAAUAAAUAAAAAAUAGAUUUAAGUUUAAAAUAUUUAAAGAAUAUUAAAAUUAAAAAAAAAUGUUUGGCUAAUAGAAUCUACUUGGUCUUUUUAAUGUCGUAAAUAAAAAUUUAAGACUUUAAUUAGUUAAUUAGGCCUAAAAAUUUAAUAAUAUAAAUAUUUUGAUAUUUUUUAUUUUUACCAAUAUUUAUAAGUGGAUUCUUUUACUAAACUAUAAAUUAAAAGUGGAUUCUUUUGAAUACAAGUGGGACAGACGAUUAGGCUCUUUUUAUUAAACGCAAGUAAAAAGUAGUCGAAUAGUCUUUUUCAAAUUAUUGUUUUAUUAUUUUUCCUUCAAAAGUUAGCGUGGCUCAUGUUUGCAGGUGCGAAUGUGCGAUGCUCUUUUUUUAAAGGCAAUUACAGUGGGUCCCGAAUCAUUACUAAAAUUUCUCUUCCUCAGCCCACCGCAGCUUCAGUUAAUCAAACUCAAUCAAUUUUCUUUCUUAACAAAAUUCUAAAGAUGUGUAGCAUUUUUCAGAUCACAUGCGAUGGUGCUUUUUUCAAUCGUUGCUUGGAUUGCUUUCUUGGAAAAGCAGCAUACAUACGUAACCUCCAAGAUAAUCUUGAUGCCUUGGAGACUGAAUUGGGAAAUCUGAUCGCUAGAAAGAACGAUGUGAUGAGGAGGGUUGUCGAUGCUGAACGGCAACAAAUGAGAAGGCUGGACGGAGUGCAAGUGUGGGUUUCGAGGGUGGAUUCUGUUAAAACUGAAGCCGAUGAACUUAUCACAGACGGCUCUCGAGAAAUUGAAAAAUUAUGUGUUGGAGGCUACUGUUCCAAGAACUGCAGGUCAAGCUACAAAUUCGGGAAAAAAGUGGCUAAAAAGCUACGGGAUGCGCGGACUUUAAUCAGUGAAGGAGUUUUUGAGGUGGUGGCUGACAGAGCUCCAGAGUCUGUAGCAGAUGAAAGACCUACUGAGCGAACAGUAGUAGGCUUGCAAUCACAACUUGAACAAGUCUGGAGAUGUCUUGUAGAAGAAUCAGCGGGAAUCAUUGGCCUAUAUGGUAUGGGCGGUGUUGGUAAAACUACACUACUGACCCAUAUCAACAACAAAUUUCUCGAGAGUCCAACCAACUUUGAUUGUGUGAUUUGGGUUGUAGUUUCAAAAGACCUGCGACUCGAAAAAAUUCAAGAAGAUAUUGGGAAAAAGAUAGGUUUGGUUGGUGAUUCAUGGAAGAGUAAAAGUGUAGAGGAGAAAGCUGUCGACAUCUUCCGGAGUUUAAGAGAGAAGAGAUUUGUAUUGUUGUUAGAUGAUAUAUGGGAGCGGGUUGAUUUAACAAACGUGGGCGUUCCACUUCCCGGACCAAAAAAUACUACCUCAAAAGUCGUAUUCACAACCCGUUUCAUCGAUGUUUGUGGUAGCAUGGAAGUUGACAGGAAGUUUCAAGUAGCAUGCUUAUCAGAAAAGGAUGCUUGGGAACUGUUUCGAGAAAAAGUUGGGGAAGAAACUCUUGAGAGUCAUCAUGAUAUCGAUGAGCUAGCCCAAAUUGUGGUCAAAGAGUGUGGUGGUUUGCCACUCGCACUUAUUACUAUUGGUCGAGCUAUGGCCUACAGAAAGAAAGCGGAGCAGUGGAGACGUGCAAUUGAAGAGUUAAGGAGAUCAGCUUCAGAGUUUGCAGGUUUGGGAAAAGAGGUGUAUCCUCUUUUAAAAUUCAGCUACGAUAGUUUGCAGAAUGAUAGUUUGCAGAAUGAUACGGUUAGAUCUUGUUUCUUGUACUGUUGUUUAUAUCCUGAAGAUUAUGUCAUUCCUAAAUGGGACUUGAUUGAUUGUUGGAUUGGUGAGGGAUUUUUUGGGGAAUCUGACAGGUCUGGUGCAGAAAACCAAGGAUAUGACAUUUUGGACACUCUUGUUCGUGCAUGUUUAUUAGAAGAGGUGGAAGAUGAUAAAGUAAAAAUGCAUGACGUUAUUCGUGAUAUGGCUAUAUGGAUAACUUGUGAAAUUGAGAAGGAGAAUAGAAAAUUUUUGGUUUGUGCAGGUGCUGGAUUAAAAGAGGCACCGGGUGUUAAAGGAUGGGAAAAUGUGAGAAGAUUGUCAUUGAUGCAAAACCAAAUUGAAACUCUGUCAGAGGUUCCCACAUGCCCUCAUCUCCUCACUUUAUUUCUUGACUUUAAUUAUAAUUUGAGGAUGAUCGCGGAUGGCUUCUUCCAACUUAUGCCUUCUCUCAAAGUUUUGAAGAUGUCACUCUGCCGGAAUUUAACUUUGAAAUUACCUUUGGGGAUGUCAAAGUUAGGUUCACUGGAACUUCUCGAUAUUUCAUAUACCUACAUACAAGAGUUACCACAAGAGUUAAAGUUGUUGGUAAAUCUGAAAUGUUUGAAUUUGAGGUGUACACACAGGUUAAAUAAAAUUCCACGGCAACUAAUAUCAAAUUAUUCAAGGUUACGUGUGUUGAGAAUGUUCGCUAGUGGCUGGUUCAAUUUUCAUGAAGCAUCAGAAGAAAGCGUUUUAUUUGGUGGGGGUAAAGUUUUGAUACAGGAAUUGCUCGGUUUGAAAUAUUUAGAGGUAUUGGAGUUGACCUUGGGAAGUUAUCAUGCUCUCCAAAUUCUUUUGAGCUCAAAUAAGUUAAAAAGUUGUAUUCGAUCUCUUUACCUCCAUUUGACCGGAGAUACAGCGUCAAUUAUUGAUGCUACGGCUUUCGCAGAUCUAAACCACCUCAAUGAAUUAUGGAUUGAUAAUGGUAUUGAGUUGGAAGAAUUGAAGAUUGAUUAUACGGAGAUAGUACGAAAAAGGCGGGAACCUUUUGUUUUCCGCAGCCUUCACCGUGUUACCAUAUAUAGUUGCAGUAAAUUGAAAGAUGUGACAUUCCUCGUUUUCGCUCCAAACCUCAAGUCUCUUACGCUAUUCAAUUGCGGUGCUAUGGAAGAAAUAAUCAGCGUCGGAAAAAUUGCUGAGACUCCUGAGAUGAUGGGACAUAUAAGCCCUUUUGAAAAUCUCCAAAGGCUUAAUUUAAAAGAUUUGCCAAAUUUGAAGAGCAUCUACUGGAAGCCAUUGCCUUUUACUCGUCUGAAAGAAAUGGCGGUACUUGGGUGCGAUCAGCUUGAAAAGCUUCCGGUCGAUUCCAACAGUGCAAAAGAGCGUAAAUUUGUAAUUCGUGGAGAAGAAGACUGGUGGAACCGACUUCAAUGGGAGGAUGAAGCCACUCAAAUUGCUUUUCGUUCCUGUUUCCAACCUUAUUCCUGAGCGGUGGUCGCAAAAUUUGAUUUCUGGUGAGUGCGUUUUUCUUUGAACUCUUGUACAUAUUCUUGUCGUUUGCUUCACGCAAAACACUAGGUCUUUUCUUCAGUCCGUUACCUACACGCAAAACACUGGUUCUUUUCUCUGUUUUUAUUUCAGUUAGUUUCUCUCUCUCUCUCUCUCUCUGUGUCUUCUGUAAAUCACAAUUAAAUGUUGAAUUAAUGGAAUUAAUGCUUCAUAAAUUUGCCGGCACUGCCGUUACUUUAUUUUAGGGGGGUCGAAUUGGUGCUCUGGUUUUUUACUUUUUGCUGUCAAAUUUUGGCCUUUUUUUUUUUUUUAACAAGUUGAUACUUUAUUUAUAUCUUCUUAGCGAUUUAAUUUCCUGUCAAAAGAGGAACGAGAAGAACAUAUGACUUAAACCAAUGCUCGCAUAAACUUGCUGUAAAAAGAUGUAAUCUCACUGAAAUGCACACGUCUAGAAUGAAUAGAAUUAAAACAGGGAAAAUAUUAAGUAUAUUAGCCCUCUUUACCGAAAAUCAAAUGACAAUAAAUUUUUGGAAGUUUUGAUUUUCUACGGUCAAUUCGACCUUUUGCAAUUUCUUCUGUUCUAACAAAAACCAAAUUCUUUGUUCAAGUAUUUUCGUUUGGGUAUCAAGGAUCUCUAAUCAAUAGCUGGAAGCAAUUCAGAGGGCGCCGAGACCCGAUCCGACCUAGGCCCAAGUUUGGUCUUAAAGCCUGGGCUUGAGCCUGACAAUUAAAUUAAAACAUUAAUUGAUUUAUUGAUUGAAUUGUCGUGCAAUUGAUUUAUGGGGGAUGAAAAUUCAACAUACUUGAAAAUACACUAAUCUUAGCAUCAUCGGUUAAUAACUUUUAGAUUUAUGGGUAAUCAAUAGUUAAGAUCAGUUGUCAUUUAUUUUUUGAAAUGUCCAUAUUCAGUGUACAUUUGAAAAAGACCCAAUAAUUUCUCAUAAAUUUCAAUUAAAAAUAUUCAAUUUGUUAUUUCAGUUCUUUUAUUUUUUAUUUUUUCCAACAUGAAAGCGACUUAAUGUUACUAAAUUGAAGCCGCUGCCCCGCCUGUGGUUCCAAACUUUUAUCUUCCUCCUCCUUUAAAUUAAUGCGAGCAGCCUCCGUCCUUGACUAGUUGACUUCUUUUCUUCUUUUUUAAUUAAUUAAUUAAUUAAUUCAGCCGCCCACCUUUCUUUUCCCAAUGUCUUCUACUUUCGAUUUCCUUUUAUUUUCUCUUUAUUUUUAAAAUAUGCUUAUAGUAAUAAUAAAAAAUAAAAAUAAAAAUAAAAAUAAAAAUGAACAUAUUAAAAUAUAAUUUAUCAGAAAACCAAGAUAAAGAAAUAUUAUAAGCACAUCAAUCAAAAAGUGAAAAAAAAAACAAUUUUAAUUUACAUUAAAUAUAAACUUUCAGUGUUAAUCAACUUUUCUAAAUAACUGAAAUUAUUUAAAAUAAAAAUAAAUUAUUCUUCCCAAAAAAACAAAAAUUACACCCACUCUUGGCUGUAUGUCAAGAUUCGCUUUAAGGACUGAAGUUGGUAACUUUUGCAAGCAGUCUUAAAUUGAAUGGCAGCAACCCACGCUUUCAGAUUUAUGGUUAAUCAAUAGCUGAGAGUUGUUAUCGCUAAUGCCGUGUAUUUUUUUUAAUGUUUUUUCUCUCUCCUACAGCAUCUUCUAGGAAAGUGCAUCCGUUGCUAAAAUUUAGUAUUGUAAAUAAUAAACCAAGAAUAAAUAUUAAAUUUAAGAAACUGUAUUGCAUUUAAUAUUUAAGGGAGAAAAAUAAUUGUAGUGUCUUUAUUAAUCAGUAAAAAGAAAAGAUUAGAAUCAUAAUAAAUUGUAUUGUUAUUGAUGUAUUUAUUUUAUUUUAUACUCAAAAUAAAUUAUUUUAAAUUAUUAAAAUAUUAUUAUUGUUAUUCUAAUAAUAAUUAUUAUUUAAUAUUUAUUAAAAUAUUUGUCAUAUUACUAAAAAAGCAAUAAUAAUAAUGAUAAUAUUGGAAUUGUUGUUUUUUAUCUUAUUAUUAAUCAAAACACUUCUGGUUAGCCCAUUCAUACGUGAAGACCAAAACCAAAUCUCUUCUUCUCCUUCUUUUCUUAAAAUACGGGAUGUGUGUGCUCGGACUGCUCUCUCAUUCUUAAAACAAGACUUUUUGAAUUAUCCAAUUAAGUUAAAUUCUGUGGCAUCUGGUAUUUUCAUUUCUUGUUUAUUUCGCAAGUUAUUAUUGCCUAAUGCUAUGUCAACUCUAACAUUAGCAUAUAUAUUUUUUUUUUGGUCGUCUUUUAACACCAAACAUUAGUGUAGGUUAAGUAACAUAAUCAGUACUGGGACAAUUUGAAAUCCCUUUGUGUUUUAUUCACAGUAUCUAUGAGGGUUUAUCCUUUUGCUAGAACAAACUCUAGCAAAUUGUCAAAUGUACUUAUCCUUUCGCUUGAUGACUCAUUUUAAAAUUGUCUUUCAAUGUACACACACAGAGAUAACCACCGACAUCAAGCACCAAGUUUGGAAUUUAAUUGAUAAGCAUACAUUUGAUAAAUUAAUGAAAAGUUUGGGAGAAUAGUUUUGAUCACCCUCGAUUAGGAUGGUAUCACGAAAAAGAUCAAAAAGAAAACAUCGUCUCUUCUUCAACAAAAAUAAAUAUUUUCCGUUAGAAUUUAAAUAAAAUAAUUAUUUUUUUAUUUUUUGAAUUAAAAUUUAAUUAAAUACACAAAUAAAUUAUAUAUUUUUAAAAAAAAAUUUACACCCAGUCACAAGGCUGGCUAUUAAACUUAAAGGGAAGCUUCGGAGACUAAAGUUGGUAACAUCUCCAAGUGGUCUUAAGUUGACCGGAACUACCCCGACUUUAUGUUUGGUAGCCUAGACCUGAUCGGACCUAGGCCCAAGUUUGGUCUUAAAGUCCACAAUUAAAUUGAUUUGUUAAUUUAAUUGUUGUGUAAUUGAUUUAUGGGGAAUGAAUCAGCAUCCCUAAAAUUACACUAAUCUUGACAUAAUGACAUCAUCGGUUAAAAACGUUCAGAUUUAUGGCUAAUCAAUGGUUUGAGAUUUGUUAUCAUUAAUGCUAAAUAUUUUUUAACAUUUUUUCUAUCUCUCUCUCCUGAAGGAAUUUUCUAAGAAAAUGCAUCCACAACACAAAUUUUAAGGAUCACACUAUGUUACGUUAAACGUAACGUACACACACUCACAGCAACAGUAACAGGUCACGUCUUGUUACUGUUGCUGUGAGUGUGUGUAUAUUACGUUUAACAUAACAUAGCAUAGGCCAAAUUUUAAAUUGUAAACAAUAAACAAAAUAUAAACGUUAAAUUUAAGGAACUGCGUUGCAUUUCAGCUGAAGCUAACUUUAAUAUUUUACGAAAAAAAAUAAUUAAAUCUUUAAUGUGAUUUAUUUAUUAAUAUAUAUGACUAAUUUUUUAAAAUAAGAUGCAGGAUGAAACUUAAAAAUAUAAAUUAUAGAAUUAAUUUCUCUCUUCAAUAAAUCUAAAGUUUAUUUUUUUUAUUACAUGCUUCUAUUUUAUUUUUAUUCCAUGUUAAUGAUUGGAGAUUUAAAUCCAUUUCGGAUUUAUAAAUAUGUUUAGAUAUCUAAAUCCACGUGUGAUUCCAAACUAUAACCUUUUUUUUUUUCUAAUUAAUGCAAACAGCCGCCUCUUUGGACUGCUUUUCUUCUUUGAUUAUUAAUUAAUUAAUUCAGCUGCCCACCUUUCUUUUCCUAAUGUUUUCUACUCUCAAAUUUUUUUAAGGACAAGGCUACGUUGCAGACGCUGUACCUAACAGCUGCACCUUAGCCAGCUUCACAAAGGGUGCAUUUGGUAAGCAAUUUUUCUUUCCUGUGCAUAUGUGUCCUUCCACCAUUGGGUGUACGUAACAGAUAAUGUACCGUAACAAGCUCCUAUUUUUAAAUAUGUUUAUAAUGAUAAAAUAUAAAAAUUAAGAUUAAAAUGUAAUGUAAUAUAAAAUUAAAGGUGGAAGAGUAUUAAAAUAAUGUAUAAGAUAUGAAUAAACAAGUCAAUAAGAAAACAAACAAACGGCAAGAGAAAAGGAAUGGUCAUGCAGAUUUUAAGGUGGCAGUGACAAUGAGAUCUCAUUUUAACCGAUAAAGUCUUUUGAAUUUGUCAACUCAAAAAAAUAGAUUCAAAUGUUUUGUAAUAAAUGAAAAUAUAAUAUUAAAAUAAAUGUGAUAAUAUAUAUUUUAAAUAAUUUCAAUACAAAAAACAUUUGAAUGUUUUAUAAUUUAUUAGACAUAUUUUAUUAUAUUAAUAUAAAUUUUCUAAGAAAUAUGGACAUAAUAUUAAAAUAAAUUUAUGAAAAAUUUAAAUUAUUUUGAAUGUAAAAACAUUUGAAUGUUUUAUAAUUUAUUAGACAUAUUUUAUUAUAUUAAUAUAAAUUUUUCUAAAAAAUAUGGACAUAAUAUUAAAAUAAAUUUAUGAAAAAUUUAAGUUAUUUUGAAUGUAAAAACAUUUUAAUGUUUUAUAAUUUAUUAGAAAUAUUUUAUUAUAUUAAUAUAAAUUUUCUAAGAAAUAUGGACAUAAUAUUAAAAUAAAUUUAUGAAAAAUUAAAUUAUUUUGAAUGUAAAAUAAUUUUAAUAUUAUUAAUCCAUUAAGUAUUAAUUAUAAAAAUUAUUUAACCCAAAGAUUAUUUAUAUCCUUACAAUAAAUAUAAAUAUAUUAUUUGCAUUUAAAAAUUUAAAAAUAUUUAAAUAAUAUUAAUCUACAAUUAUAUUUUCAUUUAUUAUAAAUAUUUAAAGUCAAAUCUUUUGCACUUGUAUUUUAUUACAAUUAUGGCGCACAAAGAAAGAGCCAUAUAUGCUUUAUAGCGUUAGAAAUUGGUUUCUUUUAAAGCUGGAAACAGAGAGGAUGAUUAUUAUAAGGAGAAAAGAAAAAGGGAUAAAGAAUAUUAAUGAUUAACAAAAUCUCUCUGCAAAUUGAUUGCAGUAGAAAAAAAGUGAGCUGAGCAAUCUAAUUUAGUGGUAGAGUGAUAUUUCAUUUGUAGCAAAUUACAUCUCAAGGUUAAAGGAAAGACUUAAGAUCUCAGCUUUUGAUCAUAAUACUUUUUUUAAAGAAAAAAAUUAAUUUUAAUAUUUUAUAAUAAAUAAAAAUAUAAUCUUAAAAUAAAUACAAACACACUAUUAAUAGUACAUAUUUUAAAAUAAUCUCAUUAUUUAAAAUUGUUUUAAUAUUUUGUAAUUUGCCAGACAAAUUUUAUUAUUUUCAAGUAAAUUUUAUAAUAAAUACAAACACACUAUUAAGAUAAAUAUAUGAAAAAUUUAAAGUAAUUUGAAUCUUAUACAAAAUAAUUUUAAUAUUGUUAAUAGUGAGAUAAUUCUAUUAAUUUAAAAUGCUACUUAACCUUAAGAUUUAUUUAAGAUAAAUUAAUAAUUACAUUUUUAAAUUAUUUCAAAUAUUAAAAAUAUUUUAAUAUUAUUUAUCUAUUAGAUAGACUAAAUUAUUUAAAUUAUUUUGUAUAAAUUAAUUCUAUUUAAAGGAUAUUAUGAUAAAAAGAUCUUAGUGUUUUUAUUAAAAAUUUAAAAUUUAUAUGACUAUUUCUUUAAAUAUUUAGGGUAUAUAUGAACCACCGAGGAGAAAAGCUUUAUUUAAUAUUUUUGAAUAGUUUUUGAUCAGUACAAUUGCGUCCUUAUUCAGAAUUAUUGUUCUCUUCCGCAACAGUUUUUGUUUAUCAAAGUCAUCAAUUAAAAUUUUAGAAUUCUUAUCAUCAGAAGUAGUCGUUUUAGAAGUUGGGUCUUGGAUCAAAUUUCUACGAGUGCAUGAAUUAACAAUAAAAAAAAUUUCAUUACACACGGUUUAAGCUACAAAACUACUAUUUGCACAGUUGACUAUAAAACUUACCUCCAAUUACACUAAACCUCUCUAUUUGGUAACGUUGAGACUAAAUUAAUUUUAUUAGCAUGAAAAGAUAAUAGAAAUAUUAUCAUAAAUAUAAUUGUUGUUAAUCAAUUAGUACAUGUGAUAUAAAGGUUAAAUGUGCACUAUAUUUAAUAAAUAAUUAAUGGAACAUGUUAAACAAAAUGUUAAUGUAUAUUUAUAUAGUGUUAGGAAUAUGCAAAGUCAAGUCCUCAAUUUGCAUUAUCCUGUAUAGAAUAUUACUCUAAAAAUGUUUUACUAUAAUUGGCUUAGAACAUUUGUAAAGAAAAUAAUAAUCGUAAUAAUAAAUAACAUACACCGUCACAUAGCAUCUAGACAAUGAUAGAAAAUUAUUAAAGGGAGUGCAAACAAUUAAUUAGAAAUUUUUAUGAUAACUUUUAAUAUUCAUGAUAAUAACAAAUAAAUACAUGUACCACUUUUUAAAAAUAUUAAAUUUGACGUGCUCCAUUAAUAAAUUAUUAUUGUAAUUCAGACUCUAUCUAUAUAUCCUUGCAUUAAGAAUAAUUAAGUCAUAAUAAAAAUUUUCGUAACUACAUCUCAUUUCUUCCUCAUAAUAAUAAUUAGAUUGGUUCGAAUAUUAUAACUAUAUAGAUUUAGGGCGUGUUUGGUGCAUGGGAUUAUGUGGUAUUACACUACUAUUCACAUUAGCUUAUUUCCAAGAAGAUGUUUGGCAAACUUUGACACCUCAUUAUGCUGCAUUAUAAUGCAGCAUAAUGAGGCAUGGGGCCGCAUUACGCAAACCCGAGGGAACCUCGGGUUUGCGUAAUGCAGAAGCUUUUUGCCUCAAUUGAGGCAACAGUUAAUGCCUCAAUUGAGGCAAAUUUAUUUUAUUAAAAUAUUAUAAAAAUAAAUUAUUUUAUUAUUAAAUACUAAUAUAAUGAAUAAAAUAUAAAAAUAAAUUAUAUGAUAAUAUUAUUUUAUUUAUUAAUGAUUCAUAUAAAAAUAAUAUAUUAAUAUUAUAAUAUUAUUUACAUUAAUAUUAAUUUUAAAAUUAAUAUUAUUUAAAUUUAUAAUUAUUUAUGUUAAAUUAUAAAUUUAUUAAUAUAUUAAAAUGUAAAAAUAAUAAUAUAUUGUAAAUUAAAAUAUAAUUGAAUAUUAUUGAAUAAUAAUUUAUUAAUUUAUAUUAACAAUUAUAAUAUUAAUUAUAAUCUAAAUUUAUUAUUUACAUAUAAUAUUAAAUUUUAUAAAUUUAUUUUAUCAUAAUUAUAAUACAAAUUUUAGAAAUUUAAUCAUUAAUUUUUAAUAUUUACUAAAAAAAUUGUUAAAUUUCUACAAUUAAGAUUUCUAUAUUUAUUAUUUUUCUAAGUAUUAAUAAAUAUUAAUUUUUAAUUAUUUAAUUUAAUUAAUUAUAAAAAUUAAUACAAUACAAUGUAACACCAAAUAUAGUUUAAUUAAAAAUUAAUACAGUACAGUGUAGCACCAAACAUUGUACAGCAUUAUUAUAAUACAAUACUAACGCAAUACAGCAUAAUACAAUACACCAGCAUUAAAAUAAUGCAAUACAACAUAAUACAAUACAAUGUACCAAACGCACCCUUAGUGUAUAGCCACAUCCAAUUUAAAUAUUGACCCAAUUGGGAUGGUCCCCAAAAAAAAAAUUCGUUAAAGGAUAAUUCUAAUUAUUUUUACUUCUCAAACGUUAGUGGGACGUUUCUAUUAGCGCACUCGUAAGCCAAGUUGUCAAAUAUUUAUAUUAAACUACAAUUGCUGACAAGAAAAAUCAAGAUCGUGUUGCGCAAGUGGGUCCCGAAUAGGACGUGCCUAAAUCUCUCGUAAGCCAAGUUGUCAAAUGUUUAUAUUAAACUAACAAUUGCUGACUAGAAAAAUCAAGAUCGUAUUACAAGUGGGUCCCGAAUUGGACGUGCCUAAAUCUUUUUAUAAUUUUCCCAGUGUAGCGGACAGAGGUCAUUACUAAAUUUCUCUUCCACACGCCACAGCAGCUUCGGUUAAUCAAACUCAAUCAAUUUUCUUGGCUUCUCCGCUUAUCAAUAUUACAAGGUAUGGGUAGCAUUUUUCAAAUCACAUGCGAUGGUACUAUUUUCAAUCGUUGCUUAGAUUGCUUUCUUGGAAAAGCAGCAUACAUAAGUAACCUCCAAGAUAAUCUCGUUGCCUUGGAGACUGAACUAAGGAAACUAAUCGCAGCAAAGAACGAUGUGAUGACGGCGGUUGUCAAUGCUGAACGGCAACAAAUGAGAAGGCUGGACCAAGUGCAAGUGUGGGUUUCGAGGGCGGAAGCUGUUAAAACUGAAGCUGAUGAACUUAUCAGAGGCGGCUCUCAAGAAAUUGAAAAAUUAUGUCUUAGAGGGUUCUGUUCCAGGAACUGCACGUCAAGCUACAAGUUCGGAAAACAAGUGGCUAAAAAGCUACGAGCUGUGGAGACUUUAAUCGCCGAAGGAGUUUUUGAGGCGGUGGCUGCCGAGGUGGUGCCUGAGAGAGCUCCAGAGCCUGUAGCAGAUGAAAGACCUACCGAGCGAACAGUAGUAGGCUUGCAAUCACAACUUGAACAAGUCUGGAGAUGUCUUGCAGAAGAAUCAGCGGGAAUCAUUGGCCUAUAUGGUAUGGGCGGUGUUGGUAAAACUACACUAUUGACCCAUAUCAACAAUAAAUUUCUCGAGAGUCCAACCAACUUUGAUUGUGUGAUUUGGGUAGUAGUUUCAAAAGACCUGCGACUUGAAAAAGUUCAAGAAAAUAUUGGGAAAAAGAUAGGUUUGGUUGAUGAUUCAUGGAAGAGUAAAAGUGUAGAGGAGAAAGCUCUCGACAUCUUCCGGAGUUUAAGAGAGAAGAGAAUUGUAUUGCUGUUAGAUGAUAUAUGGGAGCGGGUUGAUUUAACAAAAGUGGGCGUUCCACUUCCAGGACCACAAAAUACUACCUCAAAAGUCGUAUUCACAACCCGUUUCAUCGAUGUUUGUGGUAGCAUGGAAGCUGACAGGAAGUUCCAAGUAGCAUGCUUAUCAGAAAAGGAUGCUUGGGAACUGUUUCGAGAAAAAGUUGGGGAAGAAACUCUUCAGAGUCAUCAUGAUAUCGUUGAGCUAGCCCAAAUUGUGGUCAAAGAGUGUGGUGGUUUGCCACUCGCACUUAUUACUAUUGGUCGAGCUAUGGCCUACAGAAAGAAAGCGGAGCAGUGGAGACGUGCAAUUGAAGAGUUAAGGAGAUCAGCCUCAGAGUUUGCAGGUUUGGGAAAAGAGGUGUAUACUCUUUUGAAAUUCAGCUAUGAUAGUUUGCAGAAUGAUACGGUUAGAUCUUGUUUCUUGUAUUGUUGUUUAUAUCCUGAAGAUUAUGGCAUUCUUAAAUGGGACUUGAUUGAUUGUUGGAUUGGCGAGGGAUUUUUUGGGGAAUCUGACAGGUCUGGUGCAGAAAACCAAGGAUAUGACAUUUUGGACACUCUUGUUCGUGCAUGUUUAUUAGAAGAGGUGGAAGAUGAUAAAGUAAAAAUGCAUGACGUUGUUCGUGAUAUGGCUGUAUGGAUAACCAGUGAAAUUGAGAAAGGGAAGAGAAACUUUUUGGUUCGUGCAGGUGCUGGAUUAAAAGAGGCACCGGAUGUUAAAGGAUGGGAAAAUGUGAGAAGAUUGUCAUUGAUGCAAAACCAAAUUGAAACUCUGUCCGAGGUUCCUACAUGCCCUCAUCUCCUCACUUUAUUUCUUGACUUUAAUGAGAAGUUGAAGAUGAUCACGGAUGGCUUCUUCCAAUUUAUGCCUUCUCUCAAAGUUUUGAAGAUUUCACACUGUGGUAGGAAUUGGAAAGAUUUGAAAUUACCUGUUGGGAUGUCAAAGUUGGGUUCACUAGAACUUCUUGAUAUUUCACAUACGCUGAUAACAGAGUUACCAGAAGAGUUAAAGUUGUUGGUAAAUCUGAAAUGUUUGAAUUUGAGGUCGACAGAAUUGUUAAUUAGAAUUCCACGGCAACUGGUAUCAAAUUCUUCAAGGUUACGUGUGUUGAGAAUGUUCGCUACUGGCUGGUUAAAUUUUCAUGAAGCACCAGAAGACAGCGUUUUAUUUGGUGGGGGUGAAGUUUUGAUACAGGAAUUGCUCGGUUUGAAAUAUUUAGAGGUAUUGGAGUUGACCUUGCGAAGUUAUCAUGCUCUCCAAAUUCUUUUGAGCUCAAAUAAGUUAAAAAGUUGUAUUCCAUCUCUUUUCCUCCAGUUGGCCGGAGAUACAACGUCGAUUAUUGAUGCUGCGGCUUUCGCAGAUCUAAACCACCUCAACGAUUUAUUUAUUUAUAAAGGCAUUCAGUUGGAAGAAUUGAAGAUUGAUUAUACAGAGAUAGUACAAAAAAGGCGGGAACCUUUUGUUUUCCGCAGCCUUCACCGUGUUUCUAUUGGGGGGUGCGAUAAAUUGAAAGAUGUGACAUUCCUCGUUUUUGCUCCAAACCUCAAGUCUCUUUGGCUAUUCGAUUGCGGUGCUAUGGAAGAAAUAAUCAGCGUCGGAAAAUUUGCUGAGACUCCUGAGAUGAUGGGACAUAUAAGCCCUUUUGAAAAUCUCCAAAGGCUUGAAUUAUGGGAUUUGCCAGCUUUGAAGAGCUUCUACUGGAAGCCAUUGCCUUUCACUCAUCUGAAAGAAAUGGUGGUACAUGGGUGUCAUCAGCUUAGAAAGCUUCCACUCGAUUCCAACAGAGCAAAAGAGCGUAAAUUUGUUAUUCGUGGAAAAGCAGACUGGUGGAACCGACUUCAAUGGGAGGAUGAAGCCACUCAAAUUGCUUUUCGUUCCUGUUUCCAACCUCGUUCCUGAGCGGUGGUCGCAAAAUUUGAUUUCUGGUGAGUGCAUUCGUCUUUUAAAAGAAGAAUUUAAAAGAAAUUUAUUCUUGUCGUUUUCUUCUCUGUUUUUAUUUCAGUUUCUUUCUCUCUCUCUCUCAAGGAUCUCUAAUCAAUAGCUGGAAGCAAUUGAGAGGCGCCGAGACCCGAUCGGAUCUAGGCCCAAGUUUGGUCUUAAAGCCUGGGCUUGAGCCUGACAAUUAAAUUAAAACAUUAAUUGAUUUAUUGAUUGAAUUGUUGUGUAAUUGAUUUAUGGGGGAUGAAACAUCAACAUACUUGAAAAUACACUAAUCUUAGCAUCAUCGGUUAAUAACUGUUAGAUUUAUGGGUAAUCGUAAUCAAUAGUUAAGAUUAGUUGUCAUUAAUACUAAAUAUUUUUUACUAUUUUUGUCUCUACUAGAGGAUCUUCUAGAAAAAUGCAUCCACAACAAAAUUUAAUAUUUUACAUAAUAAACAAAAUAUAAAUGUUAAAUUUAAGAAACUGCAUUGCAUUUCAGCUGAAGCUGACUUUAAUAUUUAGGGUAGAAAAACAAUUAAAUCCUUAAUGUGUUUAAUUUCUAUCACUUGUGUCAUUAAAAUUUUCUAGCCACCUUAACCAAUUACAUCUCAACCCACUUUUUUUGGAUGAUUUUAUUUUUACACAAUUAUUUUCAACAUAUCAUGAUGUAUUCGUCAAAAGCUGGAAAUGACUGUUGCCCGUCAAAAUUCACAUUUUUUCCUUAACGAUAAAGUUUUAAUAUAAUUUUGAAGUUAUAACGUCAUAAAUAUAUUGCAUAAUAAUAAGAAAAAGGACCUAAAUGGUAAAAGUGAUAAAUAAUAAGAUCGAAGUAUCAUUUUCCAAUGUUAAAUGAGGCAAUGCCAUUCUCCGGUUCUCUUCUUUAAAUGCGUGAUGUGUGUGCUCUGUUUUCUCUAUUAUUCUUUUUCUCUUUUAGAUUUUGAGAACGUAAAGGGUGCAGGAGUCUUUAUCUUGUUAAAACAAGUCUUUUCGAAGUAUUCAACUAAAUUAAAUCAUGGCCUAAUGCUGUGUCAAUUCCAUCAUCAGCAUUUUUUUUUUCCUUUUUAACACCAACAUCAGUGUAUGUUUGGAUAAUUUGAAAUCUGUUUGUGUUUUAUCUCAAAGUAGAGCUUCAAUCAAUUUGUACCUCACAAAUUCACAAUAUCUAUUAAGGAUAAUAAGACCGAACUCUGGCAUAUUGUCAAAUGUGCUUAUCCAAUUCCAAAUUAAAAUGUUGACAGUGUUUCAUCAACCAAGAACUUGUCUUCGAUAGUUAAUCGGAUUAAAGGGAAUAAUUAAUGAGAGCAAUUAAUUAAUAUUAGCCGGCAUCGUCUGUUUCAUAGGUACUCGUGGUUCACUAACAUAAGCGUUGAAUUUGUAUAGUAGCUUGUUCCUUUCCUUCGGUUUUACUUAAUGAAAACCUUGGCUAGAUCGUACACCAAUGUAAAAUCGAAAACCCUUAUGCCACGAAGAGUUCUUAGUGCAAUUGAGAUCAAUGAUAAUCAGCUGAUAGGGAAAACAUUGUCUGAUUGUCAUAAACAAACUUCUUGAAAAUGCCAUCAGUAACAUGGAAGAUUUGGAGGUUAUUCAAAUGCUGACUUCAGGAAUGCAGAUUAAUAUAUUAUGGAGACAGAUUGAGUGCAAUGGCUAAUUGUAACAGGGAAUUUUUAUUGUACAAACAGACCAGCCAGCAAAGAAUAUUCCAAAUCUAGGACUAAACAAGUCAAUAAUAAAAUAAACAAACGGCAAGAGAGAGUGAUUAUAUCUACAACACCAUCGGCUACUACAAAUUCAACUUUUCAACAGUUGUUACUCACCAUGAACAGAAAAAAGAAAAUUACAACAAAAAAUUGGUUGCUAAAAGACGUCUAUUCAUGGUAAUGCCUCUCAAAUGGGUUCAAAACAUGGAAGAAAAGCAUUUAGUGUGGCUUCAUCGUCCCAUUUCAGCUCACUCCACCAGUGUUGCAGGGGCUUAGUCAAAGUGGCUUUCAAGAAGUUUUAUUACCACCUCAGUUCAAAUCCUAAGAGAGGUAGGAGGAUAAAAGAAUUAAUUUGGACUUUACCUAGCCCUCUACCUUUGUUAAAUUUAUGUUAAAAAAAAAAAUAGAUUUGAGAUUGGUAAUAUCCUUAUUUUUUGUUUUCAAAGGAAACUGAUUUAGGACCAAUGAGACUUUGAUCCAAUGGGAGAAGCCUUUCACUUAUAAUGUUAAGUAUAAGGGUUCGAUCCUCCAUAAGAGCUUUAUGAAGGUUAAUUUCAGUACUUCCUUAGUUAUCAGUUAAUUGAGUGGAGACAGUCUCUCCCUUACGAAAUGUGAGUGGAGUAGGCACCCCUCGAAUAUUAGAGAAGGUUUAAAGUAUCUGAGCAAGUGCUUUAGUGGGUUAAUAUAUGGCGGUAGUUCCAGUUGUUUAGUAUGAUUGUAGUACGAUUGUAUAUAUUAAUUGUAAUAUCUAAUGUAAUAUCAAUAACAAUCUGUGCAUAACAGAAUUCAAAAAAAGAAAAGAAAAAAGAAAACUGAUUUAGGUGGUUUCUUGGUUAAGACUUUUUCUUUAGCAUACUUAGUUCCACGUGCUAUUUAGAUAUUUUUCGACAUACUUAUUACUUAGUUCCACAUGCUAUUUAGAUAUAUUUCGACCAAAUGAACAAGCGCAAGCCAUUGACACUUAGCUUAAUUUCAGGGUCAAGCUAUAUUUGAAACUCAAAUAUUAACCUAUUAAUAUUUUCAAUUCAUUCAAUUAUAAAUUAGAGAUGAUAGAAAUUCUCAUAGGAACAGGGGCCCUAGGGGAUUUUAGAGGAUUUUUCCCAUUCGGGAAGGGUAGGAGACAAUUUUAUAUCAAGUUUCUUAUUCCCAGAGACUAUAAUAUUUUUUUACCUAAUUUCUUAUUCAGGGAAGAUAUGGAGAUGAUGUGGACUUUCCAUCCCCUCCCAAUUCUCCAUUUUUAUUUUUAAUUUUUAUAUUAUUUUUCUAGAAUUAUUAGUGAAAAUAAUAAAAUUUAAAUUGUAAAAAUUUUAUUAAUGAAUAAAUAAAAAUAAAAAUUUUAGACACCUUUUUCCCAAACUUGUAGCUUGACUUGCAGUUCUUGGAGCAGUAGCCUCCAAGACAGUUUUUCAAUUUCUCGAGAGCCGUCCCUUGUCAAUUCACCAACUUCAGCUUCCACAGCCGCCACCCUUGAGGUGAUGUUUGGUUGGGAGGAGAGAAUGGGGGAGAGGAAAGUAAUUUAAAUUCUACUUUUAUUUUUAUUGUUUGGUUGCACGAAAUAUAUAAGAAUUUAAUUUCCAUUAGAAUUUAAUAUCCUUUAUAAUCUAGAAUUUGAAUUCCACACCAAAGAGUGAAGAAUUCAAAUUCCUCUUAGGUUGAAAACCCAAGUUUCCAAAUUUGUCCUUCAACAUUUUAACUUGUUUAAUGCUAUUAAUAAUUAUUAUUUAUAAUUUUAUUUUAUCAAUUUAAUAUUAUAAAUAAUUUAAUAUUAAUUAAAUUUAAUGAAUGAUUUAAGACAUUUAAUAAAAUAAAUAAACUUAUUUAUUUAUUUAAUAUGCAAAUAUAUAAAUAUAAAUUAACUAUCGCCGGAACUUCGCUGGACCGUCGCCGGAAGCUGUCGAAAUUUCACCGAAAAGUCACCAACCACUGUUGAUCGGCGUUGGCUUAUGUUGACCGCUACUGUUGACCGGCUUUUAUUUAUAUUAAAUUAUAUUAAAUAGUUUAGUAUAUUAAAUUAUUUUAUAUUUUAUAUUAAAUAUAAAUCAUGAAUUGUUUCAUAACUUUUUGAAAUUAAAAAAAAUUGGUAUUAAUAUUAAAUUAUAUUUUAUUACUAAUAUAGAUAAUUUAGUAUUUAAGGUAAAGGAUAAAUUUGUCCAAAGAAAAAAAUUAUAAUUUCUUUCCUUAUCAAAUUUGAUGUCAAACCAAACAUUGAAAUUUAAUUUUAUUAAUCUCUUCCACUCAUUUCUCCUCCAUUCCACUUUUUUCUUCUCCUCUCCUUUUUUAAAACCAAACACCACCUGAAAGCCAACCUUGCACUUUGUUCAGCCGUCUCAGUUGUUGCUGCUCAGGAUUGGCGACCCUCAUCAUCACAUCGUUCUUUGGUUCAAUUAAUUUCUGCAAUUCGGUCUGGAUGGCAACCAGGUUAUCUUCAAGCUGGCUUAAAUAUCAUGCUUUUCUGCGGGUACAAUUUAUGAAGCCAGUGAAAAUUACGCAUACAAUAGGAGUGCAACACAGUGUGUAUUCGGUUGUGGUGUCUAUGAUUUUGCAGUCGCAGAAGCUUAUUCACCUUAUGAAGACUGAUCAGGUGGGCACCGUCGCUCUCCUUACAUUCUUAUGGAGAGCGAUAGUCCAUGUAGUCAGAUCUCACUGAGAGAACUAGCCGAGUGGGCAAUCGCUCCGCCUGAUCAAAAUUUGUCAUCUUAUAAUAAUAUCUUGAGUAGGUCUUGAAUUUUUUUUCCAAUUUUAAUCUUUAAAAGGUAGAAGAGGUGAAAAAAACCUAAAUAGUAUUUGUGUCCUCCUAAAUAACAUUUCUUGAACAUCAAUGGAUCUUAAAACUUAAUUAAGAAAAUAUUAUAGAUUUAUAAAUUAGUGGCCCUUAAAAUUUAUUUGCAAGUAACAAUUAGAGAAAAGUCGUCAGGCCCAAAAGACUUAGAGCAUCACCAAAAGACUCUUCAAAUAAGAUUUUAUUAAUUAUUUGAAGAGCCAUCUCAAUAUUUAAGACUCCAAAAGACACUCCAAUUAAGAUUCUUCAAAUAAGAAAUAAUUCUCUCUCUUCAAAUUUGGAGAGUUGAUUUCUCCCUCUUCAAUUUAUACUUUAUUACUUUCCAUUGGAGAAAAAGAGAGAAGUGCUUUAAUUGCUAUUGACUUUUUCUUUAAAAAAAUAAUUAUUUGAUUAAAAUAAUAUUAAGUUAUUUCUAUUUGAAGAGUCUUUUGGAGAAUAUUAUUUUUUUUUACUCUUCUAUUUGCCACAUAGAUAAGCAAAUAGAUAUUUGAAGAGUAAAAUUUAUAGAGUCUUUUGGAGAUGCUCUUACUAAAAGUCGGCAACUCGUCAUGACCAAAAUUCUUCCGAGUGUGAAAUACGGCAUGCGCAGAUGCAUUAAAAACAAAAGCCAGCUAAGAUAUUCUUUGUAUACUUGCAUUCCCUAUCAUCUUAUUAAUAAUUUCAGACACGUCGUUCGUUCCCUGUGACUUUUCAUAUGCAACAGCACAGUCAGUGUUACAAUUUACAUUUCGAAUUGGGUGUCAUCUAUAUACUCUACCUAGAUCUAACAUGAUAUUGCAGUAUUGCACUGAUUUUUUUGUCGCAGCGUUUCUCUAUGAAUUCCUUAAACUUUAAACACAUCAUGGAAUAAUUAUUUUCUUAAAGACCAAAUUAACAUAAUUCUUAAAUCAUUUAUAAAACAACAUUUAUCAUAUAACAGAUCGUACACGAAUCAAUUUUCCUUGAACAGUAGCAAACAAACAAGAAUCUCAACCACAUCACGAGAUCGCCCACGUCAAACCAAGUAUUCUUAAUGAGUGGACCAGCUAAUAUAUUCAAAAUUGGAAUUAAUUGAGGAUAAUGAUUAGUGCUAAUACAUUUGCAAAGAAAAAUCAUGCCUAUUGAAAAACUCAUCUUAUUAGCAGCAGCGUUAUAAGUAGCAUCCAAUCAUAGUUUCACGCAAGAUUUUGAGAUUAUUCAAAUGCUGAUCCCGGGAAUGGAGAUUAAUAGAUAAUGGAGACAGGUUGACUGCAAUGGCUAAUUGUAAGAGGGAUUUUUAGCCGUAAAAACAGAUCAACUAGCAAAGCAAAUUCCAAAUCUUGGAAUGCAGUAGCAAAAAAACGAAACAAACAAAUGGCAAGAGGAAGUGACUAUACAACAAUAACAUCGACUUGCAAUUCAACAUUUAUACAGUUUUACACACCAAGAAAAGAAAAAAUUACAAUAGAAAUUUGGCCACUAAAAGAUGCUCGUUCAUGCUUAUGCCUGUCAUAUGGAUUUGAAACAUGGAGUAAAAGCAUUUAGAGUGGCCUCAUCCUUCCACUGCAGCUCAUUCCACCAGUAUUGCUCUCCCCUAAUAACAAGUUUUCGUUCCUUGGCGCUGUUGUAAUCGAGUGGAAGCUUCUUGAGAUUCGGGCAGCCAGAUACAAACAAUUCCAAGAGAUUUGGAAAGGGCAAUGCAUUCAAACAGAUCUUCUUCAGAUUUCUUACAACUUGCAACCGAAGAUAUUGGAGUUUCGAAAAAGUUUUUUGCACUGGAACUUCUGGAACUUCUUCCAAUUUCCAAACACUGAUUAUUUCUUCCAUCUCAUAACAACGUUCUACAUGGACCAUCUUGAGAUUUGGGGCAAAAACAAGCCAUGUCAUCUCCCUCAAUUUACUGCAAUAGUCUAUGGUAACACUUUGAAGGCUGUUGAAACCAUAAAGUUCUCUUGUUGUUUGAAUUUCUGCAUAGUCAACCUUUAGCUCUUCCAAACUUGUACAAUACACAAAAUCUAGUUUGUCAAGAUACUUGAGAUCUGCUAUGGACAAAAUAUUCCAUGACCUUGAAUCCUCACAGCGGCGAAGCUCUAAAGCAUAUUUACAACUCUUGUACUGUUGGCAGCUCAAAAGUCUUCGUAGAGCAUAAAAACUUCUUAACGUGACGCUUAAUACAUUUAAAUGUUCCAAAGUAAUCAACUCCUCUACCAAAAUUUCACUACCACCAAAUAGAACGCUAUCUUCUGGUACUGUAUUAGCAGAGCCACAAUCUAGCAUCCUCAACACCUUUAACCCAGAAAAAUUACAAAGCAGUUGCCGUGGAAUCGUAUGGAGAUAACGCAUGUACUCCAAGUUCAAACACUUUAGAUUUUUCAAGGCUUUUAAUUCAUGUGGCAACUCUUUGAUGAAAGUUUCUGAAAGAUUAAGAUAUUGUAGUGAAACCAAUUUUGAAAUUCCUGAAGGCAAUUGACUCAAGGAGCGAUUCUUUGAUAGGUUUAAAACUUUAAGAGAAGGCAUAAAAUCGAAGAAAUCACUAGGGAUAGUAUCUAACAUAUUAAUGCCGAGGAACAAAGUUAUAAGAUGAGGGCAUAUUGGAGUUAUUGGUAAAAUCACAAUUUUAUUUCUCAUCAACGAUAUCCUUCUCUUAUCUUCCCAUUGUUUAACUUCGGGUGGUUCAGUUAAUUCAAUACCGGCAGAAACCAAAAAGUUUUCAUUCUCCACUUCACAGGCUAUCCACAAGGUCAUAUCACGAAUCACAUCAUGCAGUUUUACAUAAUCUGAUCCUGCUUCUUCCAAUAGGCAUGCAUGAACAAGAACACCAAUAAUGUAGUAUCCUUGGUUAUGUACUCCAUUAAUUCCUUCAUAUUCCUUCAGAAAACCCUCACCAAUCCAACACCCUAUCAAUUCAAUUUUGCUAAUUUGAUAAUCCUCAGGAAAUAAACUACAGUAUAACAGACAAGAUCUAAGGACGUCACUAGACAAACUAUCAUAACUGAAUUUUAAAAGACGAAACACCUCUUUCUCCAUACCUGGAAAUUCAUAAGCUGAUCUCCUUAACAUCUGAAUUGCAUAGCUCCAUUCUUCGGGUGUCUUCUUGCUGCUCAUGGCACGACCGGUGGUAAUAAGUGCAAGUGGCAAACCACUACACUCCUUUGCCACAGUUUGGGCUAACUCCGGAAUAUCGGGAUGACUUUCAAGAGUCUCUUCUCCGACCUUCUUUAGGAACAAUUCCCAAGCAUCUUGAUCUGCCAAACACUCCACCUUGAACUUUUUUUGAGCUUCCAUGAGGCCACAGACGUCCACAAGACGAGUUGUAAAGACUAUCUUUGAUGCAUUUCUUGAACUCGCAGGAAAAGGGACACCCACUUUGGCUAAAUCAAUUCUUUCCCAUAUAUCAUCUAACAAUAGCAGAAAUUUCAUUUUGCUCAAUAAAUUGAAUAUGCCUGAUGCUUUCUCUUCAAAGCUUCUAUUCUGAAGCCAUCCUAUUCUUUCUCCGAUUUUCUGUUGUAUUCUCUCAAGUUGCAUGUCUUUUGACACCACCACCCAAAUCACAAUAUCAAAAUAAUUUGGUGUAUUAAGGAACCUGUUGUUGAUUUGGGUUAAUAGUGUAGUCUUGCCGACUCCCCCCAUGCCAUAAAGUCCGAUGAUUCCAAAUUGUCCUUCUACAAGACAUCUCCAAACUUUAUCAAAUGUUGAUUCUAGGCCGAUUAUUGUUGGCUGAAGAGGCCUUUCAUCCACUGCUGGUUGUGGUACCUUUUCAGCUACCACUGCAAAAGCUCCAUCAUCUAUUAAAGUAGCCACAAGCUGCAGCUUUUUAGACACCUUUUUCCCAAACUUGUAGCUUGACUUGCAGUUCUUGGAGCAGUAGCCUCCAAGACAUAGUUUUUCAAUUUCUUGAGAGCUGUCCCUUGUCAAUUCACCUACUUCAGCUUCCACAGCCUCCACCCUUGAAAGCCAACCUUGCACUCUGUUCAGCCGUCUUAGUUGUUGUUGCUCAGCAUUAGCGACCCUCAUCAUCGCAUCGUUCUUUGUUUCGAUUAGUUUCUGCAAUUCGGUCUGGACGGCAACCAGGUUAUUUUCAAGCUGGCUUAGAUAUGCUGCUUUUCUGCGGGUACAAUUUAUGAAGCCAGCGGAAAGGGCAUCACAUAUAAGUUGGAUUCCCAAAAUAUUACCCAUAGUUUGUAUGAGAUUCAGAGUACAAUAGAAGGAAUGCAACACAGUAUGUAUUCGGUUGUGGUGUUUAUGAUUUUACAGUCGCAGAAGCUUAUUCACCUUGUGAGGGCUGGUCAGGUGGGCACCAUCACUCUCCUUACGCUUUAUAGAGAGCGAUAGUCCAUGUGGUCAGAUCUCAUUCAGAUAACUAGCCAAGUGGGCAAUCGCUCCACCUUAUCAAAAUUCUUCAUCUUAUAAUAAUAUCAUGAGUAGGCCUUGAAUUUUUCUUUUAAUUUUAACAUUUAAAAGGUGGUGGUGAAAAAGUCUAAAUAGUAUUUUUGUCCUCGUACUUUAAUAACAUUUCUUGAAAGUCACUCGAUCUCAAAAUUUAAUUAAGAAGAUAUUAUAGAUUUAUAAGCCCUUAAAAUUUAUUUGCAAGUAAGCCCAUAAGACUUACUAAAAGUCGUCAACUCGUCAUGACCAAAAUUGAAAAUUCUUCCGCGUGUGAAAUACGGCAUGCACAGACGUAUUAAAAGCAAAGGCCAGCUAUGAUAUUCUUCGUAUACUUGCAUUCCCUAUCAUCUUAUUAAUAAUUUCAGACACGUAGUUCGUUGCUUGUGAUUUUUCAUAUGCAAAAGCACAGUCAGUGUUACAAUUUACAAUUACAAUUGGGUGCCAUCUAUAUACUCCUUCCUUGUUUUCAAAAUAUGUUGUAGGAUGGGUAAUUGUAACAAAAGUGAUUUUUAAAAAGAUUUAUUAUAAUAUUAAAAUUAACUUUUAAUUUUUUUAAAUUAUUUUUGAGCUUUCUGAAAAAAAAAUCCUAAACCGGUCUCAGAAGUAUAAUUAGAACCACGAAUUUAUAAAAUGAUCAAAGGAAUCCAUCGCCUAAUAUUAUAGUACGCAAUGGAUUGCUAUAAACUAAAUUGCUAUGAUCUCACUUCAUAAUAAUUUAUUUUCAAUCUCCAUCAUGGUAGAAAAAUUUCAUCAAUCAACAUACCCUACCACCACCCAAUAGUCGACCAUUUAUCAUCUUCUAUCCGUAAAAAAACGAAAAAAAAAAAAGAGAAAAGGAAAAAUUUAGUCCACAAAAGAAAAUAUCGCAAGACCAAACAGAGAGAGAAAAUAGAAAAAGCAAAGAGCUGUACUGAAUACCGGCGGUGAUGGCUCGGUACUUGACCAUUUAGGUUUGAUUCUGCAUUAACAUAAUAUUUUUUCUGCACUGCAUUCACAUCACAACCAUUGAAUAGUCGUGAUCUAUUUUUCUAAAGCGAAUAAUAUUAUCUUCUCGUGUCGGUGGCUUGAUCAUAUAACAAAAUAGACUAAUAAUGUUUCAAUAGACAUUUUGGUAAAUGGAAGAAGUUAUGAUCUGUCCAUUUUUAUGUUACUUUAUUUUAAUUUGUUAAUUACUAUUAAUAUCUUUGAGUGGGGCAGAAUCUUGACCUAAGAUAUAGGGAUGGCAAUGGGGCAUAUAUGGGUUGGAUUUACUCUGCUCCAUAUCCAAAUCCAUAAUAAAAAUUAAGAUCCGUAUCUGCUCCAGAUCCGUCAUGAAUCCAUAUUUUUCGGUCCAUAUUCAGAUCCAAAAAAGAAAUAAAUAUCUAUAUCUACUCCAAAUCUGAAAAAAAUUAAAAUCCAAAUCUGCUCUAAAUCUGUCAUGAAUUCUAAAAUUCAGUAAUAAAAAAUUAAUAAUUUUUUAGAUUGAAAAUUGAAGGCUAAAAUGUAUUGAUAACAAAUAAAUUAUAUAAUUUUUCUCAAAAAUAUAAUAAAUAUUGUAUCUUAUACUUUUUCACCAAAACAACAAAUAAGAAAGAUAAUAAAAUAUCAUUUAGAAGUAAUUGCAGGAGUAAGAUCAAUCUAAUAUUAUAUUGUCUCCUUCAUCAUUCUAAUAUCCACGAUACACCUACCCUCAUUCCUACAACAUUAGAUAAUGACAUAUAAAUUAAAUAUGAUUUAUAUUCAGUCCUUUAUUAUUUUUAUUAUGACCAUAUUUGACUAAAUAUAUGAAUAACUAUAUUUCUUAAAAAUUAUUUGGCCAAUAUAAUAAAAUAAAUUGCCAAGUUAUAUUACUUGGCUUACAAUUUAAAUAUUGCAUGUACAUGCUUUGGGGUUGGCUGGCCUUUAAAUUUACAAAACUAACUUUUAAGUUUUAAGAGUUUAAAUGCAUGGUAAAUACUACUAAUAUGCUAUGAAUAAAAUUUAUUAUCAUUAUAAUUCCACAAUUGUUAAGAAACUUUUAAAAUAAAAUAAAAUUAAAAGAUGAGUGGAUAUGGAUAUGGAUUUAGAUAUUAAGAUAGAUCCAAAUCUGCUCCAGAUCCGUCUUAGAUCCGCACAUCGAUAUCCAAAUCCGAUCCAAAUCUAUUUUAAACCGAUCCAAAUCCGAUCCGAUUGGAUUUGGAUCACGUGGAUCUUGGAUCAGAUCCAAUCCAUUGCCAUCCCUACUAAGAUAUGACUAGGCUCCACAUGUUAUAUAUUAAUUUGAUUAAGCCCAGCUAAUUGUUAAUUAUUAAUUUGAUUGCGGCUUUUUAUUUUACCCACAUUUUUUACGCGUGAAAUCUUUCUUAGUGAAAAACUACACGUAUUUGCAAAUAUUCGGAAUGGACAUUUUCGAAAAAACAAGUAAAAGAAAAUGACUAAAAAGUAAAAGAAAAUAGACACCCAAUUGUAAUUACGAGUACAAUAGAAGGAAUGCAACACAAUACCGAUUUUGCAGUCGCUGAAGCUUAUUCACCCUAUGAGGGCUGAUCAGGUGGGGGCCGUCGCUCUCCUUACACUCUUAUAGAGAGUUAUAGUCCAUGAUCUCAUUGAGAGAACCAGCCAAGUGGGCAAUCGCUCCACCUGAUCAAAAUUCUUCAUCUUAUAAUAAUACCUUGAGUAGGCCUUCAAUUUUUUUUUUCAAUUUUAAUCUUUAAAAGGUAGAAGAGGUGAAAAAGUUAAAUAAUAUUUUUGUCCUCCUAUAUAACAUUUUUUGAAAAUCACUCGUUCUUAAAACUUAAUUAAGAAAAUAUUAUAGAUUUUUAAGUUAGUGGCCCUUAAAAUUUAUUUGCAAGUAACAAUUAGAGAAAAGUCGUCAUGCCCAAAUGACUUACUAAAAGUCUGCAACUCGUCAUGACCAAACAUCUUCCGAGUGUCAAAUACGGCAUGCGCAGAUGCACUAAAAACAAAGGCCAGCUAUGAUAAUCUUUGUAGUAUUAAUAAUUUCAGACGCGUCGUUCGUUGCCUGUGACUUUUCAUAUGCAAAAGCGGAGUCAGUGUUACUUGCAUUCACUGUCACCUUAUUAAUAAUUUCAGACACAUCGUUGGUUGCCUGUGAUUUUCAUAUUCAAAAGCACAGUCAGAAUUACAAUUUACAUUUGGAAUUGAGUGCCAUCUAUUUAUUCCAGCUAAAUCUAAAAUGAUGUUGCAGUAUUGCACUGAUUUUUUAGUCACAGCGUUUCUCUAUGAAUUCCUUAAACUUUAGACCCAUCAUAGAAUAAUUAUUUUCUUAAAGACCAAAUUAACAUAAUUCUUAAAUCAUUUAUAAAACAACAUUUAUCAGAUAACAGAUUGUACAUGAAUAAAUUUACCUUGAACCGUAGCAAACAAACAAGAAUCUCAACAACAUCAAUAUCAUAAUCCCUUCUGACCUUAACAGUAAUUUUAUUCGUCCUUAAUUCAUAGGUAUAAGUAUCCCAAUAUAUACUUGAUGUCAACCUUUACAAUUCUUUACAGAAUUGCAGCAGACCAAAUUUGUAUGCAAAACUGAAAUCAUACAGUAAUUGAAUACAGUGAAAAUAGACAUGAUGGGAAUUAGUAUAUAUAAAUAUCUUAAUAAUUUAAAAGUUUCUUAAACUGAUUUUACAUAUCUGAAAAAUUAUAGAAAUCGGAACUGCUGCAGAAAUCAUAAUUUUCCAGCGAAUGUGUUACAACUUCAGAAACUCAUAAGAAAUUAAAUUCUUGGGAUCACAAAAUAAUUCAUCAAUUUAAGAGAUUCAGCAGUACUUUUAUUACAUCAAUUCUUCAAACAAUCACCAAUCUAACAUUCAUCAAAAUUAAGUCAUAAAAGUCAUGUGGUUUAUAAAAAGAAUUACCUGAAAAAGAUUAGCCUUCCCCUUUCAAAAGCAACGAGAAACUCCAAAAACUCUUCUUCCAUUGCCUAUUCAAACAUGAAAAAAAAAAAUUAGUAUCUCUUCUUUAAACGCGCGAUGAGUGUGCUCUGUUUUCUCUGUUCUUUUUCUUUUUUAGAUUUCGAAAACGUAAAGAGUGUUGGAGUCUUUAUUUUCUAAAAACAAGACUUUUCCAUGUAUUCAGUUAAAUUAAAUUAUGUCCUAAUGCUAUGUCAGUUCCAUCAUUAGCAUUUUUUUUUUCCUUUUAACACCAACAUUAGCGUAUGUUAAGUAUCAUAAUCCAUAGUUGGACAAUUUGAAAUCUCUUCGUGUAGUUGACUGGCAACAACUAUAUUGGCAUUUAGACAUAAUGUACUGCAACCAUAUUGACAUGUUCAAAUGUUCUCACUAUUGUAUUGGUGUGUCGAUAUUAUCUCUAUCAGUCCUAUAGAUCCAAAAAUAAUCUAAAUUUACAAUUUAACUUAAAAUAAAAUAAUUGGUAGAAAACAAUUAUGGUUCAUUUACUUAUCAGUAAUUAAAAUAGACUGAAAUUAGAAUGAGUUGUAUUGACGUUGAUGUGUUUCUGUUGUCCUCGAAUCGGAAUGAAUUAUUUUAACUUACUAAAAUACCCUUUGUUUGUUAUUCUAAUUAUUAUUAUUUAAUAUUUAUUAUAAUAUUUGUCAUAUUAUUAAAAAGAAAUAAUAAUGAUGAUAAUAUUAUCAUUAUUGUUUGUUAUAUUAUUAUUAUUCAAAAAAAUUGUUGUUAAUAACUAUAAUAACUUUAUUUCAAUAAUAAAAAUGAUAAAAUUAAUAAUAACAAACAUGACAACAACAAUAAUUAUUUAUUAUGCCAAAAAAUAACAAUAAUGAUAAGAAUAAUAAUCAUCAUCAUUUUUUUCCCAAAGAAGCAUUAUCAUCAUCAUUUCAAAAAAAAAAAUCAUCAUCAUCAGCAUUUUUGUAGUGGCUGCCUAUCGGCUGCUGCUUUCAUGUGAGAUUGACUUGCGACGCUUCAACUACUAUUAUUUCUGGCAAUGUCAGGUGUUGUUGUUUCAAUCUGGGGAGAAGCUGUUUCGGUGAGCUAACAAUGGGAGGUGUUGCUGCUCGAUGCGAGGUCCAUGGCCAGCUGUCUUGUUUUACACCCAGCUCUUGUAGGAAAUUAUUCAUCCACAAUAUUUCUUUGUAACCUUCAAUAAUUGUAAUAUCAUUUGCUUCCGUGGUAGAAAAGACAACUCAUUACUAAAGUCUAGAUUGCGAUGAGACUGCCUUCCCUACAAAAGUGAGCAAAUAUCCUCAUAGGAAUCUUUCAGAAUCAACAUCUCUUGCCAUAUCUGUUAAGAAUAACAUAUGCUGAGUCAGCUACUGAGUCAUCAAGCCACGCUGGAAGUCAGUUUUGCAGUUAGUUAGAGAGCUUAUCAGCUUCUCUCCAAAAGUUUGUUAUGUGUAUUAGAAUAUGUGCUCACGAGUUUUGUGAGUUUGUAACCUUGAAAAGAUUCUCACACUACUAUAAAUUGUAUUGUGACUCAAUUAAUAAAAGUUGUUGAAGCUUUGCAUUUUCUCUCAGUCAAAAUUUUCUCUCUAUUUUUCUAAGUAACCAAACAAAAUCUACAGAGCAUUUUGUAUUUUAACUUGGUAUCAGAGCUUGAAUCCAAUGGCCUUAAUCGGUUCCAAUCAACAGUCGAGCAACACUUCCAUAACUUCUUUCACCUUCACAAAUCCAAUUAAGCUUGAUCGUGCAAACUAUACGAUCUGGAAACAGCAAGUACUUUCUUCAAUUCGUGGCAAUGGUCUUGAAGGCUAUAUUGAUGGAUCAAGGAUCUGUCCUAGUCAAUUUCUUUCUCCAGAGGCUAGAUCUGAAGGUUCUUCUUCUUCUAACAUCGAAGGUCAAGAGAAUCCAGAGUAUGCAGCCUGGAGACGUCAAGAUCAGCUCCUGCUCAGCUGGAUUCUGUCGUCCAUGAAUGUAGAUAUUCUCAGUCUUGUGGUAAGCUCUAAGACUUCUUUUGAGUUGUGGAAAAAUCUAGAAAAACAAUUUGGAUAUGAAUUUAUGGCUAAGAAGGUUCAUCUGAAAAUGCUUUUGAGUAACCUGCGAAAAGGAUCUCUAACCAUGUCUGAGUAUUUUACAAAGCUUAAGUCAGUUACAGAUGGUCUUGCUUUAGUUGGUAGCCCUGUGCAUGAUUUGGAUUUAAUCACUCAUCUUAUUACUGGUCUAGAUCAGUCAUAUUAUCCUGUAGUAGUCUAUAUUGAGGCAAACAUGUUGAAAAUGGAUCUUAGUGAGGCUUAUGCUAUGCUUCUCACACAUGAGGCUAGACUUGAGAAUAAUAAGCUUCAUGAUAGUAAAGAAACCAAGAACAAUUAUGCAACAAAUGUAGCUCAGGUUGGAAAUUUUUCAAAGAAAGGUAAUAACAAUAAUCAAAACAACUGGAAGGAUGGAGGAAACAAUUGGAAUAAUAACUCUGGUGGAAGAGGUGGUUACCAAGGGUUCAAUCCAGGAAGAGGAAACUGGAAUAAUAAUAAUUUCAGAGGUGUUGCUGGUGGAUUUAACAGUGGAUUUCCUGGUCUCGUGGCUUCAAUAACAAUUAUGGCAGAGGUGGUUUCAACUCAGGCCAAAAUUUGGUGGUUGUUGAAGCCAACAAAAAUAAAUUCCUACUCUAAAUAAAUUGUGUAUAGUGAUUGAGCAGGGUCGUGUCCACAGAGAUCGGUAAUUAUUUAAAUCCUUUUGAAACGUAAAACGCAAAAUGGGGGAAUUGUUGACAAUAAUAAAAAUCAAAUUAAAGUAACAAGAAUGCAAAUUAAAGUUGUAAUUCAAAUUGGAGAAAGCUCUGGUUGAAGGAAUUAACUCAGCUUGAUUCGACUACUGAUCAUUGAUUCAAAUAUAGAUUAUUAUUACUCAUGAAUAGACCGGUUAUAGCUACUGAGACCCUCUAAUAGCCAAUCUCUCCUUAACUAGUCGAUAACCAAGGUACGACCGUUGGUUAUUUCCCUAAUCAAUAGACAACCCUAGAUACGAUCAUAGAAUUUAAUCAAUUGACAGCCUGAAAAACCAGAGAGACCCAAAUCCUAAUCAACACAUAUGAUGAUUCAUUUAAAUUAGAUUGUUUAUUCUCACAACACAACUCUCUGCUAUGUUAUUUGUCACAAGCAUUAAAUUCUUCAUACGAUGAAUCCUUUAAUUGACAAUAGAUUAAGUUGAUAAUUAAAUAGUGGCCAAUUACCUAAUUAACAAACAUAAUCAUGAAACUAAUUCAGAGAAUAAACAAAUACCCAAAAAGCAAUAAAACAAUUAAAGCACAAGAAAGAUCUCAUAGUAGUGAUGAAUCAAAGCUUCAUUAACCUUCAACCAGAAAAAUAAGUUUAGUUCUUCAUAGAGAGAAGAGAAAAAUUAAAUCUAGGGUUUCUUUCUUUUUUUUUUUUCCAAUCCAAAAAAUCCCCCUUUUUCACAAUAGAUUCCUCCCUUAAAUACUCUCUCUCUCUUCUCCUCUAGAAUUUUAUUUAAAAUAAAAUACUAAUAUCUGAAAUAUUAAAUUCGUAAUUACAAAAAUAACCAAAAAUACAAAACACGUUAAACUAAAAACUGCAGGUCCGCAGUUGACAGCACGCGCCCACGCCUUAUCAAUAAAGUUCUUCUGACGCUCAUAAUUUCUCCAAGAGAACAAUCAUCCUUAAACAUCAUCUUAUAGCUCAAUUUUAUCACCAACCAAUAGAAUUGCACCUACAAAAGUAAAUCACUAUUAUUAAGUGCAAAACAUCGAUAUUAAAAGAAGUAAACAAUGCAAAACUAGUGCAUAAAUUGCACUCUAACAGAGGUGCUGGAAAGAAUUUUGCUCAGGGAACUGGUGCUGCUUGUCAGAUAUGCUUCAGGUUUAAUCACACAGCAGCUGAUUGCAGAAACAGGUUCAACAGAAAUUUUAUCCCAAAUUUUCCAGCUCCAGCUCCAAAUUACUUCUCUAAUCAGCACCAAGGACCAAGAGCAGCCUUCAUAACAACAUCUGAAGGAGCUGCUGAUCAGGGAUGGUUUCUGGAUAGUGGUGCAACUCACCACUUAACCAACACAGUUCAGAAUCUGAGUGAUGGUAAGAUCUAUUUUGACUCAAACUUACUUACUGUUGGUAAUGGCCAAGGUUUUAGAAUUACUCACAUAGGUUAUACACAACUUCACACUUCUUUUGGCACCUGCUUACAACUACAGAAUAUUUUGUGUGUUCCUCAAAUUACCAAGAACCUCAUUAGUAUUUCCAAACUCCUCACUGAUAAUGAUAUAAUCAUUGAAUUUUUCUCUGAUGUUUGCUUUCUAAAGGACAAGGUGAAGGGCACUCUGUUGGCUUAGGGGAUUGCUAGAGAUGGCCUAUACAAGCUACUGUCAAAAAAGGAAUCUCUCUCUUCUUCCACUUCUGUUCUGCCAGUGUCUCAUCCUAGUUCUAUGAUGUCAACUCUUUCCUGCAAUAAUGUAAUUACUUCUGUUCAAAGUUCAAAUAAUGACUUCUGUUUUAAGUUUACAUUUCCUGUAAGCUUUCAAACUUCAAUUUCUGUGUCAGCAAAUAUAUUGCACAAUAGACUUGGUCAUCCAAGUAAGCAUGUCAUACAAACUAUUCUCAGAAACAAUUGUUUAAUGUCAGCCAAUGUUAAUAAAUCAAAUUUUCUUUUCUGUGAUGCCUGUCAACUUGGAAAGUUACAUCAAUUACACUUUCCCGCUACUAAAAUCAAAACAAAAUAUCCCUUAGAAUUAAUACACACAUACUUAUGGGGACCAGCUCCAGUUUUAUCACUAGAUGGUUAUAGAUACUAUAUUUCCUUUGUUGAUGACUUCACCCGAUAUUGUUGGAUCUUUCCCUUAGUUUUAAAAUCUGAUGCCCUUACUACUUUCAAAAACUUCAAGAGCUUAGUUGAGAAACAAUUCAAUCUGCCCAUCAGAAUUUUACAGUCUGAUAUGGGAGGUGAAUUCAAAGCUUUUCAGUCAUUUCUUCAACAAUAAGGUAUCCAAGCUAGAUUUAGUUGUCCCUAUACUCACCAUCAAAAUGGUGUUGUUGAGAGAAAACAUAGACACUUAGUAGAAACUGGAUUAACACUCCUUGCUCAAGCAAAAAUGCCUAUUUCUUUCUGGUGGGAGGCUUUCCAUACAACCUCUUAUCUCAUUAAUAGAAUGCCUACCACUACACUGAACAACUUAUCUCCCUAUCAAAAGCUUCAUAAUCAGCCACCAAACUAUCAACUUCUCAGAGUUUUUGGUUGUGCUUGCUAUCCUUUUCCCAGGCCUUAUAAUGACCACAAGCUUGAUUUUCAUUCCCAAAAAUGCUUGUUUUUAGGUUACAGCCCUCUUCACAAAGGAUAUAAGUGUCUAACAAAGUCAAGCAAAGUAUAUGUUGCUGUUCAUAUUAUUUUUAAUGAGUCUGAUUUUCCCUAUUCAGAGUUGUUCGCUUCAUCUGAAUCUUCUUCCAAUUCUCUGUCAUCAUACUCUCCAUCUAUUUGUAUCCUCAAUGACAGUGGCUUGCAUCAGUCAUCAGCUAUAUCUCCUGCUUUAGCAGAGUUACCAACUCACAUUCACCUCAACAUCCUCACCAAGCCCCACACUCUCCUUGUCCCUCUCCAGUCUCAAAUUCCUACGGCUCAUCAUCACCACAUUCUUCAUCACAUAAUGCUUUAGCCAAUCCCUCUGAUGAAUUACAACCAUCAUCUCAACCUGUCAUUUCAACUCAUCAGAUGGUUACUCGAGCCAAAUCUAGUAUUUUUAAACCAAAGACCUACCUUACAGCUACCGAAGACCUUGAACCAGUGAGUGUUAAAGCAGCCCUGAUUGAUACAAAGUGGAAAAUGGCUAUGCAAGAAGAGUAUAAUGCUUUGCAGAAGAAUGACACCUGGACAUUAGUUCCAGCUGAAACCGCUACAAAACUCGUUGGAAAUAAGUGGGUUUUUAGAGUUAAAUAUAACCCAGAUGGUAGCAUUUCCAAGUAUAAGGCUCGGUUGGUUGCAAAAGGUUUUCAUCAAACUUAUGGAGUAGAUUUCUUUGAAACCUUUAGUCUAGUUGUUAAACCCUACACUGUUCGUAUUGUUCUCAGCUUAGCAGUCAUGCAUUGUUGGCCAGUUCGGCAAUUGGAUGUUAACAAUGCCUUUCUUAAUGGCAUGCUUACUGAAAAUGUGUUUAUGCCUCAGCCAGAAGGCUUUAUCAGCUCUCAGUUUCUCAAUCAUGUCUGCAAAUUACAAAAAGCCAUUUAUGGUCUUAAGCAGGCUCCAAGGGCUUUGUAUGAUAGAUUGAAAGGGUCUUUAGUUCGGUGGGGUUUCAGAUCUUCAAAGUCAGAUACUUCACUGUUUUUCAAGCAUAUUGGCAAUAAUGUUCUCAUCAUCCUUGUUUAUGUAGAUGAUAUCCUGAUAACAGGCUCUAGUGCUGUUUAUAUUUCAGAGGUUAUCAGUCUACUUAGCUCAGAAUUUGCACUUAAAGAUUUAGGAGAUUUUAACUACUUUCUUGGGGUAGAAGUGACUCCAUCUGCUGAAGGAUUACAUCUAUCUCAAACUAAGUAUGUUGGUGACAUCUUAAGAAAAGCUCAUAUGCUUGAGAGUAAAGGCUGCAAUACACCUAUCAGUAUUGUUGAUAAGUUGCAGAAGGACAAAGGUUGCUCAUUUACAAAUCCCUCACUUUACAAAAGCAUCAUUGGUUCUCUGCAGUAUCUGACACUGACCAGACCAGAUAUCGCAUUCACUGUAAACAAAUUGAGUCAGUUUUUAGCUGCUCCAACUAUCUUGCAUUGGCAGGCUUGCAAGAGGGUAUUACGAUAUCUACAAAGCACAACACAUUUUGGACUGCAGUUCUUCAAGUCAGGUCCUCCAAGUCUCAUAGCAUAUUCUGAUGCAGAUUGGGGGUCUGAUCCAGAUGAUAGAAGAUCUGUUGGAGGGUAUUGUGUUUAUCUUGGAUCCAAUCUUGUGUCUUGGUCAUCUAAGAAACAGAACAUUGUUUCCAGGUCAUCUGCUGAAUCUGAGUAUAGAGCUUUGGCCUUAGCUACAUCUGAGGUUUUGUGGAUUACAUAUCUGUUGAAAGAGCUCAAAGUAUCACUUCCCAAACCUCUUGUUCUUUACUGUGACAACAACAGUGCAGAAGCUUUGGCUAGCAAUCCUAAGUAUCAUUCCAGAACUAAACAUAUAGAACUGGAUUUACAUUUUGUCAGAGAACACAUUGCCAACAAGGAUCUCUUCAUUGAACAUGUGUCUAGUUCUGAUAAGUUAGCUGAUGUGCUUACCAAACCUCUGAGUUUUGAUAAUUUUGCCUAUAUGCGAACUAAGCUCAAUGUCUGCCCACGACCUUGAGCUUACGGGGGCAUGUUAAGAAUAACAUAUGCUGAGUCAGCUGCUGAGUCAUCAAGCCACGCUGGAAGUCAGUUUUGCAGUUAGUUAGAGAGCUUAUCAGCUUCUCUCCAAAAGUUUGUUAUGUGUAUUAGAAUCUGUGCUCAUGAGUUUUGUGAGUUUGUAACCUUGAAAAGAUUCUCACACUACUAUAAAUUGUAUUGUGACUCAAUUAAUAAAAGUUGUUGAAGCGUUGCAUUUUCUCUCAGUCAAAAUUUUCUCUCUGUUUUUCUAAGUAACCAAACAAAAUCUACAGAGCAUUUUGUAUUUUAACUAUAUCUACACACUUAUAACACAAGUUUGUCACCACUAAAAUAUAAACAUGUUCUGUAAAUGCCUCUAAGAUAUCUGAGAAUUCAUUUCACUACUGUCCAGUGCUCUUUGUCCAGAUUGGAGAGAAACCGACUGACUACACUAACUGCGUAAACAAUACCUGGUCUUGUACAAAUCACGGCGUACACCAAACUGCCAACUGCUGAAGCAUAAGGAACUCCUCUCACGGAGAAAUGGGUUUUGCUCUUGAGAUCUUUGGGAACAUGAAGAAUAAAGAUGUAAUUUCUUGGACUGACAUUGUUUCGGGGUAUAUAAAUAGAGGACAAGUGGAUAUAGCUCGACAGUAUUUUGCUCAGAUACCAGAACGAGAUUAUGUCUUAUAGACUGCCAUGAUUGAUGGGUACCUUCGAGUGAAUAGGUUCAGAGAGGCUUUGACACUUUUCCGGGAGAUGCAAACUUCAAAUAUAAGGCCAGACGAGUUUACCAUUGUUAGGAUUCUUACAGUUUGUGCGAAUCUGGGGGCACUAGAACCGGGAGAAUGGAUAAAGACUUACAUUGACAAAAACAAGGUCAAGAAUGAUAUAUUUGUGGGGAAUGCUUUGAUAGACAUGUACUGUAAAUGCGGAGAUGUUGAGAAAGCUCAAAGGGUACUCAGGAAGAUGCUUCGAAAGGACAAAUUCACAUGGACGGCCAUGAUUGUUGGCCUUGCCAUCAGUGACCCAUUUCCUACGAUCAGACCGGAUAAGGUAACUUAUGUUGGUGUUCUGUCUGCCUGUACUCACAAUGGUAACGAAACUUUUGUGAUAAAUAGUUGCGACUUAAGGUGAGAAUUGGAGGAAACGAAAUAGACUGAAGUUGUUCAAUCAUCGGUGGUUGCUAUUUGAUUUUAAGUUGUUCAAUCAUCGGUCAUCUCUAUUUGGUUUUCUCCAAUAUCUCAUCUCCAGUUUUGACUCAGAUUCUGUCUUACCACUAGUAAUUAAAAGUGAGGAGGCAGCAGUCAAUGCUAUUUCGGCUUGGCCCAAAAUUUCACCAGUUUGUUAGUGUUCUGCAGCUCUUGCUGCUUUCCUAGAGAUUCUGCAUCUUUUGCAAUUUGAUUGAUUAAAAAAAAAAAAAUUAGUGGCCAUUUAGAAUGAAGGAGAGAUUUGUGUGAAUGGUAUAGGUGAAAAAUUGGAUGAAAAUAAACAGGCAACCGUCCGUAUAAAACAACAAUAACAAUAUACAAAAAGAUAAGUAGACACUUCUGUAAUUCACGAAAGGAAAUUUAUGGUUGUUUCUGAAAAACAUACAUAUUAAUUUCACUUAUACUCUAAGGUGGGAUAGAUGUCAACUAGCUAUGCUAAUGAUACCUUGCCAUCAUGACUGGACUUGUGAGGAAUUUGGAAACAUGUAUGAUGAUUGUUACUUACACAAUUGUAGAAAGAAAUGCUGAGGUGGCUUGAACCAGAUGGUGAAAUCGUCUAACACACUUAAUUGUUAGAUGUGUUUUGGAUAUUCACAGUUAGGUUGAAAUUUGUAGUUUUCACUUGAAAGAAUUCAGUUAAAAAUUGAUUGGUAGAAUUGUAAAAUAGUCUAAAUUUUUAGUUCAAACCCAUUGCAUAUUUAAGAACAUCUUAAAUGAAUUGCUUAUUGCUAUCAUCAUCAUUAUUGUCCAUAUAAUAAUAAUAAUAAUAAUAAUAAUAAUAAUAAUAAUAAUAAUAAUCAAUAGAAAUGUUAUCUUAUCCACUAUUUUAUAUAUGUUUCCACUAAAAUCUAUUUAAUUAUUCUUUAUUUUUUUUCAACUGUUGCAUGUUAGAUUUAUUCGAUUUCCUAAGUUAUAUCAAUAGAAAUGUUAUCUUAUCCAUAAAAAGUUAGAUCUAACAAUUAUGAAAAUUACUAUAGUGCUGCUUUGAAUAAUUUUUUAAAAAUACCACAAGUAAAUAAUAAUUAGUUUAAAUAGUGGAGACUAAAAAGCAUUCACCCUUAUUUUUUAUCUGUUAUUAGUUUUUUUUAAUCUGUUAUACAUUUGAAACAUUCCAUUAAUUGCCAAUUAUGUAAGCGAGAUAGUAAUUAAUUUUUUUUAUUUAAAAAAAGUGAAAAUUAAUCCUAUGCAAUGUGAAUAAAUUUCUUUCCUUUUUCCUUCACUCUUUUUAUUUGAUAAUUAAGUUUCAAUCUAUGUACGCAAAAUUUCUGCAACAGCUGCAAAACAUAAAAAUAUAUGAUUGUUAAGGGAAACACGCAGAAGUUCAUCACUUCAAUGUUCAGUAUUUCCAAUUUUGGCAUUAAGCUCUUACGAAUAUAUUCCACUUAGAAAGCAAAAUAUUAGAAUUGUGAUUUUAAUUCAUUCAUCAUAUCUCAUUUCAAUCCCAAAAUAUUCAAGUGGAUCCAAGUUACCAUAAGGCUUCAGAGGCUCGAGCCUUAGCCAGAGAUGGUUAAUUGAUAGACUAGGUAAGAGAAACCAAGGUUGAAGUAUGUAGAAAUGUUAUUUCAUUUAUUUUUAUUUAUGAUUUUUUGUAAAAUGUAAGAAAUAUGUAGAAAUGUUGCCAGCAAUGAUUUUGGAACUUUGCAUAAAAUUUUUAUCAUUAUUGUUUUUGGUAUUAAGAAAUCCGAGGCGGUGAUUAGACGUAUGUUGCAACAAUUAAGAAAUUUCUUAUUGGAGAUAAUUUGGUAGGUUGCAACAAUUAGAGAAUCAUUUUCCUGUCAGUUAAUCAAUCAAUAAUAAAUUUCAAAUUGCAGAAAAUAAAAUAAUACUGUCGCACUUAGAAUCAUCUUUUCUAUCUCUUUCAAUUGUGACAAUCAUUUGUAACAAAUAAAUCAAUUUGAUGCACAUCAUUUCCCCAAUUCAAAGUUCAAGUCACUGCUCAAUUGCAGAGUAGUUAGUAGACAUGCAUGCAUGUUUAAUUAAGUACUGCAUUGUAGUAUCGAAAAUCAUAACAUCUCACCAAGCCCGGAAGCAUAGCUCUUUAUCUUGUAAAUGUUGAAAUCUUAUGCAAACUAUGGGAACCAUGAGCUCACUCUCAGUGUCACUUGAUUCCAUUUUCUGUUCUUGCCUUGAUUUCGAUGUUGGGAAUGUGACGUCUGAGUCUAAGGUUGAAGAUAAUCUCGAUGCCUUGCGGACUGCAAUGGAAAUAAAAUAUUUGUGUGUUGAGAAAUGAUGAAAUGAUGCAAUGGAAAUAAAAUCUCAAUCUCUUGAGAAAUGAUGUGAUAAGAAGAGUUACUGUUGCUGAAGGACAACAUCAAAUGCAACGAAUGGAUCGAGUGCAGGGCUGGCUUUCAAGGGUAAAAUCUGUGGAAAAUAAAGCUGAUGAUUUGAUGAGACACAGCUCUCAAGAGAUUGAGAAGUUAUGCCUUGGAGGCUUCUGUUCCAGGAACUGCAAAUGAAGCUACAGCCGUGGGAUAGAAUUUGCAACAAUGCUACGAUUGUGGAGAGUUUAAUGGGUGAAGGAUCAUUUGAAUAGGUGGCUGAGAGGGUGCCAGAAGAUGCAGCAGAGGAGAUAAAUUGUGAGCCAACAAUAGUGGGCAUGUUGUCGACUUUUGAGAAAGCCUGGAGAUGCCUUGAAGAAGAAUCAGUUGGAAUUAUUGGCCUAUAUGUCAAUGGGGGAGUUGGAAAAUAUUUACUCAAAUCAACAACAAGUUCCUUGAUAGUCCAAAUAAUUUUGAUGUUGCGAUCUGGGUAAUGGUCUGCCAAGAUUUGCAACCCCAGAAGUUUCGGGAAAAGAUUGGGAAAAAGAAAGUCUUGUUCGAUGAGUACCGGAUUGAACUAUAUUAGAUUAUAUUUAAAUAAUAUUAAAUAGUAUUUAAGUUGGUAUUCUAAUAUAAAUAUCAAUUAUCCAUGAAAUUUUAUAAUCAUAAUUAAAAUAAAUUUAAAAAGCAAUUACUAGGAAAAUUAAAUAUAUUGCAAAAAGUUAUUGGGUAGUCAUAAUAUAAUAGGCAAAUAAAAUUAAAUAAAACAAAUUACAUAUUUAAUUAUAUUUAUCAAAUAUUUAAAAAUAUUAUAUAAAAUAUUAUAUAAAAUCAAUUAAUUAAUGAUAUUAUUAAUUUUCAUGAUUAUUUUUAAUAUUAUAUUACUGAUUAUUAAAUUUAAUACAAUCAAAUAAUGCAAUAAAUAAUUAAACAUUCAAUUUUAUUGAUUAAUUAUUAAAUAUACAAGUAAUGAAAAUUUUAUCUCAAGAGUUGGUAGAAGCGAAAGUACUAAUUUAAUUAGAUCAUAGAUAAUAAAUAAAAAUAAAUUUUAAGUAAAUCAUAAUAAAAAAUUAAUUAAUUAAUUCAAUCAAUCAAUAUUAGGUGUAAAUAAAAAAAUGAUAUAAAUAAAAAUCUCAUAAAUGUACAACUUUUAUCUUUAAUCUUAUCCUAAAAGAACAAAAAGCAGAAUAUAUAUUGAAGUGUUUUUCACACCUUUUCAUUAACUGGAAUGCAUGUAUUUAUAUACAUCAUUUGUAACUAAUAAAGAGAAAAUAAAGGAAACUAUACAUGAGAGUAUCAAGGAGAAUAAUGGAAGAGAUUGUUGUCCGUAACUUGUGGAGAGUAUCAUGGAGCUUGAGAUUAUCUGAUAUGCCCCCGCAAGAGGGUGUUGCCAUUGGCGACACCCAUCUUGAACCUUAAUUCAGAAAAUGGUCGCUUAGAGAGGGGCUUGGUUAGGCUAUCAGCAAGUUGAUCUGCUGUAGAUACAUAAGAUACGCGCAAUAGCCCUUUGUUGACCCAAUCACGAACAAAAUGAUAAGCAAGAUCAAUGUGUUUUACCCUUGAAUGAAAGACUGGAUUGCGACACAAAUAGGUAGUUCCAAUAUUAUCACAAUAGAUGGUAGGAGUUUGACUCAAUUGAAGGCCAAGUUCUUGAAGUAGAUUCUGAACCCAUCGAACUUCAGAGGCUGCAUUUGCGACAGCCAAGUACUCAGCUUCUGUUGUGGAACGAGCUAUUGAUUUUUGUUUGUUCGAGCGCCAUGAGAUAGGAUUGCCGCCUAGAUAAAGCAUAUAGGCUGAUGUAGAAGUAAUGAAAAUUUAAUCUCAAGAGUUGGUAGAAGCGAAAGUACUAAUUUAAUUAGAUCAUAGAUAAUAAAUAAAAAUAAAUUUUAAGUAAAUCAUAAUAAAAAAAUUAAUUAAUUGAUUCAUCAAUCAAUAUUAGGUGUAAAUAAAAAAAAUGAUACAAAUAAAAAUCUCAUAAAUGGACAACUUUUAUUUUUAAUCUUAUCCCAACUAAACACAUGUGUAAAUUAGGAUUAUUAAUUCCAUAAUUUUCGGAUUAAAUUCAAAUUUAUUCCCCCUUAAUCCAAUUCAACUAAACUUGUCAAACAUGGGAUAAAAAUUUAAUUAUAAAAUUAGUCCAAUUCCAUACUUAAUCCUAGCAUCCAAAUAUAGCUCAAGUUCUUUGCUUAAAGAAGCUACCAAAUUUGAAGAGCGUUUACGGGAAGGCCUUGCGUUUCCCAGAUGUAUGCAGAAUUUUUGUAUCUAAAUGCCCAGAACUUAAGAAGCUGACGCUGGAUUUUGAAAGGGCGGGCCAAGGUAAAAUUCUUAUCAAAUGAAAGGAAAAUCGAUGGAAACAACUUCAAUGGGAGGAUCAAGCAACUCAGGAUGCAUUGCUUCUGUUUUUCAAAUCAACUGACAAGUGAUUGAAGGGGGCAUCAUCAGCCUGGAUGGGGAGAUCCUGGAGCAGAUCAGCAGGGUUUGAAUCUGCAUCAUCAACAUCAUCAGGAUCUCUAUUUCUAUUGCUGGUCGUAAUGCCUGCCGACUGUUGCUUGAAAAAGUGAUUAAGUGAGCCAGUUUUUUGUUUAUUAAAUUUUGUUUUGUAGAGACAGUCACAAAGUAUUUUUCUUAGUUGUUCUAUAUGAGAGUGAUGUGAACCAAUUUUUCAAUUAUAUAUUCUGUGGGAAAUUGCAAGUAUUUUUAAAAUAUGAUCGUUAUUAAAGGAAACAAAGGAAUCAACACAGCAUACUGAACCUCAGCAGUAUGAAGCUAAUGAUUAAACUCCUCACACAAUUCAUAACAUGCAAAACCAUUCACAAAAUCAUCCACAGCAACCAUAAUUGGCGUCCAAUAGAAAUUUACAAGAAUUACUUUUCUGUUCAUGCAAUCGGCGUCUGAACGCGGCUGAUCGGUCACCGGUGUUGGCGUUUACUGUGAUUAGACAAAUUGUAGCACUUCAAAAAUAACUUCUAUAGGGGUAAUUUCGAUUUCACAUAAUUAAUUUUAUUUACAAUAUUUUAUUCCUGCAAGGUCAACUGAGAUUCUUUCCACCGGGCACACCCUUCAUGUUCUUUUAUUUUCUGUCUUUUAUUAGCCGUUGGAUUUUACUACUCUUAUAUCCAACGGCUUGCCACAACAAGACAAAUGAGGUGGUACCUUUCAACCGCUGAAAGGUAGUUUUGGCCCCAAGUGAAAGAGGGAAAUAGGGAAUUGAUGCUAUAUUUUAUAUUUUCUAUUUUACUACUCUUGUAUCCACCGGCCUUUCUUAUAUUUUAUUGCAAAUUGAUGCUAACAAGAAAAAGCUAGAUCAUAUUCCACAGAAAAGUGAGAAAACAACCAGAUGGAUUCUUUUAUUAAACUACAAAUUAAAAUGGUAUCACAAAUUCUCAUCAAUUUAUUUAAAUAUAUUCUUUUAACCCUCUUUUUAAUUUCACAAAUUCUCAUCAAUUUAUUUAAAUAUAUUCUUUUAACCGGAAACAAUUGAUAUCACUUAUUAAGAAUAACAAAAUUUACUAUUUAAAAAUGAAGAUCAAUAAAUUUUUAUCAAUCAUGAAAGUUAAUGAGUGUCAAGAAAUUAAUUUUUGCUAAACAUACAAGCUAAUAACUAUUAAAAAAAUCUUAUAUUAUAGAGAUCAUAUAUAUUAAGAAAGACCAAAAAAAAAAUUAAAAAAAUAGUUAAAUUCAGUGUAUAGUUUAUAGGAUGUGAGAGUGGUAAAAGAAUAUAUAAUUGUAAAAUAGAGAAAAAGAAAAAGAGAUUAGUAGAGAAUAAUUUUGAGAUUUUUUAAUUUUUAAUUUUUAAUAAUAAAUUUAUUUUAAAAAAUAGGUGUGGAGAAAAAUUUGAUGGGUUCAAGCAAUUCCACCUAAUUUUAUAUUAUCAAUACGCAAAUGAAAGUACAAAAAUACCUCUAAUAGAGUGAAAUAAAGAGUUCUCUAAUCUCUAGGGUUUCUCAUUCCAAUUUUGAAAUUUCCCUACUUUAUUUUGAAUUAACCCUCUUUGUUACCAUUGAAUUGUAACAUUCAAAAUUUGAAUAUGUUUUUACAAAUAGAAGAUUAUUGGGACAAAAACAAUAAGAAAUAGAAAACCUAGUUGAAAAAGGAUAUUACAAAAAAAGAAAUUGCCAUUACCAUUCAAACAUUUACACAGUAAAGGCAUUAACAGCAUAAGGCGGCAAUAAAACUUACUCAUAAUUAGGGGUGGCAAAAAAGUCCGAGCCGGCUUAGGCCCGGCCAAGCCCAGUCUAGAUCCGUGGACUUAAAGUCCGACCCGUAAGGAUGUGGGCUUAGAUAUAGACCUAAAAAUUACAAAACCCACAUAUAUUAGACCUAAACAAGAACUUAGCAAAAAAACCCAAACUUUCUAAAUUUAUGAAUAAAAAAUAAAUUUAAUUUAAAUAAAAAAAAUUAAAAUAUUAAAUUAAUUGAAUUUUUUAUAUUAAUAUUUAUUAUUUUAUUAAAUUAUAUUGUUAAUAUUUAAUGUAUUUGACUAUUAUUCUAUUUAUAUAUUAUAUUAUUAUUUUUAAUUUAAAUAUUUUUCUUAAUUUAAAAAAUUUUUAUAAUUAAUUUAAAAAGUUCAGGCCCAGCCCGAGUUCGGUCCAUCCAAAUUUAACGGAUUUUUGAAGAACCUGAACUUCGUUUGAAUGAUAUGGGUCCGGCCCAAGCCCGCAAAUUGCCAUCCCGUGAUAAUAACAAACAGAUAUGGCCCAGCCCGAGUUCGGUCCAUCCAAAUUUAACGGAUUUUUGAAGAACCUGAACUUCGUUUGAAUGAUAUGGGUCCGGCCCAAGCCCGCAAAUUGCCAUCCCGUGAUAAUAACAAACAGAUAUAGAUAGAUCGAUGGAUGGCAUUUUUUAAAUGUACCUUAAAAACCAAAACAAAAGCAAAAAUAUUAAAAUAUUACACCAACUGCUAACUAAUUAAUCUAAUAAAACGCCUCGCUUAAUCAUUUCCAGUCCACUAAACACGCUGAACGGAUUCCAGCCUCUGAAGUCUCAUCUCAUUGUUAAAUUCAUUGAUGAAAGCUUCAACUCGCCGAUUCAACUCAUCUUGACUCAUCGAUUCCUCCCUCCUCAGCGACGUUCUGUCACUGAACGUCUCAGAUUUCCUCAGCUCACGUUUCGCCCAAGCCGUCGGAUCAUUCUCAUCAUUAUCACUACCACAGGCGAUGGUGAUGAUGUGGAAGGUGGAAGAAGCGGCGAUGGUGAUGAUGAUGAUGAUGAUGAUGAUGAUGAUGAAGUUGACUAUGAUGUAAUUGUACGGCGGCGACAGCCAGAACCUCAAAGAAAUGAAGAGGCUAGGGAUUGUCGAUACCGUGAAACAAAUGUACGGGAUUAUUGCUACCUUAAACAGCAUGAAAGUUGAAACAAACCCGGCUGACAAAAAUAACAACUUUGCUACCCGCGUUACUGUCUCUAAUCUGCUUGAUUUUGGGUCGAAAUUUUGAAAAAGAUCCCCCAUUUUUCAAUUUUCACACACAAUAAAGAAGGAAAAAGAAAGGUAGCUAGAUUUUUUUUUUGUUUUUCAACAAGGGAAGAAAUAAGAAAAGAACAUUAAAAGGAUUUUUCAGGCUUUGAUGGUCAUUAAAAUGAGACCCAGGAAACCAUUGAAGCUAAAAAAAAAACGAGAAGCCAUGUAUUUAUAUAUGCUGCUUUGCUUUACAAAAUCUGACUGGCAUCAGGGUGAAAAAAAAGUGCCAUUUGUUGGUACAGAGAGACAGAGGAGAGUAGAGAGGCAGAUGCAGGGGCAGGGGCGAAGUCAAGGGACCAUUGAAUGGGCAAGCGAGGUUUCAAUUUAUGUAACGAGGGACGAUUAAAGUUCUUGCAACUUUCCUGCCGUCUGAUGAAAUCUUGACCGUUCGAUGGUACAAUAAUGGUUAUAAUGAUCUUGAAAGUGUUGGAGAGAUAAGUUUGUACAGAUUAUGUACGCUAAAUAAAAUCACAUUUAAAAUGGUUUUUGAUUUUAUUCUAUUACAGAUUACUUUUAUUAAAUAAAUGAAGGUACAUUGAGUGAGUGAGUGAGUGACUUCACGAUUUUGCACUAACGCCGCUGUGUUAUCCUCCGCGGCACUUGUCCUCAUCAUUUGUAAUUGAAAAGCUGAUUUAAGAUUUUAGAAUAGUGCCUUUUGGAAAAAAAAUAUAUAUAUAUAUCAACGGCCGAUUGAGAUUUCUUUUUUGAAGAUUUAAAAUUAAUUUUUUAAAAAAUUAAAAAUUAAUUUUAAUAUUUUAUAAGUUUUAAAAAAAUUAUUUUUAAUAAAAUCACUUCAUAGUAGAUUCCGGAAAGUAGAUAUCUAUGCUUUUUAAAUUUUAAUUUUAAGAAUUAAUUUUUUACUUAAUAUAAUCCUUGCAUAUAUUAUAAAAUUUUAAAAUCAUCUUCAUUAAUUACAAAAUAAGAUCAUUAAUUUUAAGGAGAUUAUAAUCAUUAUCAAUUAUAGGGAGAUUAAAUGCUUAAAGUGACAAGUGCAAAACUAUUUAAAAAUAGUCAGUAAAAGUAUAGGUGGGCAAUUAGUUCAAUUCUAUUUGAAUCAACUAAAUUAAAUUAUAUCGUGUUUCAUAAAUUUUUAAAGCAACUGAUUUUUUGUUUGGUUUAGAUAAAAAUUAAACUAAACCGAAAAAUCAAACGGUUCAAAGAAAAAAAAGUUAAAAACAAAUUUUAUAAACUGAUCGGUUUCCGUUAGAUUCAAUUCCAAAUCUAAACAAACCAAUCCAAAGUGAAAAUAAACAUUUUUGUUGAAUGCACUUUUAAUUUGUUUGGAUACGUCUCGACCCUCCAGUCUCUUGAUUAAAGUUCAUUUAUUAGGGUCCGCUUGUAAUACAGCGUCUGUAUCUCAUACAGUCAAAUUUAAUAUUUUAUUAAGAAAAAGGGCAACCGUUAGAUAGAAGUAGAUACAUCCAAUGGUUAAUAUCUGUGAUUACUCAUUUUGGUGACCGGAUAUGCCAAUUAUUAUUUCAUCAAUUAACUUACCUAAAAAAUCAUAGCCGUUGGAUUGAGAUGCCUCUCUCUCCCUCAAAAUAACAGCCUUCGUAUUCUCUCUGCUAUUGUUUUGUCCUACAUCUAGAAUUUUGGAUGAAUGAACUUGGUAUUCAAGAACAUUCACCACCCAUCACAGCAAAGAGCAAAGAUAUAGUCGAAGGAGUGCCAUUUAUUCAGGCUUACUUGAUCUGUCAGUCUCGCUUCAAUUCGUCACUCAUUUUCUUGCGCUCAGCUUCAAUCUAUCACUCUCAGCUUCAGUUCGUCACUCAUAGCUUCAAUUUUUUCACUGUCGUGAAUCAUCUCUCUUGCUGUAUCUCUCUCUUAUGUCUUCCAAUAAUUUCGGUGAGCUCUCUCUCUAAUUUAAUAUAUGAUUAAAAAUCUUAUCAUCUUAUCAUGUCAUUUAAAUAUGCUUGAAGUUUCAAUUUAGUUUAUGAAUAUUACUUGAAAUUUUAGAUUCAAUAAUUUUAGUUUUUUUUUUCUCUAUCAUCAAUCAUAUAUUUUUUCUUGCUCUUUAACUUCUUAUCUUCAACUAAAUGUGACCUUACAUUUAUUUAGUGUAUGAUCAAUUUUUAAAUGCACAAUAAGCAUUGCAAAGUUGGCGUUAUGCAAAGGCUAUCACAAUGUGAGCGUUCAAUUGGACAGAGUGUCAUGAUCAUACAUCCUUGAACCCAAUAUUUAUUCCAAUAACAAAUGUAGAUACGUAAACUACUUUUUUUUUUUAAAUAAAAAUAAAAAACUUCAAUGAAUCAAUCAAUUAUUUUCUGAAAUGUUAUGCGAAUUGUGAUUGUGAGAUUAAAAAAAAAUAUCCAUGCAAAUCAAAUUGUAACCGCCCUCUCAAGAUAAACCAAGUAACACAAAGCAUCAUUAACUCUUUCUUGUUUCAGCCACAGUACUAUUUUUUGCUUGAUGAGAAUAUAUUUAAAUAGUAUUUAAGUUGGUAUUUUAAUAUAAAUAUCAAUUAUCCAUGAAAUUUUAUAAUCAUAAUUAAAAUAAAUUUAAAAAGCAAUUACUAGGAAAAUUAAAUAUAUUGCAAAAAGUCAUUGGGUAGUCAUAAUAUAAUAAGCAAAACAAAUUAAAUAUUUAAUUAUUUUUAUCAAAUAUUUAAAAAUAUUAUAUAAAAUCAAUUAAUUAAUGGUAUUAUUAAUUUUCAUGAUUAUUUUUAAUAUUAUAUUAGUGAUUAUUAAAUUUAAUACAAUCAAAUAAUGGAAUAAAUAAUUAAAUGUUUAAUUUUAUUGAUUAAUUAUUAAAUAUACAAGUAAUGAAAAUUUAAUCUCAAGAGUUGGUAGAAGCGAAAGUACUAAUUUAAUUAGAUUAUAGAUAAUAAAUAUAAAUAAAUUUUAGGUAAAUCAUAAUAAAAAAAUUAAUUAAUUGAUUCAAUCAAUCAAUAUUAGGUGUAAAUAAAAAAAUACAAAUAAAAAUCUCAUAAAUGUACAAUUUUUAUUUUUAAUUUUAUUCAAACUAAAUACAUGUGCAAAUUAAGAUUAUUACAUCCUUGAACCCAAUAUUUAUUCCAAUAACAAAUGUAGAUACGUAAACUACUGGGAAGCAGCACACGUGUCCUGAAGAGAGAAAAAAAUCGAGCAAAUGCAGACAAUGGGAGUUGGCUAAAAGUUGGAUCUGCAAUUUACAAAAUCUGUAACUUAUUAGCCAGCUCCCAAAUUGUGUAGUCUUUUUUCAAAUUGUACAGACAUUUAUAAAUUGGUGGCCCCUUGAAAAUUUAAUGCCAAGCAGAUAAAAGUCAUCAAGCACAGUCCUCAAUAGUUGUUUCGUGUAUAUUUAUAAAUUGGUGGCCCCUACAUCUUUAAUAAUUGGGAUUGAAUUACGGUAUAAUUGUAGAAUCAUGUCUCAAUUACAUUCAAUUGUUAGAUAUAUUUACGUUGGUAAAAUUUACUGAUAUCUAAUAAUUAAACGUAACUAUAACACAAUAUUAUAAUUACACCACAAAUUUUCUCUAAUAAUUAUUCCGAUACUUAUAAAUUGGUGGCCCCUUAGUAAUUUAACAGCAGCCUGCAAGUGUCAACUAAUGAAAAGUCAUCAUUCACAAUCUUCCAAGUGAAACAGGAAAUAUACAAAAAUUAAAACAUGUCAUUCUUUUUUUUUCAUUCCCUGUCAUGUAACUUACACCCAAAUACAUAAAUAAUAUAAAAUGAAUGGAGAGAUGCCAGGAGCAGAUCAGCAGGGUUUGAAUAUGACCUUUGGCGCUUGCUUUUUUUUUUUUUUGUGAUUUUUUUUUCAUUUUUUCCUUCCUGUCAUUUUAUCAUUUCUUUGGCUUUGUCUCUAUUGCGGGUGUUACUGCAUGCUUACUGUUUCUUGACAAAGUUUGCUAGCUUUUCCUUUUGUUUAUUAAAUAUUUUUAUCGUCACAAAGUAUUACUCGUUCUAUUUGACAGUGAUGUAAAUUAAUUUUUCAAUUUUAUAUUUUAUCGUCGAUGUGAAUUCAAUUUCAUUUGUCAUCAUGCACAAUCCUCAAUAAUUGUUUCGAUAUUUAUAAAUUGGUGGCCCCUACGUCCUCAAUAAUUGUUCCGAUACUUAUAAAUUGGUGGCCCCUUAAUAAUUGGUGUUUGAGGAAUUAAAUAGAGCGAUCAUGAUCUUUUCCAAAUGAAAGUGAGCAAAUGGUUGAGCAGGUCACCUUGAUCAGGUGGUAUGAGUUUGAUCAAAUCACCUCGACCAGGUACAAUGAGGUUGAGCAGAUCAUCUUGAUCAGGUGGUGUGAGCUUGAGCAGAUGACCAUGUGGUAUGAGCUUGAGCAAAUCACAUCGACUAGGUGCUAUGAGGUGGAGCAGAUCACCUCGACUAGGUACUAUGAGGUGGAGCAGAUCACCUCGACCAGGUGCUAUGAGCUCGAGCAGAUCACUUCGACCAUGUGCUAUGAGCUUGACCAGAUCACCUCGACCAGGUGGUCUAAACUUGAGCAGAUCACCUCGGCCAAGUGAUGACUAGGAAUAAAGACUCAGUUAAAAUAAACCACCACAAAGCUCCUCCGAAAAAUCAGGGCACGAAUCUGAUUAAUCAAUGGUUAUUGUCACGAUCUAAGGUCGUGGGUGUGGGGUGUUUUAUAAAAAUCCCGAGAAAAUCACACCAAGGGAAGGCUCUUUUUCUCUGGAUCUGACGGAGAAAUCCUUUCUGGAUACUCUAUUUUACUUUUCUGCAAAUUAUUCAAAAAGCUUUUGGUUUUAAAAUAAUGUUUAUUUAGCCAUAUGAAAAAUGACAUAUUUGGUUUUUCCUGUAAACCCCAUAACUGACUUGAGCGUUGGAGGGUUUACGCCAGAAAAACUUCCGGCACCUCUGACCAUUCUCUGUAAUUUCAGGUACUUAUUGAUCGUCAGCUUGAAGAUUAUAUGCUCAUGAAUGUUCUGCUCAUAGUCAGAGAAUAUUCUGACUAUAUUAGCCAUGACAUUUUAGUAAUUUCAGGUACUAAAAAAAAAUUAAAAUUGUUGGCGUGAAAAGCACAAAUCCUAUUUUUUGACAAUUUUAUCUUUGUCAAUUUCAAAGAUUUACAAUAUCAUAGGUAAAGAUUAUAACUAUUUCAUCUUCAAGUUUUUAAUUUUAUAUUUUUUGUAGGAACUUUAAGAAAAUAUCAAUAAUUUAAAGAGAAUUUUUGAAAUUUUUAAUUUUAUCUUUCUUGUAGGAAUUUUAAGAAAAUAUCAAUAAUUUAAAGAAGGUAAAAUAACCAAUAAUUUUAUUUUUUUUUUAGUUAUUUCCGUUUAAAAACUGUUCUUUUAUUAGCCGUUGGAUUUUACUACUCUUAUAUCCAACGGCUUGCCACAACAAGACAAAUGAGGUGGCACCUUCCAACAGCUGAAAGGUCGUUUUGGCCCCAAGUGAAACAGGGGAUGCACUUACUAUUAAGGACAGUUGGUGGCCAGCUAAUGCACUCAUUUUAUGUCCUUUUAUCUUUUUGAAUUCCUGAAGACAAGUGCAUUCAUUUUGUGUCCUUUCAUCUUUUUGAAUUACUGAAGACAAGUGGCCAGCUAAUGCAUUCAUUUUUUGUCCUUUCGUCUUUUUGAAUUAUUGAAGACAAGUGGCUCAUCGCUUUUACUGUAGGUAAGAUCUUGAUAAUCUCGAUUAUCAAAAUAAUAAUAUUCAAAAUAUUUCUUAAUUUUAUUUAAAAGAUAAAAGAAAAAUAAGUUAUGCUGGUAAAUUUUUUUAUUUUUUUAAUAAAAAUAAAAUAAAUUGAUGUUUAUAAUUGUUUCAAAUACUUUAAAGAUUGUAAUUUUAUGAGAGAGUAAUAUUUCACAUUUUUAAUGUGAAAAGUUGAAAAGGGACAAAGCAAGUUUCUCUGUUUUUCUUUUUCUUUUUUUAAAUUUGGUCAUCUCAAAUACUUCACCCUUCAACACUACAAUAUUUUGGUUAUAUAUAUAUAUAUAUAUAUAUAUAUAUAUAUUUUACACAUGCAUAUGAAUUACUUUUCUUUUAAGCUCCUGAAUAUUUAAGACAAAUCAUGAAAGAGAUGAGAAUAUAAUAAGAUGAUCAAAAUAUGUAACAAAAUUUUUUUAGAAGUGAAACAUCGUUAGAGUUGAAGUAAAACUCUGAAAAUAGAGAUACUGAUUAAUUUAGAAGAGAUGCAAGCAAAAGAUAUGCCAAAAAAAAAAAAAAGCAAUAUGUCACUUUGGAGGGCAAACUUGUCAGUUUCACAAAAAUACAUGCUUUGUAUUGAUAGUUGUCACUAUGUAUUAGGGUGCGUUUGAAAUUAUAGUGCUGUACCUUUUAAACUACAGUUGUUGUAGAAAAAAAUAAAAAAUAAAAACUACACCUAAGAUUAAGGAAAAGUACUUCAAAACUCUCUUUUGAUCAUAAAACCUUUUGUCUUAAUUAACUUAAAGAUUUUGAAUCUAAUAUUUUAUAACAAAUAAAAAUAUAUUACCAAAAUAAAUAUAAUAAUAUCUAUUUUAAAAUAAUAUCAAUAUUUAAAAUAUGUUUUAAUAUUUGACGAUCUAUUAGACACAUUUUAUUAUGUUAAAGUAAAUUUUAUAAUAAAUACAAACAUACUAAUAAAAUGAAUAUAUACAACAUUUAGAGUAUUUUGAAUAUUAUAUAAAAUAAAUUUAAUACAAUGCAUGAGAUAUAUUUUAUUAAUUUAAAAUGCUAUUUAACCUAAAGAUUUAUUUAUGAAAAAUUAAUGAUUAUAUUUUUGAAAUUAUUUAAAAUAUUAAAAAAAUUAAUAUUAUUAAUCUAUCAGGUAGAUUAAAUUAUUUAUAUUAUUUUGCAUUUAUUAAAAAAUUUUAAAAUCAAUCUUUUUAAUUACUAUUCUAAGGAUAUAAUAAUAGAGGCAACUCCGUUGCGUCAUGGUUUUGGUACCCCGUCGUUUGUCUUUUAGCACAGUCAUCGUUGGAUUUUAUCUCACGGCUGCAGAAGAGACACAGAGACGCUAGGGAGCAACCUGACAAAAAGGUCAUGGGCCGGUAAGCUGCAGGGAAAAUAUUUAAAAUACAAAAUCUUCCCUUAAAUUUUUUUUAAUAUUUAACAUGUUAUAGUUUCUAAUCUCAUGAAUAGUAGAGGAUAAAGUUUUAUCUUAAAAAAAGUAAUCCCAAGGGUCUCCUUGGGAUGAAAUUUUGCCUCUAUUAGAAUUAAGUGGUGGGCUCAUUAUUGUUACUUUUAUUUUUUUUAUACCAAACAUGAUAUAGGAUUAUUUUAUACUAAAAUUAUCCAAUCCUAUGAUAUAUAACUAAAACUAAACAGGCACUUAGGGUAUAUAUGAGCCACGGUGGAGAAGCUUUAUUUAAUAUUAUUGAUUUAAAUAAUAUCUCAUUAAAAAUGUACUGAGAAGAAAUUUCGGUGGGUAUUUUAGUCAAUCACAUGAUCAGCCUUUGGACUUGAAACGUCGGUCAGAAUGAUUUAUUCUAACAAGAAAAAACUAGGUAAUAUUCCACAAAAGUAAAAGUGACAAAACAACCAGCUGGAUUCUUUUAGGAAAUUACAAAGAGUAAUGAUACAGUCAUAAAUUUUUAUAUAAAUUUAUUUUAUAUAAAUUGAUGUGGUAUUAAUUCAUUAGUUGAAUGAAAAUAUAAAUUAAUAAAAAUAAAUUAUAUGGACCAAGUAAUAUUUAAUUCAAUCAAUCUUAUUAUGUCACAUCAAUUUAUAUAAAAUAAAUUUAUAUUUGUAUUAUUACUCAACUAUAAAUUAAAAUAAAUUUUUUCGAUAAACUACAAAUUAAAGUGGAUUCUUUUGAAUGCAAGUGGGACAGACGAUAAGGCUAAAAAUUAGUCAAGAAUCGAAUAGUCUUUUUCAAAUUCUUGUUUUAUUAUUUUUCAAAACCAGUUUUUGGUAAUUACAAUCGGGUCAUUAAUCAUUAUUCAGAGUUAUUGUUUCCUUCAGAAGUUAGUGGCUCAUGUUUGCAAGUGUGAAUAUGCGAUGCUCUUUUUCGAAAGCGCAAUGACAGUGGGUCCCGAAUCGGACGUCCCUAAAUCUUUUUAAAAUUUUUGCCGUAUAACGAACAGAGGUCAUUACUAAAAUUUCUCUUCCACAGCCUACAGCAGCUUCAGUUUAUCAAACUCAAUCAAUUUUCUUUCUUAACAAAAUUCCAAAGAUGUGUAGCAUUUUUCAGAUCACAUGCGAUGGUGCUCUUUUCAAUCGUUGCUUGGAUUGCUUUCUUGGAAAAGCAGCAUACAUACGUAACCUCCAAGAUAAUCUUGUAGCCUUGGAGACUGAACUGGGAAGACUAAUCGCAGCAAAGAACGAUGUGAUGAUGAGGGUUGUCAAUGCUGAACGGCAACAAAUGAGAAGGCUGGACGGAGUGCAAGUGUGGGUUUCGAGGGUGGACGCUGUUAAAACUGGAGCCGAUGAACUUAUCACAGACGGCUCUGAAGAAAUUGGCAAAUUAUGUGUUGGAGGCUACUGUUCCAAGAACUGCAGGUCAAGCUACAAAUUCGGAAAACAAGUGGGUAAAAAGCUACAAGAUGUGAAGACUUUAAUCGCCGAGGGAGUUUUUGAGGCGGUGGCCACUGAGGUGGUGCCCGAGAGAGCUCCGGAACCUGUAGCAGAUAAAAGACCCACUGAGCCAACAAUAGUAGGCCUGCAAUCACAGCUUGAACCAGUUUGGAGAUGUCUUGUAGAAGAAUCAGUGGGAAUCAUUGGCCUAUAUGGUAUGGGCGGUUUUGGUAAAACCACACUAUUGACCCAUAUCAACAAUAAAUUUCUUGAGAGUCCCACAAACUUUGAUUGUGUGAUUUGGGUCGUAGUUUCAAAAGACCUGCGACUUGAAAAAAUUCAAGAAGAUAUUGGGAAGAAGAUAGGUCUAUCUGAUGAUUCAUGGAAGAAUAAAAGUUUUGAAGAGAAAGCUGUGGACAUCCUGCUGAGAUUAGGAGAGAAGAGAUUUGUAUUGUUGUUAGAUGAUUUAUGGGAGCGGGUUGAUUUAACAAAAGUGGGCGUUCCACUUCCCAGCGCACAAAAUACUACCUCAAAAGUCGUAUUCACAACCCGUUCCAUUGGUGUUUGUGGCAGCAUGAGAGCUAGGCCGGUUAAAGUGGCAUGCCUAUCAGAAAAGCAAGCUUGGGAACUGUUCCGCGAAAAUGUUGGGGAAGAAACUCUUGAGAGUGAUCAUGAGAUCGUUGAGCUAGCCCAAACUGUGGCCAAAGAGUGUGGUGGUUUGCCACUCGCACUUAUUACUAUUGGUCGAGCUAUGGCCUACAGAAAGAAAGCGGAGCAGUGGAGACGUGCAAUUGAAGAGUUAAGAAGAUCAGCUUCAGAGUUUGCAGGUUUGGGAAAAGAGGUGUAUCCUCUUUUAAAGUUUAGCUAUGAUAGUUUGCAGAAUGAGACAAUUAGAUCUUGUUUCUUGUAUUGUUGUUUAUAUCCUGAAGAUUAUGGCAUUCUUAAAUGGGACUUGAUUGAUUGUUGGAUUGGUGAGGGAUUUUUUGGGGAAUCUGACAGGUUUGGUGCAGAAAACCAAGGAUAUGACAUUUUGGACACUCUUGUUCGUGCAUGUUUAUUAGAAGAGGUGGAAGAUGAUGAAGUAAAAAUGCAUGACGUUGUUCGUGAUAUGGCUAUAUGGAUAACUUGUGAAAUUGAGAAGGAGAAGAGAAACUUUUUGGUUUGUGCAGGUGCGGGACUAAAGGAGGCACCGGAGGUUAAAAGAUGGGAAAAUGUGAGAAGAUUGUCACUGAUGCAAAACCAAAUUAAAACUCUGUCAGAGGUUCCCACAUGCCCUCAUCUCCAUACUUUAUUUCUUGACUUCAAUGACAAUUUGAAUAUGAUCGCGGAUGGCUUCUUCCAACUUAUGCCUUCUCUCAAAGUUUUGAAGAUGUCAAACUGCGUGAAUUUAACUUUGAAAUUACCUUUGGGGAUGUCAAAGUUAGGUUCACUAGAACUUCUUGAUGUUUCGAAUACCGGCAUAAGAGAGUUACCAGAAGAGUUAAAGUUGUUGGUAAAUCUGAAAUGUUUGACUUUGAGGUGGACAUUUGAGUUAAAUAAAAUUCCACGGCAACUAAUAUCAAAUUCUUCAAGGUUACGUGUGUUGAGAAUGUUGGGUACUGGCCUUUUGAAUUUUCAUGAAGCGUCAGAAGAAAGCGUUUUAUUUGGUGGGGGUGAAGUUUUGAUACAGGAAUUGCUCGGUUUGAAAUAUUUAGAGGUAUUGGAGUUGACCUUGCGAAGUUAUCAUGCUCUCCAAAUUCUUUUGAGCUCAAAUAAGUUAAAAAGUUGUAUUCGAUCUCUUUUCCUCCAGUUGGCCGGAGAUGCAACGUCGAUUGUUGAUGCUACGGCUUUCGCAGAUCUAAACCACCUCAAUGAAUUAUAUAUUAAUAAAGGUUUUGAGUUGGAAGAAUUGAAGAUUGAUUAUACGGAGAUAGUACGAAAAAGGCGGGAACCUUUUGUUUUCCGCAGCCUUCACCAUGUUACUAUAUGGCGGUGCGCUAAAUUGAAAGAUUCGACAUUCCUCGUUUUUGCUCCAAACCUCAAGUCUCUUGUGCUAGGUAAUUGCCAUGCUAUGGAAGAAAUAAUCAGCGUUGGAAAAUUUUCCGAGGUUCCUGAGAUCAUGGGACAUAUGAGCCCUUUUGAAAAUCUCCAAAGGCUUCAUGUAGAAGAUUUGCCAGAUUUGAAGAGCAUCCACUGGAAGCCAUUGCCUUUCACUCAUCUGAAAGAAAUGGGGGUAAGAGCAUGUGAUCAGCUUGAAAAGCUUCCACUCGAUUCCAGCAGUGCAAAAGAGCGUAAAUUUGUUAUUCGUGGAGAAGAAGACUGGUGGAACCGACUUCAAUGGGAGGAUGAAGCCACUCAAAUUGCUUUUCGUUCCUGUUUCCAACCUUAUUCCUGAGCCGUGGUCGCAAAAUUUGAUUUCUGGUGAGUGCGUUUUUGUUAACGCUUAUGUUUUAUUCCAGUGUAUUUUUCUUCUGUCUUCUGCAAAUCACAAUUAAAUGUGUGAUACAUGUUACGGGUAAUAUACAUGCAGUAUUUUUGGUACACUGCAAAUCACAAUUAAAUGUGUGAUACAUGUUUACGGGAAAUUUAUAGACAUGCAGUAUUUUUGGUGGGGUCGAAUUGAUGCUCUGGUUUUUUUUUGUUGUCAAAAUUUUCUCUGUUUUUUCAAAUUGAUGCUUUAUUUAUAUCUUCUUCGUGAAAAGUGAUUUAAUUUCCUGCCAAAAGACGAACGAGAAGAACAUUAGAGUCAAACUAAUGCUCACAUAAAUUUCCCGUAAGAAUAUAUAUAUAAUUAGACUGGAAUAGUAGCCCUCUUUACAGAAAAUGACGCGAAAGUUAAUUUAGAAAGAUAUAUUCUUGAUUAAUCCAUUUUCUGAAGCUUUUAUUUUGUAUGGUCAAUUAUACCUUCAUACUAAAAAUUUCUGAAUUUAUAAAUUAGUGCAACUUGACAAUUUUUACUGAUGAUAUCUUCUAUUUUUCCUUUCUUUCUUUUUUUUUUUUACUCUCAUUGAAUGUUACUGUCAUUUUACUUACAAAUAGGUUUGAAUUUUAUUUAGUUUUCUCAUAGUAUUUGUGCAAGUACUAGAAGGUCAAACCCCGCAUACUUUGAUUGCCAAACCACCGUCCAAUUUAAAAAAAGAAAAAAAGAAAAAAAAUGUGUAAUCCAUGAAUCUGGUUAAUUUUGUUUGUUUGUUUUUUUUUUUUUAAAUAUCAUUCUUUUUCGGCCACCCAAAAUAUCAUUGAUGACUUUUCUGGUCUAAUGCUAUGUAAAUAGUAUGUUAAGUAAAACAUAAUCAAUUAUUUGUGUUUUAUCUCUAAUUAGAACAUCAAUCAGUUCAGUACCUCACAAAUAAUUCGCAAUAUCUACAAAAUACUAUAAUGGCUACAAAACAAAUCCUGCUUGCAAAUUGUCAAGGAUACCUAUCCGUUCGCUUGACAAGUCAUUUGAAUAAAUAUUGUUCACAUUCCUUACUCUGUCAAUUAUCCAAAGCACCAUCAACUUUAGUUUGAAUAGUAUACAUGCCAUCACCAUUACCAAGAAUCAAGCAUGAAAGAGUCAUUCUAUAGAGUGCAGAACAUGACUCUAUGCGGUAGUCAAUUUGACACACGACGAACAACAUAUGCUGCAUAACAUACAAAUUAAUUUCCCAUAUGUGAUGCAAUUUUCUCCUCAACAUAUGCGCAAUUCUUUCCAUUCCGGCCGUUGAUUGAACCCUUUGGCAACAAGACGAGCUUUAAGCCUGUCAGCAGAACCGUUGGAAUGUCUUUUAAUACAAAAAUCCAUUUGCAGCCAACAAUAUUGGAAGGGAUGGGAGGUGGAACAAGCUUCCAUGUCCCGUUACGAACAAGAGCAUCAUACUCUUCUGACAUAGCUUGACGCCAGUGAGGAUUUUUGAUAGCUUGCGUCACAGUUGUAGGUUCACAAUCAGAAGAAGGGCUAAAAUGAGCACGGAGGUUAAGUUUUUGUAACGGCUUGUGAAUCUUAUUUUUAGCUCGGGUAGUCAUAUCAUGAUGAUUUGUGGGGCAAUGAUGUAGUGGAGUUUGGGAAGAUGAUUGAAGAGGAAGUGAAGAAGUGCUUUGUGUAGAGGUAGAAGUAGGUUGGGAGGAUUGCUGCGGAGAUGUUACCGGUAGAGAAGAAGGAGCAGUACACGGUGGCAACUCCAGAGGGCCCAUAGUGAAACACUUGCGUAAUUAGGAGUGGUAGAAGAGCUUGUAAUGAUUUGUAUGGAAAAACAAACUCUACAAAUUUAACGAGACGUGAAAUGAAAAUUUGAAAGGUGGAUGGGUCAAAACAUAAAUAAGCACUUUGAGAUAAAGGAAUAUCCUAUAAAAACACAAGGCUUAGAGGGUGGUUCGAGUUUAUAUGAUGAAACACAAACAUUCAAAAAUUUUAAGUUUAUAUUAAUUAGGAGUGGUACCAAAAAUUAAUUAGGAGUGGUCCGCGGGACAUGUAGCUAUGGGGUUGUUGGAUGUGUUUUGGAUAUUUACAGACAUGCUGAGUUUGAGUUUAUAUCUCAACUUAAAAUUUGUAGUUUUCACUUGAAAAAAUUCAGUUAAAAAUUGAUUGGUAGAAUUGUGAAAAAAGUUUAAAUUUUUAGUUCAACCCGAUUGCAUAUUUAAGAACAUCUCAAAUGAAUUGCUUACUGCUAUCAUCAUCAUUAUUGUCCAUAUAAUAAUGGAUCUUUAUUAUAUAUAUAUGUUUCCACUAAAAUAUAUUUAAUUAUUCUUUAUUUUUCCAUUGUUGCGUGUAAGAUUUAUUUGAGUUCUAAGUUAUAUCAAUACAAAUGUUAUCUUAUCCAUUAAAAGUUAGAUCCAACAAUUAUGAAAAUUACCAUAGAGUUGCUUUCAACUAUUUUUUAAAAAUACCAGGAGUAAAAAAUAAUUAGUUCAAAUGGUGGAGACUAAAAAGCGUUCACCUUUAUUUUUUAUCUGUUAUUUAUUUUUUUCAUUAAUGCACAUGCUAUACAUUUGAGACAUUCCAUUAAUUGCCAAUUAUGUAUGUGAGAUAGUAAUUUAAAUUAAAAAAAUAAAAGUGAAAGUUAAUCCUAUGCAAUGUGAAUAAAUUUCUUUCCUUUUUCCUUUACUCUUUUUAUUUGACAAUAAAGUUUCCAUCUAUCAUCUAUCAUCUAUGUACGCAAAAUUUCUGCAACAGGUACAAAACAUAAAAAUAUAUGAUUGUUAAGGGAAACGCGCAGGAGUUCAUCAUUUCAAUGUUCAGCAUUACCAAUUUUGGCAUUAAGCUGAAUAUAUUCCACUUAGAAAGCAAAAUAUUAGACUCGUGAUUUUAAUUCAUUCAUUAUCUCUCAUUUUAAUCCCAAAAUAUUCAAGAGCAUCCAAGUUACCAUAAGACUUCAGAGGCUCAAGCCUUAGCCAGAGAUGGUUAAUUGAUAGACUAUGUGCCUGGGUCGAGCACUGGAAGCCUGCAAUGCAGACUGAUUGAUUUAUCAGUUUAACGUGUGCCAGGAAUGAAGAACUGGAAUAUCACCGUCAAGCAAGCACCCUGUGGAGCAAUACCGAAGAAUGCACAAUCCAGCUUUGCUAGGUGACACUGGAGGCUUUUUGAAAAGUGCUUCACGCUCACUUGCACAGAUUGAGCAUCCCCUCUGGAUAUUGCCCUCUCUGAUCGAGUCUGAGCACUCAAAUUUUGGUCCUCAGAGGGAGCUACAGUUUCUCUCCACUAACCAACAAUUUUCUAAACUCAGCACCUAGUGUGAUCAGAGUUGUUGAUAUUUGCAAAUGGAGAUCCCCAUAUUUGCAAAUGGAGACAUUUAACAAAUCACCAACAUGCUUCAUCCGGUCCACGAAAUUCUGCAACUGAUUCAAAUCUGGAACCUGAACCAGAGUCGGAGGUAUAUCUUGAGCCAUAUCUAAAGCAGUUUGAAGUUCAAGACCUUGAGCCCUUGACAAUGGUUUUGAAAUUGGAACAUCUUGGAUUACUGCAGACUUGUACCCCUUGGUUUCAAAGGUAAGGAAAGGCAUUGCUUGAGUACAAUUUGGAGGCAGCUUCUUCACCAAUUUUAUUUGGAGGCGAUUGGUAGCGGAUCCAGCUGCACCAAUUUCAGAGCAACUACUGACACUACUUCGAACAGCACACUGAAGAAGUGAUAUGUCUACGGCGAAGGCAAUGCAGUCCUCAUUUUGGCUUGAGACACAGUAAUCAUCGUAGAGAGUUUCCUUGUGAAACUGGGCAACACAUUGAAUCCCUUCGCCACUGAGAAGGUUGUGGAGGAAGUAAGCUUUCUCUCUAGUGAGGAAGAGGUGGCAUACCUUCCCCAUUUUGUCUAGGGCAGGUAGGAAUCUUUUUUCUAAGAGAUUUACUUCAUUCUCUGUGAGAAAUGCUUUGAACUUCAUCCCUCUGUCUCUAUCCUCACUUAUCAGGAAAUAAGUUGAAAGCACUACGAAGAGAGAGAGAGAGAGAGAGAGAGAGAGAAUUAAGAUAUAUAGACAAGAAAAAUAUUAGAUGUUGAUCUUACAAACUAAUACUUCAAGCAGUAUCCUAGAAAGCUAAAAACUGCAAGAUGGCUUGAAAUUUGAGAAGAGCACGUGCUUUUCCUCCUUAACUUGAGAAAAUGUUUUAUAUAGUGCACCUUACAGAAGCAUUUAAGCAAUUAGAACUUUGCACAAAAACAUCAAGAAGACUAAACAAAUCAGAUGCAGUGCAUUUGUCCAAGCACAAAUUGCAUUUUGUCCUCAACUUUAAUAUUUAUUGAUGAGAAUCAAUACAGGUCCCUCAUUUGUUAUAGAAAGCUUUCUUGUAGUCUCACCAGUUAAUAUGGAUAUUAGAUAAGGAAACUUUAUUAGGUUGCGAGGGUAAAAAAGGAAAGAGAUAUCAUUAUUUUAUUAUCGAUAAUUAUUAAAUUUUUUUCCAAAAAAAAGAACAAGCAAUGAUAUUUUAUUGUCAAUUGCAACCUUUAAUUUUUUUAAAUGCUAUUAGAAACACAAGAUAACAAAGAAAUACUUAUUUUUUCCUAAAACUAAAAUCAAUUGUUUAACUUCUUAUUUCAUAAUCCAACUCCAUUACUAAGUUAAAAAAAAUUGUUUCAAAAUUACUUGAGUCAUAUUCAAUGGACCAACAAAGUAACCGUUUUUAUUUUUAUUGAUUUUUGCAGGAAAUUAAUAAGUUAAAAAUAAUGAAAGCUAUUGUAAAAAAAUUUAUUAUCAACCUCAUAAUUUUUUUUUUUUUGGGGAAGAGAAUUCAAACAUUUUUUUUUUUUAAUUUCCAAGAAUUCUUGACACCCAUCUUAAUUAAAAGCUAUAUUUUUAUUCAAGAGUCAUGCUAUUCAUUCACUCACAGACCAAAGGCUUUCCGCAGCAAUAUUAUUAUUUAAAUUACAACAAAGGGGAAAUCAAACACGUCAUACAGAAGCUUAAAGGUGAAUCUACAAAAUCUAGAGCUCUCAACUACAAAAAUUACACUUGAUGAUCCUCUACAAGAUGAAGGUUGUUCAAUAUCUUGAGAUUGCCUGCCUUCCUCGACGACCUGCACGAUGUGUUUGUACAAAUCAUCAUACCUGUGCACCGGAUUUUUAAUAUCAACGCCACUGCAGCUGUGAUCAAGAACAUAAGAGCAUUUAACAUCUUUUCUCCAUCGAGAAAGAAUGUAGUGAGAUGGGAUCUCCUGCAUGCCACUCUGGUUUAGAACACAAAGAAUGUGUCUGCAUAAAUAUCCUCUGAAAUUGAACAACCCACAAACACAAAGCACCUCCAAGUCGGAGGCAUUGUACAAAACAUC